RNAcentral lists this long non-coding RNA (95247 nucleotides) under Phaseolus vulgaris (common bean). RNAcentral describes it as "long non-coding RNA (PVUL_LNC001825)". The record is from RNAcentral. Lineage: Eukaryota; Viridiplantae; Streptophyta; Magnoliopsida; Fabales; Fabaceae.
CAAGCUGCUUCUUCUCCUUCAUCUUGCUGCGUUCUAUGAUCCUAACAAGUUCAUCCAGACACCAUGUGGAAGAUGCAUAGUUCUCAGAAAACACAACGAUCAAAAUCCUAGAUUCUUCAAUGGCCUUCGACAGAGCAGGUGAAAGACUUUCCCCUAUCCUCAUGUUCUUAUCAUCCCUGAAAUCUUUUAUUCCCUUCCUACCUAACUCUCUACGCAGAUGCCCAAUAAAAUUGUACCUUAUAUCUUCCCCUCUAAAACUGAUGAACACAUCAUAUGUGAAACCAAGACACUCUUCUUCCUCACCAUGUUUUCCCAUGUUACAAACAAGCCAAAACUACUCUAAGGAUGAUCAACUACUUUGAUCAAUUUAGUGUGUUGUGAUUAAAUACAGUGUCUUACGCGGAUACACGCUUUCCUGUAAUUAUUACAAGAUGUCCCGACCAAGAUAUACUAAUGGGAAGAUAAAUAAUUUACGUGGUGCAUAUUUAAUGUGUUUUAAAUUGCACAGGACUAGUAUCUUGACCCGUGACCCGUGUAAUGCACGGAAAUUUUUUUAAAAUAUAAUAUUUACAUGUAUUACAUUAAAUUUGUUUUUCUCCCGUAUAUUAAAAUUAAAUGAAUUGGUAGAAUGUAUGAUAAUUAUAAAUCAAAAUUACAUCAAUUAUUAAUAAAUAAUACACUACAAGAAAAUCAUGAAAUAGAAACCAAUUUUAGAAACAAAAAUAAUUAGUUGUUAUAGUGACUAAAUUAAAAACUAUUUUAGGGACUAAAUAAAUUUUUGGUUUCUAAAUUAAUUUUUAUUAUUGUUAAAUAGUUUCUAAAUUGGUAUCUAAUUAGCAACCAAAGUUUUUGCUACCAAAUUUAGAAUCUAAAUAAUUGAUAGUUAAAACUUUGGUUGCUAAUUAGAUACCAAUUUAGAAACUAUUUAACAAUAAUAGAAACUAAUUUAGAAACUAACUUUUUUUUUAGUUUCUAAAAUGGUCUCUAAUUUAGUUAUUAUUACAACUAAUUAUUUUGGUUUCUAAAAAAUGGUUUCUAUUUGAUGAUUUUCUUGUAGUAAUAUAAAAAUAGAUAAAAUUGACGAAAAAUAAAAGUAAUAUGACCAAAAUUAUUGAUCAAUUUAGGAUAAUGAUAGAGUCUCUCCUUUAAAUAUCAGAUUUUCAUGAAGAUUUGUAAUGUUACAAAAAUAAUUAAAUAAGACUUAUUAAAUACAAAAUCAACUCAUUGUCAAUUAUUUUGGAAGUGUUUUUCUCAAUCAAAAUUAUAUCAUAGACGAUGUUUUGUAUAUUCCUUGCUUCAAUUUUAAUCUUCUUUCAGUAACAAAAUUGAUUGAUAAAUUAUCUUGUGUUCUUACUUUUGACUCUAAUGGUUGUCACAUUCAAGACAAAAACUCCUUGAAAAUGAUUGGCUCUGCUAAGAUGCAAGAUAGACUUUAUAUACUCAGGAUCCCAUCUUGCUAGAAACUUAAAAUCAAACCCAUCGAAUCUACACACACCAUCAAUAUUGUUAAUGUCAGUGCUAGUGAUCUAGAAACCCUUUGGCAUUUUCGAUUAGGUCAUAUUUAAAAUAAAUGUAUUGAUGUUAUCAAGAAUAAAUUUCCUUUCGUUAAAUAUAACAAAUAUUUUGUUUGUGAUGUUUGUCAUUUUGCAAAGCAAAAAAGGCUUUCAUUUCCUAUUAGUACAUCUAAAUCAAAAAAAUGAUUUGAUUUGAUUCAUGUAGAUAUUUGGGGACCAUACUCAAUACCAUCAAUUCAUGGUCAUAAAUAUUUCUUGAUCAUAGUUGAUGACUAUUCGAGGUACACAUGGAUUUUUCUUUUAAAACGCAAAUCUGAAGUUGUUAAGGCUUUGGAAAAUUUUGUUGUUUUUGUUCAAACACAAUUUGAGACAGCGAUAAAAAUAAUAAGAAGUGAUAAUGAGACUGAAUUUUUCAUGACUAUUUUUUUUUGUCAAUAAAGGAAUAGUACAUCAAACAUCAUGUGUCAAUACUCCACAACAAAAUAGUAUAGUUGAAAGGAAACAUGGUCAUUUAUUAGAUGUAACAAGAGCUCUUAUGAUACAAUCUCAUUUACCCAAAAUUUAUUGGUCAUAUUCUGUGAUACAUGCUAUGCAUAUUAUAAACAUGCUUCCCACACUUGUUUUAAACUAUUCUUCUCCUGAUGAAAUGCUUUACAAAACUGAUGCAAAUUUUAAUGGAUUAAAGGUGUUUGGUUCUUUAUGUUAUGCUAGCACUUUGUCAACAAAUAGAAGAAAAUUCGAUCAAAGGGCAUCAAAAUGUGUUUUUAUUGGUUUUAAAAAAGGGACAAAAGGAUAUAUUUUAUUGAAUAUUCAAUCAAGAUAAAUUUUUGUUUAUAGGGACGUUGUCUUUUAUGAACAUGUUNNNNNNNNNNNNNNNNNNNNNNNNNNNNNNNNNNNNNNNNNNNNNNNNNNNNNNNNNNNNNNNNNNNNNNNNNNNNNNNNNNNNNNNNNNNNNNNNNNNNNNNNNNNNNNNNNNNNNNNNNNNNNNNNNNNNNNNNNNNAGUCACACAUUGAGGUUCCAGAAGAAGUUUGUUCCCAUAUAGACCAAAACCUCAAUGAAGAUCAUGACAUAGAACAAAAUUCUGAAUCAGAUCAAUCUGUCCAAAUGAGUACAAGAAUAUAAAGACCACCUGAGUAUUUAAAGGAUUAUCAUUGUAAUCUUAAUGUUUCCAAUACAUCUUCAAGAGUUAAAUAUCAUUUGAAUUAUGUUUUGUCUUAUAAAAAUUUAUCACCUUCUUACAAAUCUUUUGUUAUGUCUCUUUCUUCACAUGUUGAGGCAAAUACUUAUUUUGAAGCUGUGAAACAUGACUGCUGGAGAAAAGCUAUACAAUGUGAGAUAUUUGCUUUAGAGUCAAAUCAAACUUGGGAGACUCUUGUUCUGCCUAAGGACAAAGCUACCAUAGGUUCCAAAUGGGUAUUCAAAAUAAAAUAUAAGGUUGAUGCAGACAAUUGAAAGGUAUAAAAUAUUUGCUUAUACUGGAAGUGUUCCUUUCAUAGAUAUUCAAGCCUACAGAAGAUUGAUUGGAAGGCUUAUGUAUCUCACUAAUACCCGACCUGACAUAACAUUUUCUGUGCAACAACUUUCUCAGUUUCUUGCUAAGCCUACAAUUGCUCACUAUACUGCAGCGAUUAGAAUUCUCAGAUAUAUUAAAGAAGCUCCAAGUCUUGGUUUAUUUUUCUCUUCCAACACUUAUGCUCAUCUCAAAGCCUUUUGUGAUAGUGAUUGGGGCACCUGCAGUGAUUCAAGACAAUCAAUGACUGGUUUUAGUGUGUAUCUUGGUAAUUCUCUCAUAUCCUGGAAAUCAAAGAAGCAAAACACGAUAUCAAGGAGUUCUUGUGAAGCUGAAUACAGGGCAAUGGUCACUGUUACAUGUGAAAUUCAAUGGCUAACUUAUCUUCUUCAAGAUUUCAAAGUUCCUUUUGAGCAACCAUCUCUUUUAUACUGUGACAAUGACUCGGCAAGAUACAUUGCAACAAAUCUAGUGUUUCACGACCGUAAAAAACAUGUUCAUACCAACCAAAUUAUAAAGGAGAAGAAACUUGUUAUUACAAAAAAAAAAUGAUUAUAAAUUGUUAAAUUCAUCUUCAUAUAUUAGAACAAAGAGAAGAAGUAAGAAUAGUUUUGAAUUACAAAAUUUUCAUACCACAUAUGUAUGACUGUAAGAUAUUUUCAUCUUCACAUAUUAGUGAUCAGUACGCUUGCCCCCAGACUCGAGGAAUGUUUACUUUAUAAGAGUCUAAAUGUGACUGUUGGGUGCUUCGAUGUAUGAAGUGACUUCUUGUCCUUCUUUGAAGGCUGACUGAACGACUUUAUUGCUUUUGAUCUUUUCAGUAGUUGUUUGAAUGCCUUUAUGGACACUUGUAUAGUUUUAAACAAUGUAUGUUGAAUGAUCGUUAGGACUAAGAUCCUUUGGACGUCGCUCAGGCUUUUGAAUUGCUUUACAAUUUUGAAUGCCAAGUGCAUGCUGGAAUCAAUACAACUUAAAUAAGCCGAUUCUUUAAUAGAUUGAAUGCUGACCUGAUACUUGAAUCAAAAUAAUUUAAAUAUGUGGAGCCUUUAACAGAUUGAAUGCUGACUUGAUACUGAAUCAAUAUGAUUUAAAUAAGUUGUUUUGAGCUUCAGAUAGGUUGAACACCGAUCGAAUGUUGAAGAUUGUUAUUUUAAUACAAUUUCCUUAAUCGAAACAAACUUUAUUUUAACCGUUCGGGAGGGAUUGCCUCAUGGGGGCAAAGCUUCCUUAGCCGAACGAUAUUGAUUAAGGAUAUCGGUAAGGAUUGUCGUUUUAAGGCAAAACUUCCUUAACUGUAUAAGAGCAUUGCACGUUGGUUCGGGAAGGGCUGCUAUUUAUUAAGCAAGUUGCCUUGGUCGAAGAGUUUGUUUGAAAAUGGCUGCUAAUUGUUAAGCAAGCUGCUUUGGCCGAAGAGUUGCAUGCAGUGUCGCGUUCGUUCGACAAGGACUGCUAAUUGUUAAGCAAGUUGCCUUGACCAAAUGAUGUUUGGAAUUUUGUCAUAAUUGAAAACUUUUUAGAUGUGUGGAAGUUACAAUGAGAUGAGGAAGUCUUCACUUGUUGUCCAUACUCCAACGAUCAUGUGUAAGAGCAUAAAAUAUAUCAGUGCUGUAUGUAUUGCAUAAAAUAAUACUUAUCUUAUUCUUGGGGGUCAUCCUUUAAUUAUAGAGUUUUGGCUGAUCUCCUAUCAUUAGUCUUUUUUCAACAAAAUAAUAUCACAACAUAUUUAAAUAUUAACAAUCACAUCUGUUAUCUUCAUAAUACUAUGAUAACAUAUUUAAAUAAUAGCAAUCAUAUAUGUUAUCUUCAAAAUAAUAUGAUAACAAAUUUAAAUAAUAACAAUCAUAUCUUUUAUGUUUAGAAUAAUAUCACAAAAGAUUUAAAUAAUAACAAUAAUAUCUUUUAUGUUUAAAAUAAUCACAAAAUAUUUAAAUAAUAAUAAUCAUAUCUUUUAUGUUUGGAAUAAUAUCACAAAAUAUUGAAAUAAUAACAAUCAUAUCUUUUAUCUUCAUAAUAAUAUCACAACAUAUUUAAUGAUAAAAAUAAUUUUUCCGAUUACCUCACAUCGGGUUUAUAUUCGAUUAAGAUCAUAUCGGUCAAUGUUCAAACCUUUCCAAUUAGGAGGAAUUUGUGCUUCCAUGAUUUGAUCAGUAAAGGAAUGUCCUUUAAGUUUCUCUUCCAAAAUAAUAUUGUGUUUCGAUUGGUGAAGCCUGGAUGAUUGAUGAGUCUGAGUUUAAAGGAUGGUCGUCUUCUAUUGAUUACGUGUGUCCUCAGAUUUGUUUGGGGAGGCGGGUCUUCUAGCUUCAGGAUAUGGCUUUUGGCCCUUGGUUCAGGUAUGAUCCCGACCAGUUGUUGUUGGUUCAUUUGAUCAUUCUAUUCUCAGAGGAUUCAUAUCUCCUUCUCGUUCUUCUGGCGCAUGAUUCGCAUCUCCUCCUUGUUCUUUUGGACCAUCUUCGCCAUCUCUUUAUAAGGUCUGGAACAUAGCCAUUUUCUUGGCCUCCAUCAUUUUCUCGCCUUCCAUCUGCCUUGUUAAUACCAUUUGCUACUCUUCAAUACUAUUUUGGCUCCACGAUGGGCGCCAAUUGUACUUGUAUAGACUGGUAGGGCCUAGAUAGUACAUGGAUUUGGAUGUAAUAAUUGUCUUUGAUCUCUCGAUCGCUCCUCCUUCAUCCUUCUCGUACUCGCUCCUUCGUGCCUGGUCGGGAGUUAACUUGCAAAAGGUUCUCCAACAAUCAAAUAAGUACUCUAUGUUAAGAGUGUAUAAUGAAACUGAUAAAAAAGUACCUUACUCCUCUAUAAAGGGUUUAUUUAUAGUAUUUGGUUAUGGACCCUCUUUUACGAUAAGCCAAAUCUAUUAAAUAUUAGUGAUAAUUUAUUUAUAGGGAGGUUCCCUGAUUUCUCGAGAUGUUACUCGGAUUUGGUGGGAUGUGCCCCUGAUUCUCAGGGAGUCUCUGUAACUGCCUUAAAUGCUAUUUAUUAUAACUACUUUAAAUAUAUUCUAACCCUACUUAAAUGCUUCGCCUGCACUCUCCAUUUAUGAGCUGCCUGUUGUAUCUUUGCUCUGCCUUUUAGCUCUUUUAUGGUAUCCAACUGAAAACCCCACCCCUUUUUCGAUGCUUCCUGUGAGAAAUCCUCCACUCGCUUAGACGGGAUUUCCUGUGAAUAACUUUACUAUCAUCUUCCUACUCUUUUUGAACAAAUUUUAAAAAUAUGAUUGGACAUGUAAUUUUAUGUUCUAACAUUAUGUUAAUAUCAUGCUACUAUGUACUAACAUUACGCUAUGUUUUUAGAUCAUUACUUUCCUUCAUUAUUUUGCUUAACAUAUCGCUAUGGAAUGUAUACAAAUAUUAGUCCCACCACUAUGCACAACACUUGAUAAUCAUCGACAUGCCAACAUAAAGUUAUGUUUAUAUACAUAUUCAUAAAAAUGAUGUUUCCUUCAUGGUUUUUUUCUUCAAGUGGAUCGAGAUCAUGCUCGACACCAUGGAGGGUUAAGACCUUUUCAUGGUUUUCUUUCAAGUGGUCUGAGAUCAUGCUCGAUACCAUAAAGGGUUAAGACCCUUUCAUGAUUUUUUCUUCAAAUGGACCGAGAUUAUGCUUGGCACCAUGGAGGGUUAAGACUCCUUCAUGGUUUUUUCCUCAAGUGGACCGAGAUCAUGCUCGACACCUGAGAUCAUGCUCGGUACCAUAGAGGGUUAAAACCCUUUCAUGUUUUUUUUCUUCAAAUGUAAAAGCAUAACACUUUUAUCGAUCCCUUACACAUUGUACUCCUAACAAUCCUGAACAAUCAUAUCUAUAAACCCCUGAAAUAAUUCGAGUCGUAUAUAAACAUAAAGCAAAAUAAUAAAUUGUUUAACAAUACACUAAAUCCACACUAAAUCCAAACCAUAUUAACUAUAAUAAAAACGCAGAUUCGCCACAUUUCAAGUUUGCGGAAUAACUCCACCAUCCAAUGUCUCCAAAUGGUAUGCUGCCCUACCGACCACCUCACAGAUUCGGUAAGGCCCGAUCCAAUGAGGUGCCAACUUGUUGUCCUUGUUUAUUUCCCCUGCCUUUCUUAGUACCAAAUCCUUCUCUUUAAACUCUCUUGGAAACACCCUACUUAAAUGCUUCGCCUCCACUCUCCUUUUCUGAGCCGCCUGUUGUAUCUUUGCCCUGCCUUUCAACUCUUUUAUGGUAUCCAACUGAAAACCCCGCCCUUUUUUCUAUGCUUCCUGUGAGAAAUCCUCCACCUGCUUAGACGAGAUUUCCAACUCGAUGGGUAACACCACGUCACUGCCAUAAACCAAACUGAAAGACAUUUCUUUCGUAGUUGAUUGCUUCGUUGUGUGGUAUGACUAUAUUACCGCGGAAGAAGCUCGAUCCACCUUUAGCCGCUCCUAACUUCUUCUUCAAACCCUACAAUAUUAUUUUAUUUGUUGCUUCUAGUUGCCCAUUUAUUUGAGGGUGCUAUACUGAUGAAAAUAUUUUUCGAGUUCCCAACUCUUCACACAUGUGCCUCACUUUCCCUACUCGCAAAUUGCGCUCUGUCCGACACCAAUUCCCUUGGCACACCGAAUCUACAUACAAUAGACUUUCAAAUAAACUUAGAUAUUUUUUCUGUCGUGAUGGUCGUUAGUGGCUCAGCCUCGACCCAUUUUGUAAAAUACUCAAUUACAACCACAAUGAAUUUAAAUUGCCUUACUGACAUAGGAAAAUGUCCUAAUAUAUCAAUUUCCCACUUCUGGAAGGGGCAUGAAGAAAUUAUGGAAUACAAAUGCUUAGCUGAUACGCCAAUAUUAUUUGAAUGCCUUUGGCACCUAUCACAUUUUUUGACAUACCCAAGACAAUCCUCCCUUAGCGUAGGCCAAUAAAACCCCGCCCUAAUUAUUUUUAAUGCCAAUGAUUGUCCGUCAGUGUGACUCUCACAAACACCCUCCUGCACCUCCUCCAUGAUCCUAUUUUGUUGUAGCUCCCCAACGCAUCGUAAUAACGGUAUUGGGAAGCCUUUUCUGUACAACACCCCAUUAACGAUGACAUACCGUGUUGCAUUUUUCUUAAUAACUUAUAUUCCUCUGAAUCCAAUUGUUCCUCCCCUUCCUUCAACCACUCUUCAUAAACAUCCAUCCAACUUUGCUUACCUCUUAUUUCCAAUACCUCCACCGUCACACUUGGUGAUUCAAGGUUCUCAUGAAUGACCGACCAAUGAUUUCCCGACCUCUUGGUACUUGCCAAUUUCGACAAAAAAUCUGCUUGAGCAUUCUGGUCUCGAGAAACAUACAUCAACCCAAACUCUUCAAACAAGACCACCAUGGAACGCACCUUGGCCAAAUAUUUGACCAAAUGCGAAUCCUUAGCUUGGAAAUUUCCUACUACUUGCACGGUUACCACUUGAGAGUCACUCCUUACUAUCAUUCUUCUAACUUCCAUAUUUGUUGCUAAGUGCAUCCCUACGAUUAAAGCCUUGUAUUCGGCCUGGUUGUUGCUUACUUUAAAUGAAAAUUUUAAUGACUGUCCAACCAACACACUGUCCGACCCUUCCAAUAUCCAAUCAGCUGGUCCUAGGGUCAACAAUCAAACAAUGACACAUAAAAUUUGGAUCCACCCCUGGCAUAUCGUGCAAUGAUCAUGCAAAAACACUCAAAUUAUCUCCCAAAUACUCUACCAACCUCCUUUCUUCUUUUUCCUCCAACUUGCUACCUAUCUUUAAACUUCUCCCCCCAUCCGACUUUAUGACCUUAAUGUCUUCCAUCGGUUGUGGCUGUUCAUCCUUAUAAUCAACCCUUGGAUCUCACUCUACCCCCUCCAAAUUCCUAUCCUCCCGUUCUACCUGCAUACAUCUCCUUCUAUUUUUAGACUUCCUUUGUAACACUUUCUUGCUGCCCUCUGAUAUACUAUUAACACCCCAAUUGUCCCCUCAUCCAUAGGAUACUUCACAUUCAUAUGGAUCGAUGAUACUAUUGCUCCUAACUUAUUUAUUAUCGGUCUUCCCAACAGUUCAUUAUAAGAAGAAGUGGUGUUUACAAUCAUGUACCUUAUUAUAAUUGAUUUGGCCUUCUCUCCUUCCCCAAACAUCGUCUUGGCCUCAAGAUACCCCCGAACUUGCACCGGGUCGCCCGAAAAUCCAACCAAAACUCUGUCAUAUGGUUCCAAAUCGUCCAACGAUCCUCCCAUAGUGAUAAAAUCAUCCUAAAACAAAAUAUCUGUUGAACUCCCUUGAUCCACUAGCACCCUAUGAAUUUUUCGGCUCCACAUUACCACCGAUAUCACCACAAGGUCAUUAGCAUGUGGGAAACGUCAUUUAAGUCGUCCUCUAUAAAGUUUAAAGACGACAUACACACUUCCUCGAUUGACAAAACCAUCACCGACCGAGCACUUGAUCUACCGCCACCCGAGAAUCCUCCCGAAAUUGUGUUCAAUUCCCCUAACGUUGGUUUCUCAUGAUUACCUUCCACCUACCUCCCUCCUCAACUCUUCCUUCCUUAUCCGAUCCUUCUUUUUUUCUACCUGUCUCUCCUCCCCUCCUUCUCUUGCCAUGAAAACUUUUAACAAUCCCUGUCUUAGCAACCCUUCAAUUUGCCUUGAAAGGAUGUAACAAUCUCCAGUUCAUGCCCGUAUGUUCUAUGGAAGUAACACCAAACAUUUUUGUUUCCUCCCAUAUGUUUUGUUGUCUUUUCUGGGAAGCACAAAAGUCUAGUCGUGUUCACAUCUUUAACAAUUUCCUCCUGAGAUGCCACCAAUUUUGGUGACACCCACUCCGGUCUUCCCAACCUCCUUUCAUUCACUGGUUUAAAACCUCCAUACGACCCACCAAACCUCCACUUAUCCCUUUUCCCUUUCAAAGGUUUGCCUCUAUUACUGACAGGUUGUAUACCGACCACCGACCCUUCAGUCCUCAUUUCUUCAUCUAACUUCUUUAUGGUAAACUCUUCUACUUUUAUGUGAGACACUGCCUUAAUGUUGAUGGCUGUCAUGUCUUCUAGUCUUCUUUGGACUAGUGACUCACCAAAUGUUCCUACCCUAAGCCCUCUAAUAAAGGCUUCCACAAACAUGCCUUCAUUAGGCAUAGGAAUUUGUACCACCACCUCAUUGGAACGCUGCAAAAACUGUUUUAUUGACUCAUUUUUCGCAUGUUUUACCUAAAACAAAUCUGCCACCUCUAGAGGCUUUGCUUUGUUUGCUACAAAGUGGGCAACAAACAACCCGGUGAAGACUUCUAGCGACAUGAUGAAUACACCUAGCAUAUUACUAAACCAAUUCAGCGCCAUUCCAACUAAAGUGCUAGCCAACAUCUAUCGGACAAACUCUGGUCCUCUACAAAUCAACAUCUGAUGUGAGCAUUAGGAUCCUGCUUUCCACUGAACAUCCCCAUUUUUGGGAAUUCAUAACCCGAAGAAAUUGGCUCUCCCAAGAUUUCUUCUGAGAAUGGUUGGAAAUCUGUCUCCACCUCCUACUGUCAUUGACCCUUUAUAUUCUGGCCCUCAAUUUGCCGUCGAAGCUCCUCAUUUCUCCUUUGUAUCAUUUCUUGCACUCUCGCAGAUUCCUCCAUCCUAGCCCUCACUUCUGCACUCUCCCUCCUGAAAUCCUCGUGAGCCCUCCUGAAUUCUUCCACCCUUUCCUCAUUUUGCCUCCUCAUAACCUCCAUCAUUUCCAUCAGAACAUGAGUUGCAUCAAGCAGUGGCGCUCCAUUCGCCUCUUCCUCUGGUGCCGCUCUUCGUGUGCCCCGCAUAAUGCUCAGUAAUUUGUAACUAAAAUUGAUAUGGCAUAGGAAAGUUUUACUUGUCCCACGGUGGGUGCCAAAAUGUUCUAGAUAAGAGUAUUAGUGAACUCAAACCUAGAAUAUUUAGAGUGACAAAAAAUAAGUGUACUCUUAACUUAGUAAGUGAUCUGUCUUUUCCUCUUGUGUACCCUCUAAUAUACUAAAAUCUCUUCGCUACCUAUUAUGUAUCCAACCUUCUUAUUGGCCUGAUUCUAUAAUAAAUUGCGCUGAUGACCUUAAUUACACCAAUUGGUUCAUGACCUUAAAGUUAGACGAUUCACGAUGCUACACUAAUAAAGUAGUGUGUACGGAAAAAAGAGUCGUAUAACGAUACAACUUUAACUAAUAAAUAAUAAAAAAUUACUUUAAUUGCCACUUUUAUGCAAAAUGUUAUCUCCCAGUAUUGAGGAAAUUAUCUCUAAUUAAUAGGAACCAUUGUAUAAACUAUUUUGACUUGCAAUGCAAGCUCGAUUUUGCAUUUUAUUUAUUUAUUUAUUUAUUUUAAAUUGAUUUGUUUACAAAUAGAAAAUAACAUUAUUUUUUUAGAUUUUUAAGGUUACACACAUCAUUACAAAAAAGAAAGAACAUUUCCAAAAAAAAAAACAAUUGACAUAGAGAGUACAAUUUAACGACAUUAUCUUGUUGAACACAAUUAACGUAAGCUCUCUAUAUUUUAUAAAACUUUGUGUUUUUGAAUUUAGAAUGCAAGUUAGGCUAUAUAGCCGUACAAACCCAAAACAAAAAUAAGAAAAUAUCACACCUGCACCCACUAAUUCAUGUACAAAAUAAUGGGUGGUUUCCUAACAACCAUAUUCCUAAUAAUUAGGCUAGUAAUUAACCACUUAUUUGAUGACUUUUUACGGCAAGUGCACCGCGUUUGUCAGAAGUAAUAAUUGUCUCUAAGGACGGAUAUCAAUCCCACAAGGAACACUGAAUUAUCGAGUACAAUAAUCGCUAAAUAUAAAAACAGAACAACUAAAAGAGUUUUUGAAUUAAUUGUGUUGGCAUUGAUCAAUAAGAAAACAGACAAAGAAUUAGUUGUUUCAAUUGGAAAAAUAAGGAUUAGUUUCAUCUCUCUCACCCUUAAGUAUUUUGAUUAGCAUGUCAAUAUUAAGUUCUUUGAUUGAAAUUGAUGCCCGUAUAAAAAUAAUUUAUAUCGAUUCCUCGCAUAUAAAAUCCUUAAGAAUGUCCCCUAACUAUCGAUCCCUCGCAUAAUUAUAAGAACAACUUAGAACGAAGCUCAGACGUUUAAUUGCAAUUAACAUUUCAAGUCUAUUCCUAGCACUCAAAUAUGUUAAGUAUUGUUGUUUAGGUCCAAACCCUAAAAAUACCUCCCGGUCAGAUUUAAGAUUCUCAAUUUGUCACGGAAAAUUAAAAGUAAAACAACAAUACCAAUCAUCAAUCAAGAACUGAAUAUUAAUAUAUAAGAUAUCAUCUCAAUACAUAAGAGUUUGAGCAGAUUACCCAAUCCUAAAGGGUAGAAUUAGCCACGCAUACUUCUAGCACCUUCCAUUCUCCCAAUUGGGUUACAAUUCACUUUAUGGUGUUUUCCUCUCAAUCUGGCACUCUAGGGUUGAGCCUCUAGCCCUCUAUUUAUCCUAGUUUUCUAGGGUUAGGUUGCUUCAUGUGUCACGCUAAUGGGCUAAAUGAUAAAACAUAAAAAAACCCAAUAUUUCUUUGCAUCUUUUUCCAUUCUGGGACCUUCCGGCUUUAUCUUUUUAGCUCAAAUUAUUCUCCUUUAUUUCAAAUCUUCAAUCUUUCCUAUAAAUCUGCAAUUAACACCAAAUUUAGGAAUAAAAUGCUCUUAUUCAAAUAAAGCUCAUAAAAAUGUAAAAAGGUAUAAAUUUAUAAAUUAGGGAUUAUUUUAUAUGUAAAUUAGCAAUAGAUCCUCAUAAGUGCCUAUAUUUUAAUAUGAAACAUUAAUGAAAUUAAGCACUUAUCAAUAAUGGGUGGUUUCCUAACAACUAUAUUCCUAAUAAUUAGACUAGUAAUUGACCACUUAUUUGAAACAGAAAAACAACUCUACUUAAUUAAAUAAAUUAAAAAACAACAAUUGAAAUUCUAACUGCUGCUAACAUUCCCUCCCUUAAACUAGAUGCAAUAGCAUUUAGUUUAAUUAUGAUGCUUCAAUUAUGCCCAACAUAUUGCGAAACCUUAAGAAUUGCUCCAAUUUGUGGGGCUUGGUCAUGAUAUCAGCAACAUGAUCCUGUGAACUGUAGUAACUUAACUUGACAACUCCAUACCAAAACGUGAUAGCACUUCAUGAACAUAUUUCUUCUGACAUACAAAAAUUCCAUUUGAACUCUGCAUAAUUUCAACUCCAAGAGAAUAUCUCAUUCUUCCUAAAUCAUUGAUAUCAAAUUCAGACAUCAUAGAUCUUCUAAACUAAUCACAUAUACUGCAAUCAUUUCAGUAUAUAUUAAAUCAUCCACAUAAAGACUCACAAUUAAAAUUUUACCUUCCUCCUUUGAUUUUGUAAACAAUAUAUAUUCACAAAGACAUCUGUCAAAGCCAUUACCAACAAAGUAAGCCUCUAUCUUGUUGUACCAAGCUCUAGGUGAUAGUUUAAGGCCAUAUAACGCCUUCUUUAAUUUGUACACUUUGUCUUCUUCUUCCUUUUUCACAAAACCAGUGGGCUGCUGCACAUAAAUGUCCUCUUUAAGUUCACCGUGAAGAAAGACACUCUUCAUAUCUAACUGAAAAAUAGUCCAACCAUAUUGUACUGUUGUUGCAAGUAUUAUACGAAUAGUAUCACGCCUAGCAACCAGAGCAAAUACUUCUGUGUAAUCUAGUCCAUAUUGUUGCGCAUACCCUUUUGCUACUAGCCUUGCUUUGAACUUGUCUAUCUCUUCAUUCUCUUUAAAUUUGGUUUUAAAGAUCCAUUUUACCCCAAUUGGCUUCAUUCCUCUUGGAAAAUAUGUAAGCUCCCAAGUCUGAUUUUUCUCUAUGGAUUUCAUCUCUUUCAUCAUUGCAUCUCUCCAUUUUUGUCUUUUGAUAGCUUCCUCGAAUGAAAUUGGAUCAUCUCCGGUGACCAUCAUUACAUUUAGGUCAGCAUCAUCAGAUAGACCUUCUCCUUUUUCAUAAUCAAUCAUCCAGACCGGCUCUCUCCUAUUCCUUCUAAUCCUCCCUUCAACUGGAGUCUCAUAAUUGUUAGGAGGAGCAUUGGUGCCUAUGGAACUGUCCAUAACAUCCUCUUCAUUUUGUUCCUCAAUUUCUUGAUCAUCGUUAUGAUCCACAACAUUCUCCUCACUCUGUUCUUCAGUGUCACUCAUGUAUUCCUCAUCUCCUCCCCAAUCAAGAAUGCCCUGUUGGUAUUCCUCAUUCUGUUCCCAAUUUCAUCCCUUUUGUUCUUCAAAUAUCACAUCCUUGCUUAUCAGUACUUUCUUGUUGAGUGGAUCAAACAAACGAUAUGCUUUGGAUUCAUCACUUACCCCCAGAAGAAUACAUUGCUUGCUUUUAUCAUCCAAUUUCUUGGAUGAAAGCGUUCUCAAACCAUUGUAACUUAAAUGACCAAGUCGAUUGUGCCAAAGCUCAUAAUUAUGCUUUAGCUCCACCUGAAAACAAGACUUUGUUGAUAUCAUGGUGGCUGUCAGCACAAACAUCCGAUUCUCCUUCAUCUUAACCUCCAUAAUCUGUCCUCUUUCAAGAUGAUAGACUUCACACUUCCCUUCCUUAAUCAAUAUAGUCAAGCCUUUCUCUUGAAGUUAUCCUACACUUAAGAGAUUAUUCUUAAGUUCAGGAACAUAAUACACAUGUGAAAUGACAUAUACGACUCCAUUAAUAUUUAAUUGAACACUUCCUUUUCCCAUCACAUCUAUCUGAGCAUCAUUGCCAAGCUUUAAUGUAUUGUGAUAGUUCUCAUCUAACUUUGAGAACCACUCCCUGUUACCACUCAUGUGAUUACUGCAUCCGGAGUCAAGAAACCAUUCAUCUUCCUUUUGUUGCUUAACAUCAACGUGAGCCAUUAGCAAAAGUUCAUCCUCUUGUUCCACUGCAUCUUCCACUUCAGCAUAAUUUAUUUUCUUUUCCCAGGUAGGACAUUCGUAUUGAAAAUGUCCAAGUUUGUGACAUUUGAAGCAUUCUAUCUCAGCUUUGUUAAAUGAUUGUCUCCCUCUUCCUCUACCUUGGAAAGAACCUCUGCCUCUUCCUCUACCUUGGAAAGAACCUCUGCCUCUUCCUCCUUUAUCUUCAUUUGUAAUUUGCAGUACUUGUUCUUCUUCUCCUUGAUAUGUCAUUUUUUGCUCGUGAACCAAAAGACUGCUCUGCAAUUCGUCAAUGGUCAUAGUGUCCAAGUUGUUGGAUUCUUCAAUUGAACACACAACGUAAUUAAAUUUAGGAAUCAUUGACUGUAAGAUUUUUGCAGUAAUGAUAUUCUCAAGCAUGCUUUCACCACACGCCUUCAUGUUUUUAGCAAUUUUCGAAGUACGGGCAAAGUAUGAGUUAACUAUCUCUCCGUCCUUCAUCUACAACAUUUCAAAAUCUCUUCGCAGGGCUUGUAAUUGUGCUCUCUUCACUCGAGUAGAACCUUGAAAUUUUUGCUUCAUAGAAUCCCAUAUGUGUUUGGAUGUAUCAUCAUUGAGGAUAGUAUCUAAGAUUUCUCGAUCAAUGGCUUGAUACAGAUAGUUCUUUAUCUUUAGAUCUUUCAAUCGUUGUUCUUCCAUGAGUUUGAGUUCUACUUCUGAUGCAGUAGCUUUAUUUUCUACUUAUGAAAUCCCAUGUUCCACCAACUGCCAAUACUCCUUAGAACGUAGAAAAUUUUCCAUUAAUUUUGCCCAAUGAUCAUAAUGCCCAUCAAACUUGGGAAUUGCAGGUUGCACAUAUUAGCUGGAAUCUGCCAUUUUCGAUAUUUCCUUCUUCUUAGAAGGAUACUGAUGUUGGCACACACUUACAACUGUUUCUCUCACACUCACACUGAUGUUAUCAAACACUCACACUCACAGCUAUUUCUCUCACACUCAAGUUCUGGAUCAGGCCCCUUAUAAAGGAGUUCUGAUACCAAUUGUUGAACACAAUUAAUGUAAGCUCUCUUUAUUUUAUAAAACUGUGUUUUUGAAUUCAGAAUGCAAGUUAGGCUAUAUAGCCGUACAAACCCAAAAUAGAAAUAAGAAAAUAUCACACCUGCACCCACUAAUUCAUGUACUGAAUAAUGGGUGGUUUCCUAACAACUAUAUUCCUAAAAAUUAGGCCAAUAAUUGACCACUUAUUUGAAACAGAAAAACAACUCUACUUAAUUAAAUAAAUUAAAAAAUAACAAUUGAGAUUCUAACUGGUGCUAACAUUCCCUCCCUUAAACUAGAUGCUAUUGCAUCUAGUUUAAUUCUGAUGCUUCAAUUAUUCGCAGCCUCAUCGUUGACACGUUCAUCAGUUUUUGUGUCCGAGUGGAGUGCAAGUAAGAUGACAAGUGCUUCAAGGAUUCCAUCCCUGAGUGCAUUCAAGUAUAUUACACUCAUCAAAUCCUCAAACUCCUCUGAUUUUUGCCACCUUUCAACCAAACCAUAAAACAGCCUCUCUAAUUCUUCACCUCUUCCUUUCAAAACACCAUUAACAUGCUCAUACUCUGCCACAUGAUCAAGGUCGUCUUGUCUCUUCCCAACAAACUCAUCAUAUUGAAUGUUGAAUUUCUGAAUCAGUUCAUCAUAUGGAUUUUUGGAAGAGCUCGCUGUGUUCUGAGCAGCAUUUUCAUUUUCCUUUUCAAGUAGUGCAAAUCUGUUGCCCAGAACUUGAUUUACCUCCUUCAUCUUCGAGAAGAGUUUACUCUUGACCUCGAAUUCCGACGUACUUUGUUGAUUCAUCAUCAUGAACAUUUGCAUGAGAGGGUCAUGAGAAGGAGGAAGUGUCACUGUAGUCCAAUCCAAUUGUGGAAUCCUCUGCUUUGGUUCUGGGGGUGAUACAAAAGCUGUAUUUAUCCCUCUCCUAUUUGCCAUUGUAUUUAGUGUUUCCCACACGUCCAAAUCAGGAAACCUCAACUUUGCUUCCAAGAGUCCACCGCAAACUCCACUCAAGUAUGUUCUAUUUUCAGCUGAGGGUAUUAUCUCCAUCCCUUUAGCUGAGGGUAUUAUUUCUCUUGACUCUUCCCAACAAACUUAUCAUAUUGAUUUUUCCCAGAGCUGGCUGUGUUUUGAGCAGCAUUUUCAUUUUCAUUUUCAAGUUGUGCAAAUUUGUCACGCAGAGCUUGGUGUUCCUCCUUCAACUUCCAAAAGAGUUUACUCUUGACCUCCGGUUCCAAAGUACUUUGUUGCUUCAUUACCAUGAAUAUUUGCAUCAGAGGGUCGUGAGGAUCCAAACGUAGUCCCUGUAGUCCAAUCCAAACGUUGAAGCCUCAGCUUUGCUUCAGUGGAUGAUCCAAAAGUUUCUGUAAUUCCUUUCCUUUUUGCCACAGUAUUAAUUGUUGGCCACAUGUCCAAAUCAGGAAACCUCAGCUUUGCUUCUAAGAGUCCACUGUAAAUUCCACUUAUGUAUGUCCUACUUUCAACCGAUGUUUGCACUUUCGCUUCAGGGCUCCAUCUAACCCUAUAACCCUUCUCCAAAGAAGCUCUUCUACUUUCAACAAUAUCAAGAGAAGGAAAUCUAUUCUGUGCCUCAAAAAGUCCAUCCGUCAUUCCUUCAUCAAAUAUCUCUCUCACUAUUUCUACCAUCUGAUGAUCAUAGCCUUCCUCCUCACUUCCCGUAUGGCCAGAGGUUGAAGCUUCUUCUACAUUACGCAGUUUCAGUGGAUCCUUUAGUGUUACCAACGCUAGAUCACCUAUGAUAGUAACUUUAGGCUCUCCAUCAUCAUUUUUUAUCUCAUCUAGAAUCUGCCUCAGCUUGGAUCUUCUAAAGCUGACCCUUUUGAUUUUAAUGCAUCCUCAGCAUCCUGGGAUAUUCUCUUUAGUUCUCCCAAUACAAUAUGCAUGCAAUCGUCUUUAGCCAUUCCUUCAAACCCCCUUCUUUCUUUGCUGUCCUGCCAUUUUUUAAACGUCUUCUUAAAUGAUUCGUCCAAACCUAGACUCUCUAUGAUCAUUUUAUAUUCCUCCCUAUCAUCUUUUGUAGGAACUAUUGCCAGUGGCAUCUCGUCUGAAUACACGGGAUCGGGAGAAGUGAAGAGGAGAUCAUCCAUUUUGGUUUUGUCUUCUUCAUACACAAAAGCUCCCCAACCACUUAUCACAAAGGAGGAAGUGGCUUUAUACGCAAUCUGGACCAGAUUCCACUCCUCCUCCAGAAGUGCGUCAAGGCCAAGCCACUCCUUGUCACUGAACAAAACUCGUAGAUCAAAGAUCAAGAUGUGUUCUGCUUCAAUUCUGAAUUUGCGACACCCUUUGCAAGGAACAUAUCGACCGUUGAUAAGUAAACGCAGAUCAACAACGCGCAAAUUUGUCCCUUUCACUCUCAUCUUGGAAGUGGAAGAUCAUGGCUAGAGCAAUGUUAGGGAACUUGCGACGAACCCAGAAACGAGGAUUCCUUUCGACCCCCACAUAGUUAAACCAUUCUGGAAUCUCAGUUGUAUAUGGCAUCACCACUUCUAAUCCAUGUACCCCUUCCUUCACCUAUCAAAUUAUUAUAACACUUUCAAUUGUAACUUCUACAUUUAUUUUAGAAAAUUUUGUAAAAUAUUAUUUUCCUAAAAUAAAGGUACAAGAUUUAACUUAAGUAAUAAUAAGUCAUGAUACCUGACGCCAUAACAUGUCUGAUGUCUCUCUAGUUAACUUGAAGCAAAAUCUUGCGUCUACUUUUUGAACAGUUGACGACAACUUUGAAAUUUCUUCAAGGUUGAAACAACGAUGAACAUCAAGAAUUGUCAAGUUAGUGAAUUCAGGAAUUUUUUUAAGCUUCUUACAUUCAGUCAAAUCGAGACUUGUCAAGUCACCACAUUCCUUGAUGGAUGAAGGGAUACAAACAAAAUUAUUCUCUGAAGCAAUCAAUUCUUCUAAUUUUGGAAAGUAGCAAAAAAUUGCAUGAAGAUCUUCAUUAGACAAGUUACCAUUUUCGACAUUCAGUGAUCGUAAUUUUGGACGAACAUUGGCUUUUGAAGGGUUUUGCACCAAACUUCUGAAGGAUUCUCGAAGUUUGGCGCAUGCUUCGAUUUUGAGGGAAACAACAUUGGGCAACAUGAAUAGGCUACUUGGUAGAUAUUUAAGUUCCCUGUUAUUUGAUAUGUCUAUACAAACAAGCCCAGUAAGCUUACCAAUGGAUUCUGGAAGCUCUUGAAUAGCAGUAUUUAUCAUAUAAAUCUUCAAUGGCUUUGUCAUUUCUUGCCUUAUCUCUGGGAAGUGACCAAGGCUUUCACAUAAAUUAAGGUCAAAGAAUUCUAAAGACGGUAGAAACAUUUCAGACAUGAAAUUUUUGAGUUUUGUGCAAUCUGAAACACUUAAAUGAGCAAGACUUUUCAGGAAACCAACAGAUCCAUGUACUGCAGUUAGCUCUCUACAAUGAUCAAGUCUCAGUUCUCUUAGAUUCUGAAGUUCAGACACAUCAGGUAUUUCUUUGAUACUUUGGUUAUAUGAAAAGUCCAUAAUAGUCAAGCAUGGAAAUUUCUGCCAAAUGGAAAGUCAAUAAAAAUUAUUAUUUGCAACAUUUUGAGUUAUUAACUUACUAAUGUGAAUAAAAUAUGGAAGUUUUUGUUUAAUGAAAAAUUGAAACUUAAAAAAUAGGAAAAUAUGAUGUAGAAUUGUACCUUAAAUGGCUCUUCCAAUGUUAGACGACUUCGAGGCAAAUUGAAAACAACAAUUUUCUUCGGAUGAAAUUUUGGUGGGAAAGACUUUGAAGGAUACUCUUCCCAGUCAAGCAGUCUUAAAUGAUUUGGUAAAUGUUCAAGUUCAGAUGAAAAUGAUGUGUUUCGAACAAUGAGAAUUCUGAGCCAUUUCAUCUUUUCAAACUCAAUUCCACUCCAAUUUACUUCUUCUCGCUGAGGAGGAUCAAGCAUAAUCCCUUGAAUCUUAUCACUUCCCUUUAACACAAGUACAAAGAAACAACAUCAAUUGCAUAUUAUCAGUAAUAUAAAAUACUAUAAUGUAUAAAUCGAAAACAAAGAGAGUAAAAGGGUAGAUGAUUACAUAAUCUUCUGUUAGAAUUUCAGUAACAUCUUCAUAAUACCAUAUUCUGCUACGUUCACCAGGAUUUGUUGAUUCCUGCUUAACAAUCUCUCUUCCCAUAUCUUGUAUUAGAUCAUGCAUCUUCAGGCAGUCAUACUCGAUAGUUAUGAGAGACUUAUUAAGAAGUACUUUCAUGUUGGUUGUUGAACGAAAUUCCUCAAGGAUCAUUUUCACAUAUUCCGUUCUCUCCCCUUUAAAGAAGCAAGCUAUGUCCAAGAAAAUUUGUUUGGCAUUAUCAUCCAAUCUAUCGUAGCUUAUUUUAAGCACAUCUUGAAUCUUUCUAUUUGGAGUCUUCUCAUAUUCUUUCAUUGCCAUUUCCCAAUCUUCUAAACUUUCAUGAAAAGCAGCUAAAUCAGAGCCUAUGACUUUUAAAGCCAGUGGAAGACCUUUGGCGUAAUCUACAGCACGCACAGACACAUCUUCAAAACCUGUUUUAGGAUAACUUUGUCUGAAGGCAUUCCAACAAAAUAGCUCUAAAGAAUGUUGGUCAUCAAGUUCUUUCAUUUCAUAAAUAUUUCCAACUUGGUGAGCAAUUAACACAUCUUUUUCCCUUGUCGUUACAAUGAUCCUACUACCUGAACCAAACCAAUUACACCCUCCUGCCAACUUUUCUAACUGAUCUUUAUCACCAACGUCAUCAAGAACCAAAAGAACUUUCUUUUUCUGAAGCUUUUCUUUUAUUUCACGCAUUCCUUUACUUGUGCUUCCCAAUUCAGUUUCCAACCCCUCCAACAUCUCAGAUAAAAGUGUCUUUUGUAGAUCUUCCAUGCCAUUGAUUCUGUUUGAUUUUUCUCUAACAUCGGAAAGAAAACUUGCAGCAUCAAAGUGUUGCACAAUUUUGUUAUACAAAGCUUUGGCAAGUUCCGUUUUUCCAAUUCCACCAAGUCCAUAUAUGCCCAACAUUCUUACAGUUUUAUCAUCAGACUUCAUGUCCAAAAGUGACAUAACUUCUUCUAUGCAGGCCUCAAGGCCAACAGGGUUUUGACCACUAUAUAAAGGUUUAGGAGUUAUAUAUUCCUUGACCUUCCCAACAAUUUCUUCAAUACAAUAGCUUUCAUCAUCCCUAUGAGAGUAGAGUAGAAUGUAAUAAUUAAUUAUUUGUUUGAUAUCAUGAUUUUUUUAUUAUUGUACUAAGUGAUUGUGAUUAUUGUAAUAGAUAGUAAGCAAUGAUACUAAUAGCAAGUAGCACAAAAGAAUAAUGAUUACACAUUAUACAAAAUUUACUGGAGAUGAAAAAGUUAAAGAAAUUUUAUUCUAAACAAAAAAUUCAAUAAUUUAUAAAAAAAUACCUAAAUAUAAUAUCAAAUUCAAAUAAAAAAUGGAUUUUUUUCAACUUUGUUUAUUAGUUUUUUUAUGUUUUAAAUUGUUUUUUAUAAUGUUCAGAAUUAUACUUUAUGACUAACAAAAUCAAUUAACACCCUGAAAAAAUCUAAAAUUUAAGAUGUGGAAUAUUAUAUAUAAGAAACUACACAUGAUAUAAAUAAUAUUACAUCCCAUUAUAAUUAAGAUGUAGAAUAUUAUAUUUAACAAACUACACGUGAUAAAAACAAUAUUACAUACCAUAAAGUAUAUUACAUGAAUCAUUUUUGUUUGUGAAAAGUAAAGUUCUACAUAAGAUCAACUUACUUUUGGUUUUUAACCUUUUAAAAAAGGUUAUAAUUAUUUUUUUAACUAAAAUCAUAUUUUUUGGAUGAGAGAAAAAUUAAGAGAGGAAAAGUAUUUUUUCUUUUAAAUUUCCCUUACCAAUUGUAUUUUUUUUUAUAUCUAAGAAAAGGUAAGUCUUAUGAUAGUGAUGUUAGUAAUGACUUCCAGCAAAGUUCGAAUAUGAGAAAUGCAUUUAAUAUUAAGGACUUGGAUCAAUAAACAAGAUUUUAGAAAUAAAAAUUCAUCGAGAUAGAAAAGAUAGAAAUGUUUUACUUUCUUAGAAUUAAAUAUUAAUGGUAAGUAAAACAAUACUCACCUACGAGCACAAUGCUUAAAAAAAUCUAAGAAAGUGUUGAAGGAACCCAAGAGAACAACAUGGUACUCAUUGAGAAAAUAUUGUUAGAGUCUAAGGUGUUCAAUAAACGCAAUUGAUGGUGGAAGUGAGAAACAACCAAGGUACAAAAAGACAAUCGAGACUCUUUAUGCUAUGUGUGAAAGAACCUACUACAACAACGUUAAUUGAGGUUAACAAUUCAUACAAUUAUAAACUUGUACCUGACUCUGCUAUUAAUAAUAGAAAUAGACUAUUUUUGGUUACGAAAUGGAAGUGUAGAGGCUAUUAGGUUAUGCGAAUUGGGUUAGGAAAUCAAAAUUACAUUUACAGAGUAGGAUGAAAAUAUUUUAAAGAUGAUUGAGAAAACAAAGGAAAGAGAAUGCAAAACGAAAAUAUUAAAGGAAGAGAAAAGACAAUCCAAUUAAUGAAGAUAAUAUGUUUAAACAUUAUAGGAGAAUUGAUUAAUAAGGAGGAGGUUGGGGUAGUGUUCUUACAAGAAACCAAAUUAGAAAUAGUCAAUAAAGAAAGAUGCUACAAUAUAAGAAACAAUGAUACAGAAUGGGAACAUUUUGUAGUUGUAAAUGGGGUACAUGAAAUUUUAAUUAAGUGGCAUAAGAAUACUUUCAUAUGUGACAUGUUGGGUAUAAAGCCAGAUCAAUUGGGUUGGGCUGACUAGACACCAUGUUUAGUGAGUGAGCUUAAUCAUUGUGUCCCUUUUAUAAUCUAUAUUUAAAGAGAUCAUUGUACUUGUAAUUGGUGUACAACCAGACAGAAAUGAAAACCUAAUAGUUGUCGGUGUGGGUGUAGGUUGCAGUUGGCGACCGAACCACGUUAAAUCUUGUAUUGUUUAUUUUCUGCAGUUGAUUCGUGAUUAUGUGUGUUGCUUCUGCUUGCGUUUUUUCCCAUCAAGUGGUAUCAAGAGCUUUGGUUCGUUUACACACUAGAGAUCCGAUCAGCAGAAAUUAAUCGACGAGACGUGAAAAUUGCGGCUGCAGUAGCGUCCUAAAGCUAGGGUUUCACAAAGGCGAGAUUAACGUUCCAAAGUUAGGGUUUCGCAAGGGUUGAAGUAGCGUCUCAAAGCUAGGGUUUCACAAAGGCGACAACAACGUCCCAAAGCUAGGGUUUCAUAGGCGCAAUAGCGUCCCAAAGUUAGGGUUUCGCAGAGGCGACAACAACAUUCCUAAGCUAGGGUUUCACAGGGACUGCAACGUUCCUAAGCUAGGGUUUCGCAAGGGCUGCAGCGACGUCCCAAAGUUAGGGUUUCACGGUGGCCCAGGAUUCGCGACAGCCUAGACCUGCGACUCGCGGCAGGUGUGCAAUGGUGUGGAUCGCUACAAGAGUGGUGGCGGCUCGUGACGUUGUGCAGAUGGCUUGCUCGUAGUAGGGUCGUGUCCAGGCAAUGCGGUGGAGUGUGCUAAUGUGACGACAGAUCGCGUUUCGCGGCGAACAGGUGCAGGUGCUUAUGGUGAGCGAGACGACACGAAGGUGCAGUGCGAUGGCAGUGACGGAAGACGCAGGGUGGCACGUACAUUUUUCUGCUGGUGCAGCAGUGACGGUGCGGUGCUAGGCGCGGGUGUGGCUGGUUUUUGCUGCGGCACGAAGUUAAGACAAUUCAGUUACUGAACACAUUAAUAAAAUGAAUUCGAUCUUAGCCAAACUUAUGUCAGUGGGCAUUAAGUUCGAUGAUGAAGUUCAAGCUUUACUACUGCUAUUGUCUUUGCCUGACAGUUGGUCCGGAAUGGUUACAACAGUUACCAGUUCAGUAGGAUCCGAUGGAUUCACUUUUGAGAAGAUUUGUGAUCUCAUUCUUGGCGAGGAUGUCCGAAGAAGGAGUUUUGGGGAAUUAGCUAGUGAAUCACUAUAUGUCAUCAGAGGUAAGAAAAAUAUCAAAGAUAGUGGGAGCAAGAACAAAAAAAGGAGUCAGUCAAAGACUCGGGAUUGCUCAAGUGUAACAUGUUGGAACUGCAAGGAGGUGAGGCAUUUCAGGAAUCAAUGCCCAAAUGAUAAAUAAGUCAACAUUGCAGAAGACUUCGUGGACGAGGACCUUUUAGCUUGUUGUGCGGAUUGAAGUGUGGAUUUCUAGGUCAUGGAUUCUGAAGCAUUGCAAAAUCUAGUUAUUGGAGACUUUGGAAAGGUAAGACUAGCAGACAACAAAACUCUUGAUGUUACGGGCAUGGGUGACAUAAUGUUGAAGACACUAGUUCGUUUCUAGACUUUGAAGGAUGUCAGAGUUGUUCUAAGCUUGACGAAAAGUUUGAUUUCUGUUAGGCAAAUGGACGAACAGGGACAUGAAGUGAAGUUCGAAAAUCAGCAGUGGAAGGUCGUCAAGGGAAAUCUUGUCAUAGCCUGCAGAAGAAAGAGAGGUUCGUUGUAUAUGGUCGGAUUACCUUCUAAGGGAGUGACCAUCCCAGUUCAGAAGAUAAACAAAGUUUGGUUCACAAAAUCUCGUGGGCAGAAGAGGGUCGUCUUUACAAGAGAGAAACCCAGAGCCACAGGUCAGAUUCAGGAUGAACGAGCAUGGAAAGGUUCAGGUAGACCAGUCAGAGGUACUUAUGGUAGUGGGAGCACGGGUCGUGCUUCAGUAGAGGUUCCUAGACGACAGUGGGUUAGUGAUUGACGUGUUGAAACUUAGGGGAGUUUUAACGAAGUCUUCUAAAUGAUUAAGAAAGUUGGUGGCAACUAGAGGUGGAACAUUGAAUUUCGUCGACAGAUUACAAAAGUACAUGUACACAGUUGAAGCGCAGGUGAACAUUGUUUCGUGACUUCAAGUGGGAGAUUGUUAGGUAUGAAGUCAAAACCAAUUGGGUUGGGCUGACUAUACAUCAUGUUUAGUGAGUGGGCUUAAUCAUUGUACACAGUUGAAGCGCAGGUGAACAUUGUUCCGUGGCUUCAAGUGGGAGAUUGUUGGGUAUGAAGCCAAGACCAAUUGGGUUGGGCUGACUAGACACCAUGUUUAAUGAGUGGGCUUAAUCACUGUAUCCAUUUUAUAAUCUCUAUUUAAAGAGAUCAUUGUACUUGUAAUUGGUGUGCAAUAGGACAGAAAUGAAAACCUAAUAGUUGUCUGUGUGGAUGUAGGUUGCAGUUGGCGACCGAACCACAUUAAAUCCUGUGUUAUUUAUUUUCUGCAGUUGAUUCGUGAUUAUAUGUGUUGCUUCCAUGUGAUUUUUUCCCAUUAAAACAUUGGUUAGAAAUACAAGUUUUUUUAGGAGUUAAAGAAAGCUAGAAAAAGAAUAAUAGGUCAAUAGUAAUAGUGAAUGUGUACUCCCUUGUAACUAUAGUGAUAAGAUAGUAAUGUUGGAUGAAAUAGCAAGAUUAAGAUAGGAAGAAGAAUGCAAAAUCUAGUGUGUAUUGGAGAAUUUUGACGGAAUAUGAAAUUUAGAUGAAAGAAGAGGUAUAAAUCAAGAUGGUAGAGGUUAGAGGGAUACAAUAGAAAUUAAUGAAUUUAUAGAAAACACUGAAAUCAUGGAUAGUAGUUAGAAAAUUUACUUCGUAUCCAAAUGGAAUUGCAAAAAGUAGGUUUCACAAAAUUUUAUUCAGGAGAGCGUUAGAUCAUUGUGUUAUGGUGUUAAAUUCCAUACAAAUAUAUUGGGAUUUGAAUCCAUGACCUUGUAAUGUAUGGAUGCACUAGUAAAGAGUCCACGAAAGAAUAGCGGUGUUAGUGGAUGUGGUAUGGUCACUAAAAUAAACAUACAAUCGAGGGUCAAAAUCCAUAAAAAAGACCAAAAUUUCAUCAAUAAUAUGGUUGUCAGUAAAUUUACCAGCAGAAAAAGUUCUGUCAAUAAUUAUUAAUAUUAUUAAUUAUUAUUUUAAAAAUAAUAUUUAUCUUUAACAAAUUAUAUUAUUAUUAUUAUUUCUAAUUAUAUUAGCACAUUAUUAUUUUGUUGCAAGUGGGACUUAAAACUGAGGAUUAGUGGUAGGAGAGUCUCUAACCACUUGAAUAAAGUGAUGUCAUUGUAAUAUUUUGAUUUUUAUUAUGUUAUUAAUAAUAAUAAUAAUAUUAAAAAUAAUAAUAAUAAUAUUAUUAUUAUGAAUAUUAUUGUAAUUAUUAUUAUUAAUAUAUUAUAAUUAUUGUAGUCAUUAUUAAUAUUAAUAUUGUUAGUAUUAUAAUUACAAAUAUAAAACUAAUAAUAAUAGUGGUAAUAAUUACAAUAAUAAUAAUAUUAUUAAUAAUAAAAUUACUAAUAAUAUUAAUACUAACAUUAUUAUUAAUCUUAAUAUUAAUAAAAUUAAUAAUAUUUAAUAAUUACAAUAAUAAUAAUAAUAAAAUAUUAAUAAUUAUAAUAUUAAUAUUAAUAAUAUGAAUAAUAAUUAUAGUAAUAAUUCUAAAUGUUACUAUUACUAAAAUUCACAAUAAUUUCAAUAAUUAUAAUAAUUUGAUAUUAUUACUAACACUACAAGAAAAUCAUGAAAUAGAAAUCAAUUUUAGAAACAAAAAAUAAUUAGUUGCUAUAGUGACUAAAUUAGAGACCAUUUUAGGGACUAAAUAAUUUUUUGGUUUCUAAAUUAGUUUCUAUUAUUGUUAAAUGGUUUUUAAAUUGGUAUCUAAUUAGUAACCAACUUUUUUGCUACCAAAUUUAAAAUCUAAAUAAUUGGUAGUUAGAAUUUUGGUUGCUAAUUAGAUACCAAUUUAGAAACUAUUUAAAUAUAAUAGAAACUAAUUUAGAAAUCAUUUUUUUUAGUUUCUAAAAUGGUCUAUAAUUUAGUUACUAUUGCAACUACUUAUUUUAGUCUCUAAAAAGGUUUCUAAUUUAGUUACUAUUGCAACUAAUUAUUUUAAUCUCUAAAAAUUGGUUUCUAUUUGAUGAUUUUCUUGUAGUGUAAAUUCAAUAUUAGGCUAAGUAACAUUCUCUUCUAUUUCUAUUAGUGAUAAUAUAGUCCUAACAAGUGAGUUCACAUAACUAGAAAUUAAGAAAGCAAUAGACAGUGUAAGAGUGAUUAAAUUUUGGGCAAUGGCUAUAAAAUUGGCUUUACAAAGAAAUUAUGGGAGGUUGUAAAAGUAAAAAUCAUACCAUCUACCCAUUCUUUCAAACUCCUUAGUUGGGUGUAUGUAUAAGAUAAUAUGUAAAGUGUUGUCUAGUAGGUUAAAACAUAUCUAUCUAAGAUGAUUGAGAGCUACUAAUCAACAUUCAUGAUGAAGUAUUUGAUUAAAGAAAACAAGUAAAAUAGAUGCAAUGAUGACGAAUGAAUGGAAAGAGGAGGAUGGGGAAUUUUACAAUGUAAAUUACAAAAAGUUAUAACAUAUUUGUAAGAAGAAAGACUCUAACAUGUUUAAUCUUUUCUAGAAGGUGAAGAUGCUACCCUCAAUACAACAUUUUGCAUGGAAGGUAAUAAAUAUUAAAUCGUGUAGCAACAAAACAAAAGAAAAUUGGAGGAGUAAGGGAGUAAUGAUAGAUAAUGUUUUUUGCCCUAUGUGCAUAUUAAUGGAGCAAUUCGUUAACCAUUUAUUCUUCAGAUGUAACAUUGUACGUUGUGUGAAAUAUGUGCAACAACUAGGUUGGAGUAAGUACUCUUAUCACUACAAAAAAAAAUCAGUAUUAUUUAUGCAUUUUUACCCAUGAAUCUGAACCCGUAGGUAAAUUCAACAUUAUCUACAUAUAUUACCCAUGGAUAUUACUCACAGAUUCUUAGUCUGUAGGUAAAUUCAACAUUACUUACUAAUUAUUACCCACAAAUCUUAUUACCUACCAACUUUUACCUACGGAUCUCUAUUACCUACCAACUAUUAUCAUAAUAAUUACAUACAUAAAUUAAAAAUAUUAAUAUAAUAUGAAGCAUUAUAAAAUCAUAAUUAAUAUUCAUAAAUAAUAAUAACCAUAACUAAUUUAUACAUAUUUUUAAUAUUAUAAAAUUAAUAAUAUUAAUAAUAUUAAUAAUAUUAACAAUAUUUAAUAAUAUUAACAAUAUUUAAUAAUAUUUAACAAUAUUAAUAAUAUUAAUAAUAUUAAUAAUAUUAACAAUAUUAACAAUAUUAAUAAUAUUUAACAAUAUUAAUAAUGUUAAUAAUAUUUAACAAUAUUAAUAAUGUUAAUAAUAUUAAUAAUAUUAAUAAUAUUAAUAAUAUUUAACAAUAUUUAACAAUAUUAAUAAUAUUUAACAAUAUUUAAUAAUAUUAACAAUAUUAAUAAUAUUAACAAUAUUUAACAAUAUUAAUAAUAUUAAAAAUAUUUAACAAUAUUAAUAAUAUUAAAAAUAUUUAACAAUAUUAAUAAUAUUAAUAAUAUUUAACGAUAUUAAUAAUAUUUAACGAUAUUAAUAAUAUUUAACGAUAUUAAUUAUAUUUAACAAUAUUAAUAAUAUUUAAUAAAUGAUAUUAAAUAUAUGAAUAAUGUUAUUAAUUUUUAUUUUAUUAAUUAUUUUAAUAUUGAUAAUCAUACUCAUAAAUAUAAUAAUAAUCAUAACAUGAUAACAAAACUUGACUGGUGGAAUGGUUAAAUCUUCUAUGAAUAUUUUUUCAAGGAACUUGAAAUCACCUGCACCUGCAGUUUAGUUCUAACAUUAAUUAUAACAUUUAUUAUUUAAAAUUUUAAUUAAUUGGGAGAUAUUAGUGUAUAUAUGCCCAACAACUUGCAUAAUAAUUUUCUUUCCCUCAAAGUUGUCACUCUUCCAUUGAAUCAUUGUUGUCAAGUUAAUUAUUUUUUUAUUUUUUAUUUAUUUUUAUUUAUUUUUUCCUGACCAAUUCGCCCCGCUCCAUCGCUGACCCGCGCGGAUCGUGGAUUAUACGGGACGGGCUAAUGUGGAUUAGCGGAUUGAAAACGUCAAUCCGCCCUGCAUUUUUUGCCGUAGACCGACCCGUAUAACCCGUUCCACUUUGUCACCCCUAAAUGGAGUCUAGACCUAAAUGGAGUAUAGUGAUCAUGCAUUCUUAUAGGAGGAACAGUAAAUUGAUUAUCUGAGUUUGAUAAUGUUAUAAUUUUGUCUAGUACAAAAAUUGAAAACAUGCGAACUAUCCAAACAUAGGUCACUAACCAAAGAACUAAAACAUAAACAACAAAAAGAUUAUUUUAUUCUGAUAGUCAAAAUCCAUUACACAUAACAAUAAAUCUGGUCUUUUAUUUCAAAACAAAACACAUAGUUAUGCAUCGUUCGAUACUAUUAUUUUCUAUUUAGAUUUAUAAACAAAUAUUAUAAUUUUAUUUCUUUCACUAAAGUAACAUUAUUAUUUUUUAUUCGAGAUUUGGGAUGAAAAAGAAAUAAGAUUGAAUGGUUUGUUAUACAUACCCGGUGGUAAUAUGCUUCCCUGGGAAGUCAACUGCUUGAGACAAGGCUGACCUCCAAGCCUGCAUCUGUGAUUCUUUUGCAAUGUCAUUUUCAUGUGCCUUCAUGUGUUUUCCGAAGCUAUUUCUCUCGUGCCGUAUAUCUGAGGGAUCUACAUGGUAAAACACUGGGUAAACAAGCUGCUUCUUCUCCUUCAUUUUGCUUCGUUCUAUGAUCCUAACAAGUUCAUCCAGACACCAUCUGGAAGAUGCAUAGUUCUCAGAAAACACAACGAUGAAAAUCUUAGAUUCUUCAAUGGCCUUCGACAGAUCAGGUGGAAGACUUUCCCCUGUCCUCAUAUUCUUAUCAUCAUUGAAACUUUUUAUUCCCUUCCCAUCUAACUCUCUACGCAGAUGCCCUAUAAAAUUGUUCCUUGUAUCUUCUCCUCUAAAACUGAUGAACACAUCAUAGGUGAAACCAAGACGCUCUUCUUCCUCACCAUGUUCUCCCAUGCUACAAACACACCAAAACUACACUAUGGAUUCUCAACUACUUUCAUCAAUUUAGUGUGUUCUGAUUAAAUACACUUUCUUUCGCGGAUACACGCUUUCAUGUAUCAGUGAAUUAAGCUUCUUAAUUAUAGGGGUUGACCAAGAAGAUGAAGAACAUGGGAUAUAAUUAUUACAACUACCAAACAUGAUGCCUCGAUCUUGAAAAUAAAGAUGAUGGGAACACAAGUAAUUCACGUGGUGCAUAUUUAAUGUGGUUUAUAUUGUACAGAAUUGGAUUCCUGUGUAUAAAAAAAUAUAGCGUUCAUAUUUAUGUGUAUUUAAUUAAAUUUAUAAUAUUGUUUUUCUAUUUUAUAAUAUUGGAUUCCCUUGUAUAAAAAUGUUUUCUUUUACGUUUUUUCGGUUUUUUUUUUCUGGUCAAAGUUGCAAACUUUAAUUAUCUCUGUCAUUCUUUCAUUUCUUUUGCCAAAAUGCUUUCUCUUGCAUCUUUUUCAUUUUUUUAUUUUUGGUUCUCUGUUUUUGUUAUUCUUUGGCGUUUGUCAAAAUAUUUUCUCUUACGUUUUCCCCAUUUUUUUUCUUAUGAUUCUUUGUUUUUUUUUUUUUAAUUUUCAUUGUUCUACGCAAACUUUGAUCAUUCUAUGCCAUCCUUUAUUUUUUGUUUGUGAAUUAUUACUGAAAAUUGUAGGUAAGCUGUAUUUUGGUGAUACGAACAAGAUUAAAUGUAAUCAAUAUUUUGUUGAUCAUAAGCAAAUGUUGUUCAAUGAAUAUUUGUUAUUAUGUUAAUUUUGAUGUAUUUUGUUAAUUAUGUUACUAAUGUCGAGUUAUUUAUAAUUUUAUUCGUUUUCUCCAUAAAAAUUUAAAAAAUGUAUUUAUACUAACUGUUGGUGUAACAUCCCUAAAUUUACCCAUAUAUAUAUAUAUAUAUAUAUAUAUAAUAAAAUAAUAGUAAAACAAACAAUAUUUAAUUAACAAAUAAACAUAUACUACUUGUUGAUAUUUGUAUCUCAAAAAUAUAUACAUCAAAAGUUUAAAAACAAAACACAGCAAAGCAUUCAAUUUAAAUCUAUCUAAUCCUCCUUCUGCUCACUGAGGAGCUCUAUUACCUACAACUUCAUCUGCUCCCGUGUAAAUUAACACGAUCAUCACAGAUUAAAGAAAACAAAAACAAACAAAUAACAUGGUAAGCUAGUUAUAUAAAACAAAAUUCUAUAAAAUUUCAAUUUGAAAUUUAUAAAACAUAAAUCAUCAAGUCUCGUACAAAUUCUCAAAUCAUCAAGUGUCUAUUAAAAUUCAACAUUCAUCUUUCAUAUGUCAGACUUCCACUGACUAAUAUAACAUAGACACUUGAUUCUACUUCUGAAAGACUCGUGUAUUGAAAUUAGCAUCCAGAGACCUGCACCUGUCAUACUACUGCUGUGAAAUCCACACAGUCAUGCGCAUAAUUAUCUCAAUAUCUCAUCCACUCAUAUGACAGGGUAAAUUCAUAUGACCUGAAAGAUCAGGUUCUAUUUCAAACCCCAGACAUAAUCAUAUGAACCUCCAUCGACUCUCACCAACUGAAUAACUUCAUCUAUGUUAUUCCAUUAUAUCAGUAGAGUCAGGAUUGUCUAAUUCACAGAUACUCACAAAUCAAUACACCCUAACAGCAAUCUCAACACGGUAUUUUCUUUCCUGAAAAUACUAUGUCUUGAUCUUACUUUCACAUCAAUGCACACUUCAUUUAACACAUCAAUACACCAUACAAUCAUAACAUAUAAUUUAACUUUCUAAUAAUCCAAAUAUAUCCAAGAAGUUAUUUAAUAAUAGUAAUCCAAAAUAAACUAUGCUAAAAUAAUAAUAAUAGUAAUAUCCAUAUAUGUAUACAAAAUUUUGAAUUGAUCGAAAAUAUUUUAGGUUUAUCUAAAUGACACCAGAGAGCACCAAAAAAUUUGGAUUGAUCGAAAAUAUUUUUAGGUUGAUCGAAAUGACACCAGAGAGCACCAGAAAUUUUAGAUUGAUCGAAAAUAUUUUUAGGUUGAUCGAAAUGACACCAGAGAGCACCAGAAAAUUUGAAUUGAUCGAAAAUAUUUUUGGUUGAUCUAAAUGACACCAGAGAGCACCAGAAAUUUUAGAUUGAUCGAAAAUAUUUUUAGGUUGAUCGAAAUGACACCAGAGAGCACAAGAAAUUUUAGAUUGAUCGAAAAUAUUUUUAGGUUGAUCGAAAUGACACCAGAGAGCACCAGAAAUUUUAGAUUGAUCGAAAAUAUUUUUAGGUUGAUCGAAAUGACACCUGAGAGCACCAAAAUUACAAAGUCCAUGCUAUAGCUGAAAAUUACUCUAAAUCAACUUCAAGCAACCAAAAAUCAACAACAUUAUAAUUUUAUAACAACAAUCAUAUCAAAUUUUACAUUCAAAUCUCAGUCAAUUACUAAUAUACUUAAAUCAAACAACCUUGGAAGAAAGUUUGAGACUGGUGACCACAUCACCCUCACAUCCAGAUCUUCUAGCCUAGUGUUCUAUUGGAAAUUAAGGCUAGCUUCCCUUACCUGAAUUUUAGUAGAUAUACACUAAGAGCUCCAAAACCACCAAGAACUCAAAGGUAACUUAACCUGCACCACAAAGUCCAAAUAAAAAAUCUAACUAUAUUACUAAGACCCUGAGCUAACAGAGAUUAACCUUGAAGCUAAAAGGGUCACAUGCAAAGCAAGACAAAAACAACCUGACAAGUUCAAAAUUUGACUCAAAGAGAAGAGCAAAAAUGAACUUACUCUAUCAGAGAUUCUGAUCGGGCAGUCUUGUAGUACUCACUGCCAGGAGUCUGAUGGUGGACUCUGAUCGUCAAACCGAUGAACGAGGAAGUCAGAAUCUUAGAGAAGGGAGAGAAAAAGAAAAGAACUUUCUAGAGAGAUGGUGGUUCUUUUUAAAAUGAAACCUGAAUAACUGAAUUUCUAUUUAUAUUCCCUUUUCAUUUUAGAUAAAAAAAUAUUCAGGAGUCAUUUAAAAUAUACCACUUCUACUCUAAAGUAAUUUUCUAGAUCCUUACAUUCUCCCCAACAAGAAAAAUUUUCGUCCCCGAAAAUUGACUUACCAGAAAAGAGAUAGGGAUAACUUUCCCUAAUGGUUUCUUCUAAUUCCCAAGUGGAAUCACCAGAUAUAUCAUCCCACACCACCUUCACCAUACUGAUGGUCUUGCCCCUGAGUUGUUUACUCUUUUGAUCUUCAAUCCUAAUUGGUUUUGCUUCAAAAGACAAGUUAUCCUUGAUUUGCACAUUAUCCACUUCCAACACGUGACUAGGAUCUGGAAUAUACUUUCUUAGUUGUGAUACAUGAAAUACAUUGUGCAGGUUUGCUAAUUGAGGAGGUAGAGCAAUCUCAUAAGCCACUGGACCUAUCUUCCUUAAGACUUGAUAUGGUCCAAAAAACUUAGGAGAUAACUUAUUUGAUCUGAUAGCUCGUCCUACACCCUUGGUUGGUGUCACUCUCAUGAACACUUGGUCUCCAGCUGCAAACUCCAAAGGUUUUCUCCUCUUAUCUGCAUAGGAUUUCUGCCUACUUUGAUAAGCUUUCAAUCUGUCUUGUAUCUGCUUCACUUUCUCAGUGGUCUGUUGAAUUAACUCUGGCCCAACCAAAACUGUUUCACCAUCCUGAUACCAACAUAAAGGAGUUCUGCACUUCCUCCCAUAUAGAGCUUCAUAUGGUGUCAUCCCAAUACUGGCAUGAUAACUAUUAUUAUAAGUGAACUCCACUAGAGGUAACAUCUCAUCCCAACUUCCCAGAUGAUCCAAAAUACAUGUCCUCAACAGAUCUUCUAAAGACUGGAUCGUCCUCUCAGACUGUCCAUCUGUUUGAGGGUGAUAUGCAGAGCUCAUUCUCAACCUAGUUCCCAAAGAGUCUUGUAGAGUUUGCCAAAACCGUGAAGUAAACCUGGGAUCUCUAUCCGAAACAAUACUGGAAGGCACUCCAAGCAAUCUCACAAUCUCUUUGAUGUACAACUGUUCCAACUUGGCCAUAGAUAUCCUUAAAUUAACUAGAAGAAAGUGAACACUCUUUGUCAGUCGAUCAACUAUUACCCAGACUGCAUCAUGACCCCUUACUGAUCUUGGUAAGUGAGUAACAAAAUCCAUAGCAAUGUUGUCCCAUUUCCACUCAGGAAUAUCCAACUGCUGUAACAAACCACCAGGUCUCUGAUGUUCUACUUUUUCCUUCUGACAUGUCAAACAUGUACCAACAUACUGAGCUAUUUCUUUCUUCAUGCCUGACCACCAAAAGGACUCUUUCAAAUCUUGGUACAUCUUUCAUACCGGGAUGUAGACUAAGAUGACUCUUAUGACCCUCUUCUAGGAUCAUUCUCUUCAGCUCUUCAUUUUCAGGUAUGCAAAUCCUGCCAUUAAAUCUCAAGAUCUCAUCUUCUCCCAUCACAAAGUCCUUAACUUGAUUUGUACCUAGUAACUCCACAGUACGCUUCAGACUAGGAUCCUCUAACUGUUUUUCCUUUAUUAUUCCAAGGAAAUCAUUAGUUAUAGUUAACUUACUACAACUAAUAUGAUUAAUAUGAAAUUUCACUCCCAAAUUUAGAUCCUUGAACUGCUCAAUCAACUUCUGCUCUUCAAUCAUCAUAGCUGACACCUGUACUGACUUUCUACUCAAAGCAUCUGCAACUACAUUAGCCUUCCCUGGAUGGUACAUCAAUUGAAAAUCAUAAUCCUUCAGAAACUCCAUCCAUCUUCUUUGUCUCAUAUUCAACUCUUUCUGAUCAAACAAAUAUUUUAAACUUUUAUGGUCACUGAACACCUGAAAUUGAGCUCCAUACAAAUAAUGCCUCCAAAUCUUCAAAGCAACACUACUGCUGCCAAUUCUAAGUCAUGAGUAGGAUAAUUUCUCUCAUGAACUUUGAGUUGCCUUGAAGCAUAUGCAACUGCUCUCUUCUCUUGCGUUAAGACACAACCUAAACCCUGAUAGGAAGCAUCACAGUAAACCUCAAAAGGUUUUCUUGUAUCAGGAAUCACUAACACCGGAGCACUAGUUAAUAUUUUCUUCAGCUCUAUAAAACUCUACUCACAUCUGUCAGUCCAAGCAAAAGGUUGAUCUUUGCGAGUUAAUUGAGUCAAAGGAGCUACUACCUUGGAAAAAUCUUCAAUGAACCUUCGAUAGUAUCCAGCUAAACCCACAAAACUUUUUAUCUCUGUGACUGUCCUAGGGUGUUCCCACUGAAGCACUGCCUCCACCUUGGCUGGAUCCACUGAGAUCCCCUGAGCUGAUAUUACAUGCCCUAAGAAAUUGACUUCCUCCAGCCAAAACUCACACUUAGAGAACUUAGCAUAUAAUUGUUUUUCCCUCAAAAUUUCCAACACUAUCUUCAGAUGUUCUUCAUGUUCUUCCUCGGUCCUUGAAUAAAUAAGUAUAUCGUCUAUAAAGACUACAACAAACUUGUCCAAGAAAUGACGGAAAAUUCUAUUCAUGUAAUCCAUGAAAAGAGCUGGAGCAUUUGUUACUCCAAACGACAUCACCACAUACUCAUAGUGUCCAUAACGAGACCUAAAAGCUGUCUUCUGAACAUCUUCAUCUUUUACUAAAAUCUGAUGGUAUCCAGAUCUCAGAUCAAUCUUUGAGAACACUGAGGCUCCAUGUAACUGAUCCAUUAAAUCAUCAAUUCUGGGCAGAGGAUACUUGUUUUUGAUGGUCAACUUAUUCAACUGCCUGUAAUCUACACACAACCGAGACCCUCCAUCCUUCUUUUUAACUAGAAGCACCGGAGCCCCCCAUGGAAAUACAUUGGGCUUGAUGAACUGUUUCUCCAAUAAGUCUUCAACUUGCUUCUUUAGUUCAAUUAAUUCAGCUGGAGCCAUUCUGUAAGGUCCCAUUGACACUGGUCCAGCUCCAGGUGCCAAAUGAAUAGAGAAUUCUACUUCUCUCUUGGGAGGUAAUCCAGGUAUUUCUUCUGGAAAUACAUCCAUGAAAUCCUUCACCACAUGUAUACUACUUAUUUCUUUAUCAUUCUUAACUCCCAUCUGAGUUAAGAUUACAAGCCACCUUGAUCCUUCUUUCAAUUCUGACCACACAUGUUGAGCAGACAUCACAUAUGACUCCUUGGAAUAUGAAAACACUAUUUUCUGUUGACUACAAUCUAUGAGAAUGUGAUUGACAGAUAGCCAAUCCAUUCCUAGAAUAACAUCCAGGUCUUGAAGAGGUAGACAAAUUAAAUUUAUUUUGAAAGUAUCGAUUUUACUUUCGGAUCUUUAGCUGGCACUCACUGACCCCGUCUUUGCUCUACAAAGUGUUGCGGUAGGUAAAGAACUCGAUCUUAAUAUAAAUUUCCAGCAGGCUCUCUGUGAUCUAUCUUGGACUGGAAAUGGAGAUUGAUUUGAAUAUGCAGUCUCUCUAGUGGCAUCUACCCUUUAUCCUUUGUUUGAAUUAUUAAGUAAGUAUAUGCAUUGAUUUGAUAAUUUAUUUUGAUGUAUGCAUUUAAAGGUCCUUUCUUGUGAAAAUAAAUGUUCUGGGAUUGGUUGGCGCAUUACAAAGGCUUGCUUGCAUUGCAUGAAAGCCGCUUUAGCAAGAAAGGCGGGAAUCUCUUCAAGGGUUGACAACUGUGAGAUAUGAACUAUUAUUGGACAUUCAAAACAAACUGUAGAGGUCAAUACUUUUCCUGAUGCAGGGGUAGAGACCAGCAGUUCAAACGACAACUCUUUCACUAAAAGACCCAACUCAUCUACACACAAAAGAAUGUGUCGCUCCUGAAUCAAACAAAACUUUCACACAUCUACCAGCUAUAUAACAUACACCUUGUACCAAAUUACCUGACUGAGAUGUUUCAGCUCCUGACAUAGAAAAAACUCUUCCAGUUGCUUGGGGUCUGCCACCCCCUCCUCUUCCUAGUUGUAAGUUACCUCCAAGAAUUAUCCUCCUCUUAUUAGGGCAAUCUUUUGAUAGAUGUUCUUCUUUAUGACAAGUAUAACAUUUUCUCUCUGAUAAAAGUUUAGGACAAUCUUUCUUCAAAUGGGGUCCAACACAGUGAUAACAUGUGGGUAUCUAUGGUGGUUGUUGCUGAAACUGCGGUGGAGCUGCUCCUGCCCUAUGUUGUGGAGGUCUAGCAUAAGGCAUGUGUUGUUGAUGUUGUACCUUGGCCUUUCCACUAGAAGACCCUCCUGGGUGUGAUCUCAUUACCCUGGAAUCCCCCUUUUCCAAGGUCUCCACCAUCUUCGCCUUCUCCACUAAGCUAGGAAACUCCCUGAUGCACAUAGGUGAUAUAAUCUUUUUCAACUCAUGUUUUAAACCUUCUUCAAACUUCCUACACCUCCAAGCCUCAGAGGUAGCUUGUAGAAUCUGGCUAGAUACUCAAACCUAGCAGCAUAAGCAUUAACUGACAUCUCUCCCUGUUCCAACUUGAGAAAUUCAGUUUCCUUUGCAAACCUUGCACUAUCUGGAAAAUAUUUCUCCAGAAACAUCACUCUAAAACACUCCCAGUCCAAAACUUCAGCUCUGACUUCCAUCAUUUGUUGAGCUCCCAUCCACCAGAACUCUACUUCUCCAGACAACAAAUAUGUAGCAAAAACCAAAUUCUUAUCCUCAGGGCAUGAGGUUGCCUUAAAGAUCUUCUCUAUCUCCCUUAUCCAUUGGUUUGCUUGAUCCGGAGUGGCAUUCCCACUGAACUUAGGUGGGUUAUGCCUCAUGAACUCUGUCAGUCCCAACUGCUCUUGAGACAAACUGACAUGGGAAGUUGUUGCAGCAAAUCUAGCAUUCUCCCAAUGAUGCAUUGUUGUCUGGUGAUUCUGAGCCAUUGCCAUAUUCUGUUGUUGGAUAGCUUUUGCCAUCAUCUCAAUAGCCCUGACAAUCUGGUUCAUCUCAGAAGAAGGUUGGGGAGGGGUAGGAGGUCUAGGAGCCAUUCUAUAAAACAAAGAAGAAAGAUUCAUGAUAAAUCUUUAGAAUUUUAAACUAUGUAGUUUUUACUAACAAACCAAUUAAAGCACACAAAAACAACCCCAUAACUCUUAGGUCUCCUAAGGUUCGAAAAGCUCUGAUACCAUAAUGUAACAUCCCUAAAUUUACCCAUAUAUAUAUAAUAAAAUAAUAGUAAAACAAGCAAUAUCUAAUUAACAAAUAAACAUAUACUACUUGCUGAUAUUUGUAUCUCAAAAAGAUAUCCCUCUUCAUAGGGAUUUAAUAUAUACAUCAAAAAGUUUAAAAACAAAACACAGCAAAGCAUUCAAUUUAAAUCUAUCUAAUCCUCCUCCUGCUCACUGAAGAGCUCUAUUACCUACAACUUCAUCUGCUCCCGUGUAAAUUAACAUGAUCAUCACAGAUUAAAGAAAACAAAAACAAACAAAUAACGGGUAAGCUAGCCAUAUAAAACAAAAUUCUAUAAAAUUUCAAUUUGAAAUUUAUAAAACAUAAAUCAACAAGUCUCAUACAAAUUCUCAAAUCAUCACGUGUCUAUUAAAAUUCAAUAUUCAUCUUUCAUAUGCCAGACUUCCACCGACUCAUAUAACAUAAACACUUGAUUCUACUUCCGGAAGACUCGUGUAUUGAAAUUAGCAUCCAGAGACCUGCACCUGUCAUAUUAUUGUUGUGAAAUCCACACAACCAUGCGCAUAAUUAUCUCAAUAUCUCAUCCACUCAUAUGAUAGGGUAAAAUCAUAUGAACCUCCAUCAACUCUCACCAACUGAAUAACUUCAUCUACGUGAUUACAUUAUAUCAGUAGAGUCAAGAUCGUCUCAUUCACAUGAUACUCACAAGUCAAUACACCCUAACAACAAUCUCAACACGGUAUUUUCUUCCCUGAAAAUACUAUGCCUUGAUCUUACUUUCACAUCAUUGCACACUUCAUUUAACACAUCAAUACACUAUGCAAUCAUAACAUAUAAUUUAACUUUCUAACAAUCCGAAUAUAUCCAAGAAGUUAUUUAAUAAUAGUAAUCCAAAAUAAACUAUGCUAAAAUAAUAAUAAUAGUAAUAUCCAUAUAUGUAUACAAAAUUUUGGAUUGAUCGAAAAUAUUUUAGGUUGAUCUUAAGGACACCAGAGAGCACCAGAAAAUUUGGAUUGAUCGAAAAUAUUUUAGGUUGAUCUAAAUGACACCAGAGAGCACCAGAAAAUUUGGAUUGAUCGAAAAUAUUUUUAGGUUGAUCGAAAUGACACCAGAGAGCACCAGAAAUUUUAGAUUGUUCGAAAAUAUUUUUAGGUUGAUCGAAAUGAUACCAGAGAGCACCAGAAUUACAAAGUCCAUGCUAUAGCUGAAAAUUACUCUAAAUCAACUUCAAGCAACCAAAAAUCAACAACAUUAUAAUUUUAUAACAGCAAUCAUAUCAAACUAGUGUAGGAAUCAAACUGAACAUAAAAAAAAAAAAACAAAUAUAAAUCAAACUUUGUAUAGAGGAAUCAAAAGUCUGCGUUGCAUUGAAUAUUGAAAUGAACAGUGAGGUUCCAAAAUAAUAGGGAUACACUGAUAUGCAAAAUAAAACAACUUUAUACUUAACCAGAAAAAAGCAAUAAAGCAAUACAAACUUGCAAUGUUUAUUACAAUAGUGUAUAAACUUCAGAAAAGCAUACGAAAACUCUAAAGAACUAUCUACAAAUUUUCUUUUCUAUAUAUCAUAGUUGUUAUAGGCAAGGUGAGGUGCUGCAUCAAAUGAAUUUUGAACAAGUCAACCAAGUGCUAAAGUUUCAGAAAAGAAUACGAAAACUCUCAAGAAUUGUCUACAAAUUUUCUUUUCUAUAUAUCACAGCUAUUGUAGGCAAGAUGAUGUGCUGCAUCAAAUGAAUUUUGAACAAGUCAGGCAAGUGUCAAAGCUGCCAAUACAAUGAAGUAUUCUGACCUAGAGAAAAAAGCAAUAGACUAGCAUCCACAUGUGAGUCUUUCCCGAAGUGUGUUCAAAUUGCUCUGAGACAUGGAAACCCAAAUCUGAAAAGUAUCAUACAAUAUGCAUUUUGAAACUCUACUAUACAAAAAUGUGCAAUCCAAGUUUUGCACAAUUAGUGUGAAAAUUCAAAUAAAAUUAUUUUCAGAAUAUGCAAAGAACAAAAUUUAACUACAAGUGUCAAUGGAGGAAUAAUUGAUAUCUUUAUUAUGAAUGGAUUAAUCUAUAACUUGGUUAUUGUGAAUCCAUUGAGUUUUAUUCUAUCAUUGUUUUUCUCUAUUUUGUACUACAUUGUAUUGGCAGCUUUGUAUAAUCAGAAUGAGAGUAGUGCACAGUGGACAUUGAGGUGCCAAAAAAAUCAAACAAAGAUUCAAAAAUUUCUACUUAAAUAAAAAUCAUAAAUAAAUAAAAUUUCUAAAUUAUUCAAAAUUCUAAAUAAAUACAAAUCAUAAAUUAUUUAAGGUCAUACGUAAAUAAAAAUCUCCAAAAAAAUAAAAUUCCAAAUUAUGAAAAAUCUUAAAAAAAUAUAAAUCUAAAUUAUUUAAUAUCCUACUUAAAUAAAAAAAUUACAAUAAAUAAAAUACCUAAAUUAUUCAAAAUUCUAAACCUAUGCAAAUCCUAAAUUAUUCAAUGUGAUACUUAAAUAAAAAUGGUAAUAAAUAAAAUUCCUAAGUUAUUAAAAUUUAUAAAUAAAUUCAAAUCCUAAAUUAUUUUACAUUGUACUUAAAUAAAAAUUUAAAAUAAAUAAAAUUCCUAUAUUAUUAAAGUUUGUAAUACAAGACCUAAAUUACUUAAUGUUCUAAUUAAAUAAAAAUAAAAAAUCAAUUAAAUUUUUAAAUUAUACAAAAUCUGAAACAAAUACAUAUCCUAAAUUAUUUAAUGUCCUACUUAAAUAAUAAUUCACAAUAAAUAGAAUUUCUAAAUUAUUCAAAAUUUUAAACAAAUACAAAUUUUAAAUUACUUCAUGUCCUACUUAAAUAAAGUAUCUAAAAUACUCAAUAAAUACAAAUUUUAAAUUAUUUAAUGUCCUACUUAAAUAAAAAUCUGAAAUAUAUAAAAUUUCUAAAUUAUUUAAAAUUCUAAAUAAACACAAAUACUUACUUAGUUUAUGUUAUACUUAAAUAAAAAUCUCAAAUAAAUAAAUUUUUUAACGUUUUCCAAAAAUCGUAAAUAAAUACAAAAUAAAUGAAAUUUAUAAAUUUUCAAAAUUAAAAAUAAAUAUAAGUCGAAAAAAAUUUAAUGUUAUUCUUAAAUAAAAAUUAAAAAUAAAUAAAAUUUCUAAAUUAUUUAAUGCCAUUCUUAAAUAAAAAAUUUCUAUGUUUUCAAAAUUCUAAAUAAGUACAAAUCUUAAAUUAUUGUAUUUCCUACUUAAAUAAUAAUCUAAAAUAAAUAAAACUUCUAAAAUUUUCAAAAUCCAAAAUAAAUACAAAAUUUAAAUUAUUUAAUAUUAUACUUAAAUAAAAAUCCAAAAUAAAUCAAAUUCCUAACUGAUUCAAAAUUGCUAAAAAAAUAGAAACCCUAAAUAUUUAAUGUCAUAAUUAACAUCCUUAAUUUUACCCAUAUAUAAUUAAAUAAAAGUAAAACAAGUAAUAUCUAAUUACAAAUAAACAUAUACUACUUUCUUAUAUGUGUAUCUCAAAAGAAAUAUCUCUUCAUAGGGAUUUAAUAUAUACAUCAAAAGUUUUAAUAACAAAACAAAGCAUUCAAAUAAAACUAUCUCAUCCUUCAGCGGCUCACUAAGGAGCUUUAUUACCUGCAAUCUCAUCUGCUCCCAUGUAAAACACGAUCAUCACAGAUAAAGAAACAACACAAACAAAUAAUAGGGUAAGCUAUCUAUAUAAAAAGUUUUGAUAUAAUUUAAAUUUCAAAUUUAUAAGCAUAGUUCAUCAAUUCUCAUAUGAUUUCUCAAACCAUCAGGUGUCUAUUACAUUCAUAAAAUUCAUCAUCUUUCAUAUGUUAGACUUCUACUGACUCACAACACAAAGACACUUGCGGAAGACUCGUGCGUUGACUUAGACUCAGAGAUCUGCACUUGUCAUACUAUCUCACUGUGAAAUCCACACAGCUAUGCGCAUAAAGAAUCUCAAUAUCAUAUCUCUUCUAGUAUGACAGGGUUAACUCAUAUAACAGGUCAAGUUAGUUAUCUUUCAAACAACUUACCCAUUCAUAUGAACCUCCUUCGACUCUCACCACCUAAAUAACUUCAUCUAUAUGAUUCCAUUAUCUCAGGAGAGUCAAGAUAUCUCCUUCUAGACGAUCCCUAGUCAAUGCACAUCCUAAACAAUCUUAACACGGUAUUUUCUUUCCUAAAAAUACUAUGUUUUGAUUAAAAUUCAUAUUCUAAACAUCACAAUCUCCAACAUCAAACAAUCAAAUCAUUCCAAAUUUUAGAAUUUCCAAAACACACAACAAUUCAUUUACUACUCAUAUAAAUGUCUUGAAUCAAAAGGGCUGCAAAGUGUAUCUAAAUAACAUCAAGUUUUACUACCCAAAAAGAGAGACAAUAAAAGGAGAAUGAAAGAAAAUUAUCUCUCAACUACAACUAUAUCCAAUAGUUCUCAACUUCUUCAAAUUUGCAUUAGCAAGAACUAAUUCCAACAUGUAUUGUAAUACUUUAAUAUUUAGAAUUAUUGCAAGAUUGUUACACCAAUUACAAAAGGAGAAAAGAAAAGUAUUAUCCAACAUUGUAUAACAUUUAUAGAAUGAAAGAAAAAAGCAUGAACAAUAAAUGUUCUUCUUUUUACUUUACAUAUACCUAGCACCACAUAUCCAACAUUAUUUAAUAAAAAGGAUAAGAAAGCCACAACAUGAAAAUUAAAGUUUGGUCACCAAUUGUUAAACCCAACAACUAAUUUAUCUCAAAAGCACCAGAAUUCAGAUUACAAUCAACAUAGCAAUUCUCUAAAUAAUCAACUCAUAGUUUACUUUAAAAAUUGUCACAAACAAUUUUUAGCUCAUAAACUGAAUCAUGACGAAAUAAUCAAAAUAUAUGCUCUGAAAUUGUCAAGAAAAAUCAUCACAAACAUUUUUCAAAUACAUUAUAUACAUUCUACACUUAUAUACAUUCUACACCGUCUACUAUAUCUAAAUUUUUCAUUUCAAUCUCAAACAAUUUCCAAUCUACACAAAAACAAGAGAUCGUGCAAGAAAAUUUGAAACUGGUGACCACGUCACCCCCACAUCCAGAUCUUCUAGCCUAGGGUUCUAUUUGGCAAUUUAAAACUAGCUUUCCUUACCUGAAUUUUGACUGAUGCUCGCUAGGAGCUCCAAAUCUACCAAAAGCCUAAAGGUAAUUUAACCUGCACCACAGAAUCCUGAUAAAAAUCUAACUAUAUAACUAGGACCUUUUGUUAACAAAAUUAACCCUCCUGAAGCUAAAAGAAUCAUAUGCAAAGCAUAAAUCUAAUAAGAUCAAAAUUAACUCAAAAGAAAAAGGGGCCAAGAAUGAACUUACUCUAUCUGAGAUUUUGAUCGAACAAUCUUAUAGGGUUCACUGCCAGGAGUCCAAUGGCAGACUCCGAUUGCCAAACUGAUAAGCGAGAAGGUUAGAAUCUUAGGGAGAAGGGAAAGAAAAGGAAAAAGAGGAACAAAACUGAACUUACUCUAUAAGAGAUUCUGAUCGGGCAGUCUUGUAGUCUUCGCUGCCAGGAGUCCAAUGGCAGACUCCGAUCGCCAAACUGAUAAGUGAGGAGAUCAGAAUCUUAGAUAGAAGGGAGAGAAAGGAAAAUUGGAACUUGUAGAGAGAUGGUGGUUAUUUUAAAAUGAAACCUGAAUAACCGAAUUUUCUAUUUGUUCCCGCCGGUUGACCUGGGUUGUCUUUAUGCGUGGCUUGUCCUCACGAGCUAGGGCACCUUCGUUCUGGUCCGUCUGUGAGUACCUGAAAAGAAGUGAACAAAAGGGGCGCCCUCGCGACCGUUUGCACUCCGACGAUCAAGUCAACUAGCGAGAAGCAUCAAAGGUGACGCACCUCCGUAUCGGAACACCGUAAACGAAUGCUCUGAAGGUGGUUAGAAAUAACUGAGUGGCUAAAACUGUGUUGCCCUAAUCGUUUUUCUGCACACAAUGGGUGCGCCGUCACAACAACUAGGGUUUGUGCUCUUGUGUAGACUGUGAGAAUUAGGUUAAAACUCAGAUCCUUUUCAAACGUCCCAAGGUCCCUUUUUAUACAUCUCUCGCAUUUAAAACGCGUUAAAGCGCAUUGAAAGCGUAUAAAAAUAUUCCUUGGAACGUUCGAAUCUUAACUGAAUUAACGCGUACCUUAGCGAACUUUUACAAAAGCCUUGAUGUUUUCAAUGCUUAUUGCCACGUGUUCUUCUGACUUAAUCGUGACUCUUCGUGGAGGGCCCUAUAGCGCCGUAACCCAAUUUAGGGUUAAUCCAUCGUGCAAACCCUCCUUUCUUGAAGUGCAUUUGGCGCAAGUGGGUGACUUUCUGGGUGCCAACUCAUGCGCCCCAACUUCUAGUCACUCGCCUUGGGAGUGUAUCUACCUUCCUCUCACACCAAGCACCUGGUUCACCCCUGGGCAUGACCCUCUCGUGGGUCGUAUCUAUCCCGGGGGUCUCCCUGAGGUGACGUGGGUACUUCACGAGUCAGGUUACUCCCUGCUGGUACCAGAACUAUGGCCUUGAAGCCACCUUUCUCUUCUCUUUGUAACUGCUCUGGGCCACACCUUAACCUGGCAAUGCUUCAACCUGGCGAUGCCUUCCUUAGGCGACGCCUCCUCUUGGCGACGCCUUACCCUGGUGACGCCUUCUCUUGGCAACUCCUUCUCCUGGCGACGCCUUCUCCUGGCGACGCCUUCUCCUGGCGACGCCUUCAGUGGUCAAUCUGUUGACUUCCCUUCUUUGGGGCCCUCGAGUGGUCCCACCAUAUGUUGACUUUGACUUUGGUCAACGCCCAAGGACGGGACGGUGCACUAUUUAUAUGUCAUUUUCAUUUUAAUAAUAAAAUAUUCAGGUAUCAUUUAAAAUAUACCACUUCUACUCUAAGGUUAUUUUCUAGAUCCUUACAUCAUACGUAAAUAAAAAUACAAAAUAAAUAAAAUUCUUAAAUUAUGUAAAAUCUUAAAUAAAUACUAAUCUAAAUCUAACAUAUUUAGUGUCUUACAUAAAUAAAAUAUGAAAUAAAUAAAUCUACAAAACAUAAGCGGGAUGGAAAAUUUUUUGUACGUUAAAUGACUUCAAAAAAAAGGUGAUAAAAUUGUUUUUGAAAUAGAGGUUUACAUACCCAGUCCUAAAUAAAUACAAAAUCUAAAUGAUUUAAUGUUUCACUCAAAUAAAAAUUUGAAAUAAGUUCAAUUCCUAAAUUUUUAAAAAUCCUAAAUAAAUACAAUCCUAAAUUAUUUAAUGUCAUACUUAAAUAAAAAAUCGUAAUAAAAAAUUUAUAAAUUGUUUAAAAUUCUAAACAAAUACAAAUACUAAAUUAUUAAAUGUCAUAUUUAAAUAAAAAUUUGUAAUAAAUAAAAUAUCUCAAUUAUUUAAAAUUAUAAAUAAAUACAAAUCUAAAUUAUUGAAUGUCAUACCUUCAUAAAAAAUUAUAUUAAAUAAAAAUCCUAAAUUAUUUAAAAUUGUAAAUAGUUACAAAUUCUAAAUUAUUGGAAUUAUUUCAAAUUUUAAACAAAUACAAAUUAUUUAAAAUUUUAAACAAAUAAAAAUCCUAAAUUAUUUAAUGUACUACUUAACUAAAAUAUCUGAAAUAAAUAAAAUUAUUUAAUUAUUUAAAAUAUUAAUAAAUAAUAAUUCUAAAUUAUUUAAUGUUCUACUUAAAUAAAAAUUUAAAAUAAAUUAAAAUUUUAAAAUAUUCAAAAUCCUAGGUAAAUCUUAACUUAUUUUAUGUCAUACAUAAAUAAAUUUUAAAUUUUUUUUGAAUAAAUAGUAAACCAGAAAUUAUUUUAUUUCUUACUUAAAUAAAAAUAUAAAAUAAAUAACAUUUCUAAGUUUUCAAAAUUCUAAAUAAAAAAAAUUCAAAAAUUUGUAAUAUCAUUCUUAAAUAAAAAUAAAAAAUCAAUAAAAUUUCUAAAUUAAUCAAAAUUUUAAAUGAAACCAUAUCUUAAAUUAUUUAAUAUCAUUCUUAAAUAAAAAUCUAAAAUUAAUAAAAAAAAUUAGUUUUCCAAAAGGCUAAAUAAAUAAAAAUCUAUACAAAAUAGGGAUAUAAUUUUGACAACUACUUCGAUGACCCGAUCUAGAAAAUAAAUAUGAUGGGAACAUAAAUAAUUCACGUGGUGCAUAUUUAAUGUGGUUUAAAUUGUACAGAAUUGGAUUGCUGUGUAUAUAAAAAAUAUAGCGUUCAUAUUCAUGUGUAUUGAAUUAAAUUUAUAAUAUUUUUUUUCUACUUUAUUAUUGAAAGUUAGGUAAAGAAUAGAAAUAUUAUAGAACGAGUUUAUUACGUUUCCCAAAAAGAGAGUAAAAUAUUGUGUAGAAAUUAAAGAUGCCUAAUAAGAGUUGAGGUAUUAUUUAUAAAUAAACAAUGAAAAAAUAAUGAUGCCUUCAUACUUCACCAGAUUCUUAACUGCCUUUUUAAUAGAUUCUACCUUCCUUAUUAUCAUUUCAUUUAAUACAGUUUCUUAAACGGAUACACGGUUUCAUGUCUCUGAAUUAUGCUUCUAAAUUAUAGGGGUUGACCAAGAAUAAGAAGAAGAUGGGGAUAUAAUAAUUACAACUACCAAACAUGAUGGCCCCAUCUAGAAAAUAAAAAUCUAAAAUAAAUAAAAUUUAUAAGUUUUUUAAAAUUCUAAAUUAAUAUAAAUUUUAAAAAUUUAAUGUCAUUCUUAAAAAAAUUUAUUAUUUAAUUGCAUUUUUAAAUAAUAAUAUAAAAAUUAAUUAAAUUUUUAAGUUUUUCAAAAUCUUAAAUUAUUUUAUUUCCUACUUAAAUAAUGAUUAAAAUAAAUAAAAGUGAUUACAUACGAAUUUUUGCGUAUUUAAUUCAGUAUAUAAAUAGACGUUACAUACUGAUUUUUUUUAUAUGUAAGCCAAAAGUGAUUAUAUAUGUUUUUAAUCAGUAUGUAAUUUUGACUUCACAAAGCGAGAAUAAUUACAUACGGAUUGUAUCCGUAUAUAAAGUAUUACAAACAAAAUAUUUUUAAUAAUUGUAAUAAUAAUAAUAUUGAUAUUAAUGGUAAUAUUGAUAUUAAUAUUUUUAUUAAUAUUAAUGAUAAACAACCGGUUGAAUUUUUGUUAAUCAAGUUAAACAAUUUUGUUUGAUUUCUUUCUUGAUUUCUGUAUCUGUGAUUCUGCAUUGAAGUUCAUUAUACUUUCAAAGUUUGCGAAAAUCUUUCAUAAACAAUUCAUCUCCCCCCUCUUAUUUAAUGCCAUAUAUUCUAAUAAAAACUUCCUCAACUUGAGAAGUAAAACCCACGGACCUAGUCCAGAAAAUGCCUCCCCUAUGAAAGUAGGAUUACAAUAUUUGUUUCUCUCACUCUAUGAGGAUAACACUUAAUCUCACCCAAGAAGAAUGGAAUACAAAGUCUCUUUAGCAUCCCACUCACCAUUAUGGUGGUUAUCUAUUCUCUCAUUUACACUUUAUCUCUUCUCCUUGCUUGUCUUUUUUCUUUCUCACAAGUUUCCUUUAUAUAGAGAAUGAGAGUAAGACUUCUUCAUAAAGAGAUAGUAGAUAAUUAAUGCUUAUCACAUUUUCAAGAGAGAGUUACAAAUUCAAGACUUUUGAAAUGACCAUCAUUGAAUAUAUUCAAUGGAUCAAUUACCAAUAUUCAUUGGUCGGGAUCUCCUAGUAAACUAAGAAGGGAUUCCCAACAUAAGGUUCAACAAAACCAUAUAAAUAAGAGCAAAAAUGAAAAAAGUCUAUGAAAUGUUUGAAAACAUCAGAAUACCAAUCACCUACCUAAGCCCCUAUUUGGAUUGGGGGGUGGCACUGUAGCCGCAAACGGAUGUGGGGUGCCACCCCCGUUUGGAUCUAGUCAUGGUUGAGGGUGUGGGUGAGGGUGAGGGGAAAGUUGGGCCAAAUGAGAGAGCAUUCAGAAGUGAAGAGAAAGGAGAGGGUGAGGGAGUGAGUGCCAAGUAGGAUGAGUGAAAUAUCAUUUGUGCCCUCACUAGAUUUUUGGAUGUAUGUGGGCAUUGUACGUGAAACAUGCAUGCACAUUUGUGAAGAGAAGCUUUUCAGCAACAAGCACAUGAGAUUCCUGACCAUUGUUCAGGAAUCUGUUUGACCAAGUUAAAAGCUCAAUGAAUGCAUAGGCAAGUUGGUGAGAGGGUGGAUGAGCGUAAUAAAGAGGUGCAACAAUAUAUAUGUGGUUCCCAAGCUCACAAACCUCACAAAGCAAAGGCAAUUUGGUUCUUCACAAAGCACAUACCUAGAGAGCUUGGAGAGGGUCGUGAGUGCGCUUGGUUCUUUGUUUGUAACCUCAGGUGAGCUUUGUGUGAGUUUAGUUUCAUUCUUAAUCGAUUAUCACUGAAAAUGAACGUAUGCCAUAAUCGAUUAUGUUGAAAAAAAUAGUUGAUAAUCAAUUAUGUUCAUGACAUAAUCGAUUAUCUGUAAAAAUUCCCGUGAGAUAAUCAAUUAUGGUCGUUUUUGCACUGGAAGCAUAAUCGAUUAUGUGCCAUAAACAUUUGGAUAAUCGAUUAUGUGCUAUUUUACACUGGGGUGAUAAUCGAUUAUGGUUCUAAUUUUCCAGAUUUAUGAUUUUAUGUUUUUUGAACUAAUUUUUGAAUGAUUUUUUUUUUCAGGUAAAGUUUGAUAAAUCUUAGACUUGCAUUGUGUUGUGGUUUUGUUCUGCUCUCUUGAGGUAUGUGUGUUUUUUUUUUUAAAUUGUGUUUGGAUGUUUAGUUUUAUUUUGAAUUUAAUUUGUUUAAAAUAUUUUAAAGUAGUUGUUAAUUAGUUUUUAAUUUUAGAUGUGAAUGUUUAGGAAAAUUGAUUAUCUAAAAUUGUAUAUUGUUAAUGUAAAAAUUUCAUGAAAUUUGAAUAUGUUAUUUUUGUGACAUGAAUUGAAUUGAAUUUAUAGAUUGAAAUUAGAGAUUUAAAUUUGUUAUUCUAAAAUAUUGUUUUUAAAAAGAUAAUAAAAUUUUUUGCAGUAAUUUAAAAACAGAAAAAUCAAAUAUACAGAAGAUUUUUUUUUUUAUUUUAACUUUGAAGCUGUUAAUAAAUAAAUUUUUUAUUUAAAUUUACAGAAUAGACUACCUUUUAGAAAUUAUUAUUUUUACAGAAUGUAAAUAUUAUUUUUAAUGUUAUUUUUUAAAACAAAUAUUUUAUUAAUUAAAAAAACAGAAAAAGAUUACAUAAUAAAUUAGAAUUUUUAAUAAUAUGUGUACAUAGUUAAUGCUAUUAUGAAAAAAUUAAAACAAAUAUUGUAGUAAUUAAAAAAAACAGAAAAAAUUACAUAAUAAAUUCGAUUUUUUAAUAAUAUUUGUAGAUAGUUAAUAUUUUUUUAACAUUUAAUGUUUUAUAAAAGAAAUAUUUAUUUAUUUGAAAUGAUUAUUUUUAUAGAAUGGAAAUACAAAUUUUGAAUGUUAUAUUUAUAAUUUUUUUCCAUUUUACAUAGACAUACCAUAAUGUUAUGAAAAUAUAUAUAAUUUAUUUCUCAUAAUUUACAUAAAUUGUUAAUAUUAUUAUUUAAAAAUUAAAUAUAAUAUUGUAGUAAUUUAAAUAAAACAGAAAAAGAUUACGUAAUAAAUUAAAAGUUUUACUAAUAUGUGUACAUAGUUAAUAUUUUUUGAACAUCAAAUUGUUUAUAAAAAAUAGAUUUAUUUAUUUGAUAUUAUUAUUUUUACAGAAUAGAAAUAGAAAUUUAGAAUUUUUUUUAUAUUUUUUAAAAUUAAAUUCUUUAUAAAUAAUACAUUUAUUUAUUUAUAGUUAAUAUUUUGACAUGAUGCAUUAAUUCAUAUUUGACAUGUUAUAAAUAAUAAAUGUUAACAGAAGUUUUUAUAGAAAUUAAUAAUGUUAUAGAAAGUUUUAUUGUUACAUACUGGAAAAUGUAAUUAAAAAAAUUAAUAAUGUUAUACAAUUUUUUAUUUUUUAUUGUUACAAAAUGUAAAUAUAAUUUAAAAUAUUUAAAAUAUUAUGGUACUAAAACCCUAAAUCAAAAAAGUUAAGAGAACAUAUAUUUAUUUCUUGAUUGAUUAAAUUAUAAUUUUGUUAGUCUAUAUUUAUUUUGUUAUAUUAGAUAAAUUAAAUGAUAGAGUCAUUUACAAUAGAAUGUUUAUUAUAAUUAUUUAAAAUUAGAUAUUAGGGUUACUGUAUUGGUGUAGUUUUACACUGAAACGGUAACUGCAUUCGAUAUGUUGUAUUGACACUUAUCCAUAUCCAUAAUCAUGGUUCUGAAUCAAAGUUCUACAUUUUGUGGAUAACAUUAUGAAUUCGGGUAGCCAUUACGACGAGGCAGAAAUGGUACAUUUUGAGGAAACGGUUGCAAUUUAUGAUGACCUUGUUGCGGCGAACAUGAAUUUAAUUUCACAAAUACAAGAACAAAUUAAAAAAAAUACUGAAGGUGCUUCUGUGAUGAUCCUUUGUAUGUUGGUUUUGGAUUGAAUUUGUUACGUACGGUGUGUACUACAAGGAACCGUAUUAGUGAGUUCCAACCACAAAAAGAGCGUCGCAGACAAGAAUUGAUGGAGUACUUGGUUCACACUGAACAAUGUCGUGAUAUUAUUCCCAUGGGACCAGAAGCUUUCCUUCAAUUAUGUCAAUGAAUACGAGGAACUGGACUUGUUAAAGAUGCAUAUCGAUCAACCGUGGAAGAACAAGUUGUGAACUUUCUACACAUUAUUGGGCAUAAUGUGAAGAAUCGAAGUGUGUCAUUCUUUUUUCAUCGGUCUGGAGAAACAGUUUCCCGUCACUUUCAUAAUGUUUUGAGUGCAAUAUUAAGGUUGGAGGGGGAAUUCUUAAUUCAACCAAAUGGAAUGGUUGUAGAAUCGCACAUCCUUAACAACAAUCGAUUUUACCCCUACUUUAAGGUUUGUUUAUGAUAAUAUUAUUUUAAAUCACGUAUCAUGUUUUAUUUAUUUUGUGUUUAAUAAAACUUAUGAAAUUUGGUUUACAUUAGCAUUGUUUGGGGGCAAUAGAUGAAACUCAUGUAUGUGUUAAGGUUUUACGUGCUGAUGCACCUCGUUUUCGAGGGAGAAAAGAUUGGCCAACUCAAAACAUAUUUGUAGUGUGUGACUUUAACAUGAAGUUCACAUAUGUCCUGGCCAGUUGGGAAGGAACAACCUUGGAUUCAAGGAUAUUAAAAGACGCUUUGGUACGAGACGAUCCUUUGGUUAUUUCAGAAGGUUAGUUUUAGGGGAUUGAGUGUGCAGAAGAAUAAAUAGGUUAUAGUAGUAUAUACUAACACAACUUUCCAAUAUUUUGUAGGAAAAUACUAUCUUGGUGAUGCAGGUUUUAUGUUAAAACCAAAUAUAAUAAAAUCUUAUCGCGGGGUUAGAUACCAUUUGAAAAAAUAUUCGCGAAGAGGACCACAAAAUGCUAAAGAGCUAUUUAAUCUUCGACAUUCAUCACUUAGAAAUAUAAUUGAGUGAACAUUUGGGGUAAUGAAAAAACGAUUUCCAUUUAUUAGUAUAUGUUUAUGUUUGUUUUUUAUAUAUUAAUAUUUGGUUUUUAAUUUUUUAUUUCGCGUCUCUUUAUGUGUUUUAAAUUAUUAAUUAUUGUAAAAUUCAUUUUACUUUAUUUUUUAAUAUAUUGAUCUUAUCUAUUAUUAUUAUUAGUUUAUGUAAUUGUUAAUUAAUGUAAUUUUGACUUAUAAAUUAUGAUAGAACUCAUAUUAAUGUCAAAUUUAAUAUUUUACGUUUUAGAAAAUCAAAUUUAAUUUAAUGUAAAUUUUCUAUAAUUUAUUUAAUAUUAUAAUAUUAUUAUUUAAAUAUGAAAGCUUAGAAAAAAUAACCGUUUGUUGCACGGUCAAAGUUCUAGUAGAAAUAGAAAUAGAGGGGCACGUGACGUCUCCUUUUGAUUACAGCUAAUAAGAAUCCAGAAAUCUUUGAAGGGUCCCGGAAUAAUGUAAUCACCUUCCUUAUUAUCAUCUAAAUUAUUGGGGUUGACCAAGAAUAAGAAGAAGAUGGGGAUAUAAUUGUUACAACUACCAAACAUGAUGUCCCCAUCUAGAAAAUAAAAAUCUAAAAUAAAUAAAAUUUAUAAGUUUUUUAAAAUUCUAAAUUAAUAUAAAUCUAAAAAAUUUUAAUGUCAUUUUUAAAAAAAAAUAUAAAUUAUUUAAUUGCAUUUUGAAAUAAUAAUAUAAAAAUUAAUUAAUUUUUUAAGUUUUUAAAAAUCUUAAAUUAUUGUAUUUCCUACUUAAAUAAUGAUUAAAAUAAAUAAAAUUUAUAAAAUUUUCAAAAUUCUAAAUAAAUAUAAAACUUAAAUUAUUUAAUGCUGUAUUUAUAUAAAAAUCCAAAAUAAAUUAAAUUUUUAAAUUAUUCAAAAUUGCUAAAAAAACUAAAAACCGUAAAUAUUUAAUGUCAUACUAAAUAAAAAUACAAAAUAAAUAAAUUUUUUAAAUUAUUUAAAAUAUUAAAUAAAUACAAAUCUAAAAUAUUUAGUGCCUACAUAAAUAAAAUCUAAAAUAAAUAAAUCAACAAAACAUGAGCGAGAUGGAAGAAUUUUCGUAUGUUAAAUAACUUCAAAGAAGACGAUAAGAUUGUUUUUGAAGCAAAUGUUAAUAUAUCAAAUAAUGAAAUUCGAGUUAUUCACCUUUUAGGAUAAAUUCAUUUUUUAUGAAACUGUUUAUUUUUAGUUAGUUUCUUCAAAAUUUGUGUCAGUUUGUUGAUAGUUAAACAAUUUAUUUAUUUGUGUAUAUUAUUUAUGUUUAAGCAUUGUUUAUAUUAAUUUUAGUAUGUUUAGUUUUUUAUUUAUUCGUAUAUGCUCAUGUUUAUUUCUUAUAUAUUAAUAUUUACUUUGUAAUUAAUUAAUUUAUUUUUCUAUUUACAUUUGCAUUCAUAUAUUUAAUUAUAAAAAAUAUAUUUUUAUACAAAAUAGUGAAAGAAAACGUGCCAAAUAAAUCAACAAAAUUUGGAGUGGGAUGGAAAAAUUUAUGUAUGUUCAAUGACUUCAAAGAAGACAAUAAAAUUAUUUUUGAAGCAGAAGUUAUCAUACCAAAUAAUGAAAUUCUAGUUAUUCGCCUUUUAAGAUGAAUAAUUUUUUUUACAUAACUUUUUAUUAUUACUUAUUUUUCUCAAAAACUUUGUGUUGUUGAUACUUGAACAAUUUAUUUAUUUACAUGUAUUAUUUAUGUUUAUGCAUUGUUUAUAUUAAUUUUAGUAUGUUUAGUUUUUUACUUAUUCAGAUAUGCUGAUGUUUAUUUCUUAUAUAUUAAUCGUUGCUUUGUAAUUUUUUUUUAUUUAAUUUUUUCUUUACAUUUACACUUAUAUAUGUAUAUGUAUUUAAUUACGUAAAUUAUAUUCUUAUACAAAAUAGUGAAAGAAAAUGUGUCAAAUAAAUGAACAAAACUUGCGGCGAGAUGAAUUUUUUUUUGUAUGUUAAAUAACUUCAAAGAAGGUGAUAAGAUUAGUUUUGAAACAGAUGUUAACAUACCAAAUAAUGAAAUUCGAGUUAUUCAUCUUUUAGCAUGAUUUUUUUUACAUAACUGUUUAUUAUUACUUAUUUCUCUCAAAAUUUGUGUCAGUUGUUGAUACUUGAACAAUUUAUUUAUUUAAGUUUAUUAUUUAUCUUUAUACAUUGUUUAGAUUAAUUUUAGUAUGUUUAGUUUUUUUGUUUAUUCAUACAUGCUAAUGUUUAUUUUUUAUACAUUAAUAGUUGUUUUGUAAUUUAUUUCUUAUAAGAACAAAAGUGAUUAUAUACGGAUUUAAUUCAAUAUGUAAAUAGACAUUACAUACUAAUUUUUUUCAUAUGUAAGCCAAAAAUGAUUAUAUACAAAUUUAGUCAGUAUGUAAUUUUGGCGCCAUGAAGCAAGAAUAACUACAUACGGAUUGUAUCCGUAUAUAAAGAAUUACAUACAAAAAUAUUUUUAAUAAUUGUAAUAAUAAUAGUGAUAAUAUUGAUAUUAAUAUUAAUAUUAAUGAUAAACAACUGGUUGAUUUUUUGUUAAUCAACUUCAACAAUUUUGUUUGAUUGCUUUAUGGAUGUCUGUAUCUGAGAUUCUGCAUUGAAGUUCAUUAUACCUUCAAAGUUUGUGAAAAUUUUUCAUAAACAAUUCAUCUCCCCUCUGGUUUAAGACCAUAUAUUCUAACAAAAACUUCCUCAACUUGAUAUGUAAAACCCACGGGAUCUAGUCUAGAAAAUGCUUCCCCUAUAAAAGUAGGAUUACAAUAUUUGUUUCUUGGGAGGAUAACACUUAAUCUCACCCAAUCUAUUCUCUCAUUUAAGCUUUAUCUCUUUUUUCUUUCUCACAAGUUUCUUUUCUUUUAUAUAGAGAAUGAGAAUAAGACUUCUUCAUAAAGAGAUAGUGGAUAAUUAAUGCUUAUCACAUUUUCAAGAGAGAGUUACAAAUUCAAGACUUUUGAAAUGACCAUCAUUGAAUAUAUUCAAUAGAUUAGUUACCAAUAUUUAUUGGUCAGGAUCUCCUACUAAAUUAAGAAGCGAUUCUCAACAUAAGAUUCAACAAACCAUAUAAAUAAGAACAAAAAAAAAAAAAAGUCUAUUAAAUGUUUGAAAACAUCAUAAUACCAAUCACCUACUUAAAUGUUUGAAAACCUUUUGUAGGUACAAUCCUCGUAGAAACCCAAGACCAAAUGCAAAAAUAGAAAGUGGAAGGAAACAUUACUAUGAUAAAGAGAAGUUAUUAUAUCAGCCUUCUACAAUAACAAUGAACAUAAAUAUUGUUUGAACAUUAAAAUUUUCUAUUAUUAUUUUAAAAAAUAAGAUGGUAAAAUAUGAGUUUCAUUCGAGUAAAAUUAAAAUAAACUAAAACUAUUAAAAAAAUAUCUUACCAAAUGUAAAUAAAAUGGUUUUAUUUUAGAAUGCUUUAUAAAAUACAUUAAAUCGAUUUACUCAACUACGAAGAUAAGAAAAACAUCUCUUCUUCAAACAAUGGUUUAUUAUGUGCUAUUGGUUUGUUUUAGUAAGUCAUAAACAAUAGAUUAAGUAACUUUUCAAAAUUUUACUAAGGAAAACAUCAUAGGUGAAACAAGAGACUCUUCCUCAUCAAGUUACACUUUCAUUAAAAAAAACUAAUAAACAAGUGUGUACCAAAAAAAAAAGUCUUAUAAUGGUACAACUUUAACUAAUAAAUAAUAAAAAAUUACUUUAAUUGCCACUUUUAUGCAAAGUGUUAUCUCCUUGUAAUGAUUUAUUCAAUCUUGAAUAAAUUUUAGAAUCUUAAUAUGAAGUCAUGGGUUGAUCACUGAGGGGCAAUCCAAUUAAUAUAUUAUAACAGUCCAAUCCAAGAAAUUAAUGACGAUACCCGCAUAAUCGUCAUAAAGAAGAGAGUGCAAAAUUAGUGGAGGUGGAGAGUUACGAAAAUAUAAGAAGGAAUUAAGUUAGUAAAUAGAACAAUUACAAAGAAAGGCAAGAGAGAAGUUUUAUAAGAAAGAAGAGAGGCCAAAGGGGAAAAAAAAUUGGAAACUGUUUUCGAAUACCAUUGAUUCUCUACCUAAGGAUCAUCUCUAUCGGCUAAUUAAUAGAAACCAUCAUAUCGACUAUUUUGACCUGCAAUGCAUGCUCAUUUUGCAUUUUUUAUUUUAUUUAUAAUAAAGUGAUUUGUUUACAAUAGAAAAUAACAUUUUUUUUUAGAUUUUUAAGGUUACACACAUCAUUACCAAAAAGAAAGAACAUUUCCAAAAAAAAAAAAACAAUUGACAGAGAGUACAAUUUAAAGACAUCAUCUUACACCUGGUAUAAGUUUUAAACAAAUAUUCUAGUGAAUGUUUUCAUUAUUAGCUUACUCAUCAAAUCUUCAAACUCCUCUGGUUUUUUCAACCUUUCAACCACACAAUUCAAUAGCUUCUCUAAUUUGAGAAGGAGGAAGUGUCACUGUAGUCCAAUCCAAUAGUGGAAUCCUCUGCUUUGGUUCUAGGGUGAUACAAAAUUUGUAUUUAUCCCUUUCCUAUUUGCCACAGUAUUUAGUGUUUCCAACACGUCCAAAUCAGGAAACCUCAGCUUUGCUUCCAAGAGUCCACCGUAAACUCCACUCAAGUAUGUUCUAUUUUCAGCUGAGGGUAUUAUCUCCAUCCCUUUAGGUGUCCAUUCAAUUCCAGAACCCUUCGCCAAGGCAAUGCUAAUGGUGUCAGCAAUAUCUAGAGAAGGAAAUCUAUUUUGUGCCUCAAAAACUCCAUCUUUCAUUCCUUCAUACCAUAAUUCUCGCGUUAUUGCUUCCUCCUCCUCACUUUCCUUAUGGCUAGAGGUUGGAGCUCCUCCAUCCAUCAUUCCUUGAUCAAAUAUCUCUCUCACCAUUUCUUCCACCAGAGGAGGUGAAUCCAAAUGUGGAAAGCUCGGCUUUGCUUCAGUGGGUGAUCCAAAAGUUUCUGUAAUCCCUUUCCUUUUUGCCACAGUAUUAAUUGUUGGCCACAUGUCCAAAUCAGGAAACAUCAGCUUUGCUUCUAAGAGUCCACUGUAAAUUCCACUUAUGUAUGUCCUGGUUUCAAUCGAUGUUUGCACUUCAUCUUCAGGUCUCCAUCUAACCCUAUAACCCUUCUCCAAAGCAGCUCUUCUGGUUUCAACAAUAUCAAGUGAAGGAAAUCUAAUAUGUGCCUCAAGAAGUCCAUCCUCCAUUCCUUCAACAAACAUCUCUCUCACUAUUUCUUCCACCCGAGGAUCGUAGCCUUCCUCCUCCUCACUUCCCGUAUGGCCAGAGGUUGAAGCUUCUUCUACAUUAUGCAGUUUCACUGGAUCCUUUAGUCUUAUCAACGCUAGAUCACCUAAUAUAGUAACUUUAGGCUUUCCAUCAUCAUUUUUUAGCACAUCUAGAAUCUGCCUCAGAGUGGAUUUUGGAUCUUUUAAAGCUGACCCUACUGCUUUUAAUGCAUUCUCAGCAUCCUGGGAUAUUCUCUGUAGUUCUCCCAAUACAAUUUGCAUGGAAUGGUUUUCAGCCAUUCCUUCAAACCCCCCUCUUCCUUUGUUGUCCAGCCAUUCAUUCAACGUCCUCUUAUAUGAUUCGUCCAAACCUAGACUCUCUAUCAUCAUUUUAUAUUCCUCCAUAUCAUCUUUUUUAGGAACUAUUGCCUGUGGCAUCUCGUCUGGAUCCAUGGGAUCGGGAGAAGCGAAUACGAGAUCAUCCAUUUUGGUUUUGUCUUCUUCAUACACAAAAGCUCCCCAACCACUUAUCACGAAGGAGGAAGUGGCUUUAUACGCAAUCUGCACCAGAUUCCACUCCUUCUUCAUCAGAAGUCGGUCAAGGCCAAGCCACUCCUUGUCACUGAACAAAACUCGUAGAUCAAAGAUCAAGAUGUGUUCUGCUUCAAUUCUGAAUUUGCGAGACCCUUUGCAAGGAACAUAUUGACCGUUGAUAAGUAAACGCAGAUCAACAACGCGACGACGAGCAAAUUUUUCCCUUUCACUCUCAUCUUGGAAGUGGAAGAUCAUGGCCAGAGCAAUGUUAGGGAACUUCUUACGAACCCAGAAACGAGGAUACCUUUGGACCCCCACAUAGUUAAACCAUUCUGGAAUCUCAGUUGUAAAUGGCAUCACCAGUUCUAUUCCACGUACCCCUUUCUUCUUCACCUAUCAGAUUAUUAUAACACUUUCAAUUGUCACUUCUAUAUUUAUUUUAGAAAAUUUGUAAAAUAUUAUUUUCAUAAAAUAAAGGUACAAGAUUUAACUUAAGUAAUAAACUCAUGCUACCUGAUUCCAUAACAUGUCUGAUGUCUCUCUAGUUAACUUGAAACAAAAUCUUGCGUCUACUUUCUGAACAGUUGACGACAACUCUGAAAUUUCUUCAAGGUUUGAACAAUGAUGAACAUAAAGAAUUCUCAAGUUAGUGAAUUCAGGAAUUUUUUUAAGCUUCUCACAUCCAUUCAGUUCGAGACUUGUCAAGUCACCACAUUCCUUGAUGCAUGAAGGGAUAGAAACAAAAUUGUUCUCUGAAGCAAUCAAUUCUUUCAAAUUUGGAAAGUAGCAAAGAAUAGCAAGAAGAUCUUCAUCAGACAAGUUAUCAUUUUCGACAUUCAGUGAUUGUAAUUUUGGACGAACAUCGGCUUUUGAAGGGUGCUGCACCAAACUUCUGAAGGAUUCUUGAAGUUUGGAGCAUGCUUCGAUUUUGAGGGAAACAACAUUUGGCAACUUGAAUAAGCUGCUUGGUAGACAUUUAAGUUCCCUGUUAUUUGAUAUGUCUAUACAUUCAAGCCCAGUAAGUUUACCAAUGGAUUCUGGAAGCUCUUGAAUAGCAGUAUUUAUCAUAUAAAUCUUCAAUGGCUUUGUCAUUUCUAGCCUUAUCUCCGGGAAGUGACCAAGGCUUUCACAUAAAUUAAGGUCAAAGACUUCUAAAGACGGCAGAAACAUUUUAGACACGAAUUUUUCGAGUUUUAUGCAUCCUGAAACACUUAAAUGAGCAAGCCUUUUCAGCUCACCAACAGAUUCAUGUACUGCAGUUAGCUCUCUACAAUGAUCAAGUCUCAGUUCUCUUAGAAUCUGAAGUUCAGACAUAUCAGGUAUUGUUUUGAUACUUUGGUUAUAUGAAAAGUCCAUAAUAGUCAAGCAUGGAAAUUUCUGCCAAAUAGAAAGUACAAAAAAUAUAUUAUUUGGAGCAUUUUGAGUUAUUAACUUAUUAAUGACAAUAAAUAUGGAAGUUUUUGUUCAAUGAAAAAUUGAAACAUAAAAAAUAGGAAAAUAUGAUAUAGAAUUGUACCUUAAAUGGCUCUUCCAAUGUUAGACGACUUCUAGGCAAAUUUAAAACAAUGAUGUUCUCUGGAUUAAAUUUUGGUGGGAAAGACUUUGAAGGACACUCUUCCCAGUCAAGAAGUCUUAAAUAAUUUGGUAAAUGUUCAAGUUCAGAUGAAAAUGAUGUGUUUCGAACAAUGAGAAUUCUGAGACAUUCCAUCUUCACCAACGCAGUACCACUCCAUUCUACUUCUUCUCGUUGAGGGGGAUCAAGCAUAAUCCCUUGAAUCUUAUCGCUUCCCUUUAACACAAGUACAAAGAAGCAACAUCAACUGCCUAUUAUCAGUAAUAUAAAUAAAAAACAAAAUAGAAUAAAAGAGUAGAGGAUUACAUAAUCUUUGGUUAGUAUUUCAAUAGCAUCUUCAUAAUACCAUAUUCUGCUACGUUUAGCAGGAUUUAUUGAUUCCUUCUUAACAAUCUCUCUACCCAUAUCUUGUAUUAGAUCAUGCAUCUUCAGACAGUCAUACUCGAUAGUUAUGAGAGAUUUAUUAAGAAGUACUUUCAUGUUGGUUGUUGGACAAAAUUCUAGAAGUAUCUUUUUCACAUAUUCCAUUCUCUCCCCUUUAAAGAAGCAAGCUAUGUCCAAGAAAAUUUGUUUGGCAUUAUCAUCCAAUCUAUCGUAGCUUAUUUUAAGCACAUCUUGAAUCUCUGUAUUUGGAGUCUUCUCAUAUUCUUUCAUUGCCAUUUCCCAAUCUCCUAAACUUUCAUGAAAAGCAGCUAAAUCAGAGCCUAUGACUUUUAAAGCCAGUGGAAGACCUUUGGCGUAAUCUACAGCACGCACAGACACAUCUUCAAAACCUGUUUUAGGAUAACUUUGUUUGAAGGCAUUCCAACAAAAUAGCUCUAAAGAAUGUUGGUCAUCAAGUUCCUUCAUUUCAUACUUAAGUUUAACUUGGUGAGCAAUUAGCACAUUUUCUUCCCUUGUCGUUAUAAUGAUCCUACUACCUGGACCAAACCAAUUGCACUCUCCUGCCAACUUUUCUAACUGGUCUUUAUCACCAACGUCAUCAAGAACCAAAAGAACUUUCUUUUUCUGAAGCUUUUCUUUUAUUUCACCCAUUCCUUUAAUUGUACUUCCCAAUUUAGUUUCCAACUCCUCAAACAUAUCAGAUAAAAGUGUCUUUUGUAGAUCUUCCAUGCCAUUGAUUCUGUUUGAUUUUUCUCUAACAUCGGAAAGAAAACUUGCAGCAUCAAAGUUUUGCACAAUUUUGUUAUACAAAGCUUUGGCAAGUUCCGUUUUUCCAAUUCCACCAAGUCCAUAUAUGCCCAACAUUCUUACAGUUUUAUCUUCAGCCUUCUUGUCCAAAAGUGACUUAACUUCUUCUAUGCAAGCCUCAAGUCCAACAGGGUUUUGACCACUAUAUAAAGGUUUAGGAGUUAUAUAUUCAUGGACCUUUCCAACAAUUUCUUCAAUACGAUAGCUUUCAUCAUCCCUAUAAGAGUAGAAUGUAUUAAUUAUUUGUUUGAUAUCAUGAUUUUUAAUUUAUUGUACUAAAUGAUAAGCAUUGUGAUUAUUGUACUAGAUAGUAAGCAUUGAUAUUAAGAACCAGUAGCACAAAAGAAUAAUGAUCACACAUCAUACAAAAUUUACUGGAGAUGAAAAAGUUAGAACAAUUUUAUUCUAAGAAAAAUACCUAAAUAUAAUAUCAAAUUAAAAUAAAAAUGGAUUUUGUUUUCCACUUUGAAAUUUUUAUUAGUUUUUUAUCUUUUAAAUUAUUUUUUAUAAUGUUCAAAAUUAUUAUUUAUGACUAACAAAAUCAAUUAACACCCUGGAAAAAUCUAAAAUUUAAAUGCAUAGUCGACCAUUUAACAUUUUUUAUAAAUUAUUAUAAUUAAGAUGUAGAAUGUUAUAUAUAACAAACUACAUAUGAUAAAAACAAUAUUACAUAUCCCAUUAUAAUUAAGAUGUAUAAUAUUAUACAUAACAAACUACACGUGAUAAAAACAAUAUUACAUACCAUAAAGUAUAUUACUUGAAAAAAAAUAUUUUUUUGAAAAGUAAAGUCCUACAUAACACCAACUUACUUUUGGUGUUUAACCUUUUAUAAAAGGCUAUAGUUAUUUUUUAACUAAAAUAAUUUAUUUUUGGAUGAGAGAAAAAAUGUUUUCUUUUAAAGUUUUCUUACCAAUUGUAUUUUUUUAAUAUAUAAGAGAAUAACGUGGUAGUUAUUGAGAAAAUAUUGUUAGAAUGUAAGGUGUUGAAUAAACGUAAUUGAUGGUGGAAGUAAGAAACAAGCAAUGGACAAAAAGACAAUCUAGAAUCUCUAAGCUAGGUGUGAAAGAACCCACUAAAUGGAAGUGUAGAGGCUAGGUGAUAGAAGGUUGGAUGUAGUAGUAGUAAGGAGUUCAUGGAAGAAUAGUGGUGUUGGUGGAUGUGGUAUACUCACUACGAAAACAACAUAUUAUCGACGGUCAAAAUCCAUAAAUAAUAAAUAAGACCAAAAAUUUGUCGAUACCUAUGAAAGAGCAACAAGCCAAAUUUCACCAAUAAUAUGCUUGUCGGUGAGUUUACCAAGAGAAAAAAUUAUUUAAGUAAUUAUUAAUAUUAUCAAUUAUUAUUUUUAAAAUACUAUUUAUCAUUAACAAAUUAUAUUAUUAUUUUCAAUUAUUAGAACACAUUACCAUUCUGAUUUUUAUUAUUCUUAUUAUUAAUAAUAAUAUAAAUAAUAAUAAUAUAUUAAAAAAUAUUAAUACUGAUAACACUAUUAUUAAUAUCAAUACAAAUAAUAUUAUUAUUAAUAUCAAUACAAAUAAUAAUAUUAUUAAUACUAAUACUAAUAAUAUUAACAAUAAUAAUAUUAUUAUUAUCAUUAAUAUUAUUAUAAUUAAUUAAUAAUAAUAUUAUUAUUAUUAAUUUUAUUAAUAUUAACAUUAGUAUUAUUAGAACUAAUAUUAUUAUUCAUCUUAUUAAUAUUAUAAUUAUUAAUAUAAUAUUAAUAAUAAUAUUAUUUUAAUUAUUAUUAUUAUUAAUAUAUUUAAUUUCUGUAGUCAUUAUUAAUUUUAUUAAUAUUAAUAUUAUUAGUAUUAUAUUUAUUAAUAUAAAUCUAAUAAGAAUAAUAAUAAUAGUAUUGGUAAUAAUUACAAUAAUCAUAAUAAUUAAUAUUAUAAUAUUAUUAAUAAAAUUAAUAAUAAUUACUAACUAUGCGUUCAAAUCCUAGUUUCAAGAUAAUAAUAUUGUAAUACUUUUUUCAUGUAAUAAUACAUAAUUAUUAUGUCAAAUUGCAAUGCCUAACAUAAAAUUUUCUAUAAUUUUUUUUAAUAAUAAUACUAAGUUAAUAUUAAUAAAAUUAAUAAUAAUUAUAAUAAUAUUAAUGAUGAUAAUAAUAACAUGGAUAAUAACAAGAAUAUUAAUAUUAAUAAUUAUAAUAUUAGUAAUAUGAAUAAUAAUUAUAAUAAUAUUAUUAAUAUUAAUAGUACUAAUAUUAUUAAUAAAAUUAACAAUAAUUACAGUAAUAUUGAUAUUAUUAGUAAUAAUAAAUACAGUAUUAUUAUUAUUAUUAUCAUUAAGAAUAAUAAUAACCAUAAUAAAACAAAAAAAUGAUUUUGAUUUAGUGGUUAUCAGCUGAGUGAAUCUGGACUAAACUGUGUCUUGUAGCAAAACAAAUUUUUUAUCAAACACAAAUAUGCCGGUAAAUGCGUCAAUAAUGUCAUAUGUCGGUAUAAUUUGUUGGUAAUAAAAAAUAUUGCCAAACAUAAAUUCAUCGGUAAUUCAAUAUUUUUUUUAAUAGGUGAUUUUAAGAAACAAGUUAAAAAGACGGAACUAGGAUUUAUAAUUUUAAAACAAAGAGGUAUGAAAUCAAAACAAGUAAAUCACUGUAACUCAUAUAGGUGAUUUGGAUAAAAUGGGAUUACUAAGUAAUCUAAAUGAGAAAGGAAUGAUGAAAGGGAAGAGGUUAUUUAGUGAACUUAUACGCGCUGGUAACAUAUAAGUCCUUGGAAAAAUAAAAGUCUCGAUCAAAAUGGAUUUAAUUUGGAGACUCAAACUCUAGGUAUUUUCAUGUUGUUACGGAUUGAAAAAUAAAUAGGAAUGAGAUUAAAAAGGUGUUGAAAACCUAGGGUAGUGGAGUGCAAACCCUAUCAUUGUUAAAAGCAAGGUAAAAGAGUUAUUCUAUGAGAGGCUAAUGUAGAUUACUAAAUUCAAUGUUAGGUUAAGGAAAAUUCUCUUCUAUUUCUAUUGGUGAUAAUAUAGUCUUUAACAUGUGGGUUUACGAAACUAGAAAUUAAGAAAACACUAGGCAAUGUAAGACUGAUUAAAGUCUGUGAGAUAACUAUAAAUUUGGCUUUACAAAGAAAUUAUGGGAGGUUGUAAAAGUGGAAAUCAUACAAUCUACCCACUCUUUUCAAAUUAGUGGGAAUAUUAUAAGGGAUGCAAAGUCUCUUUCAUAACACUUACACUCACUUAUACCUAAGGUAGACAAUUCAGGUAGUUUACAUGAAUUCAAAAUUGGUCUCCUUAGUUAGGUGUAGGUAAAUUGAACUUCCAAUAAUUCUACUUGUCGGAAAUGAAUGAUAAGGGAAAUAGGAUGUAAAUGUGUAUGUGGGUAGAGAUUAUUUUGAAUAUAUAGAAUCAUAGGAAUAAAAUUAUUUUUAAGAAUGACAUCGUAUAUGCAAAAGAGAUAUUUCUUUUGGCACAGACAAAAGUAUGAGCUUGGACAAGGAAUAAAUCUCUUAAUCAACUUUUACAUAUUCUUAUUGGUGUAUAUAUGCCCAACAACUUGCAUAAAAACCUAUCUAAAUAAUAUGGUAUACUCACUCAAAUGAAUAUAUACGAUUGCUAAUUGUAAGUUAUUUUCAGUUUGAGUCUUAUGAAUGAAGCAAUAAAGAUUGAGAUUUCUUGAGUACCAUACACAUCAACGAAUUAAAACCUUAUGUAUGCCAUAUGUAAAAAAAACUAGACAUUAAAGAAGGAGUGACAAUGAUUAGUAUAGGUUUAUGGUAAAUUCUUGUGGAGGGUAGUGAAGUGUUAUUAAGAAAAUCCUUAGAUACUUUAAAGCAACAUUAUACAUUGUAUUAUGAAGGAUGAGAAUUAUAUUUCAGAGAGUUAUAUUAUAUAUGAUUAAUUAUCCCAUAAAAUACAUGAUUUUUUCUAAAUAUGGGAUGAAAAAGAAAUAAGAUUGAAUGGUUUGUUAUACAUACCCGGUGGCAAUAUGCUUCCCUGGGAAGUCAACUGCUUGAGACAAGGCUGACCUCCAAUCCUGAAUUCUCUGUGAUUCAUGUGCCUUCAUGUGUUUUCCGAAGCUAUUUCUUUCGUGCCGUAUAUCUGAGGGAUCUACAUGGUAAAACACUGGGUAAACAAGCUGCUUCUUCUCCUUCAUCUUGCUGCGUUCUAUGAUCUUAACAAGUUCAUCCAGACACCGUGUGGAAGAUGCAUAGUUCUCAGAAAACACAACGAUGAAAAUCUUAGAUUCUUCAAUGGCCUUCGACAGAUCAGGUGGAAGACUUUCCCCUGUCCUCAUAUUCUUAUCAUCAUUGAAACUUUUUAUUCCCUUCCCAUCUAACUCUCUACGCAGAUGCCCUAUAAAAUUGUUCCUUGUAUCUUCUCCUCUAAAACUGAUGAACACAUCAUAGGUGAAACCAAGACGCUCUUCUUCCUCACCAUGUUCUCCCAUGCUACAAACACACCAAAACUACACUAUGGAUUCUCAACUACUUUCAUCAAUUUAGUGUGUUCUGAUUAAAUACACUUUCUUACGCGGAUACACGCUUUCCUGUCUCACUGAAUUAAGCUUCUAAAUUAUAGGGGUUGACCAAGAAUAAGACGAUGGGGAUAUAAUUAUUACAACUACCAAACAUAAUGGCUCGAUCUUGAAAAUAAAGAUGAUGGGAACAGAAAUAAUUCACGUGGUGCAUAUUUAAUGUGGUUUAAAUUGUACAGAAUUGGAUUUCUGUGUAUAAAAAUAUAGCGUUCAGAUUCAUGUGUAUUCAAUUUAAUUUAUAGUAUUGUUUUUCUAUACAUUGAAAGUUAGGUAAAGGAUAAAAUAUUCUAGAACGAAUUUAUUAAGUUUAAAAAAAACAAUUUAUUUAUUUAUGUUUAUUAUAUAUCUUUAGGCAUUGUUUAGACUAAUUUUAAUAUGUUUAGUUUUUUUUUUAUUUAUUCAUAUAUAUGCUGAUGUUUAUUUGUUACACAUUAAUAGUUGUUUUGUAAUUUAUUUAGUUAUUUUUUAUUUAUAUAUAUAUAUAUAUAUAUUUUAUAUAUAAAAUAGUGUAAAAAAACUCAUCAAAUAAAUCAACAAAUCUUGGAGUGGGAUAGAAAACUUUUUCUAUGUUAAAUGACUUCGAAGAAGGCGAUAUGAUAGUUUUUGAAACAGAGGUUAAAAUACCAAACAAUGAAAUUCGAGUUAUUCACCUUUUAGGAUGAGUUUUUUUUUUUAUAUAUAACUUUUUAUUCUCACUUAAUUUUCUCAAAAUUUGUGUUAGUUUGUUGAUACUUAAACAAUUUAUAUAUUUAAGUGUAUUGUUUAUGUUUAUGCAUUGUUUAUAUUAAUUUUAUUAUGUUUAGUUAUUUAUUUAUUCGUAUAUGCUCAUGCUUAUUUCUUAUAUAUUAAUAUUUGCUUUCUAAUUUUUUUUUUAAUUUUCUUAUUUACAUUUACAUAUAUAUAUAUAUAUAAUUAUGUAAAUUAUUUUUUUUAAUACAAAAUAAUGAAAGAAUACGCGUCAAAUGAAUCAACAAAACUUGGAGCGGGAUGAAAGAAUUUUCUGUAAGUUAAAUGACUCAAAGAAGACGAUAAGAUUGUUUUUGAAGCAGAUAUUAACCUACCAAAUAAUGAAAUUUGAGUUAUUAGUCUUUUAGGAUGAAUUUUUUUUUUACAUAAUUGUUUAUUUUUACUAACUUUCCUCAAAAUUUGUCUCAAUUUUUUGGUACUUGAACAACUUAUUUAUUUACGUGUAUUGUUUAUGUUUAUGUAUUGUUUAUAUUAAUUUUAUUAUGUUUAGUUGUUUAUUUAUUUGUAUAUGCUUAUGUUUAUUUCUGACAUAUUAAUAUUUUCUUUCUAAUUUUUUUGCAUUUUCUUAAUUACAUUUAUAUAUAUAAUUAUAUAAAUUAUAUUUUUAUAUAGAAUAGUGAAAAAAACGCGUCAAAUUAAUCAACAAAAUUUGGAGUGGGAUUGAAGAAUUUGGAUAAGAUUAAAGGAUUUCAAAGAAUAAAAUAAGAUUGUUUAACCUACCAAAUAAUGAAAUUUGAGUUAUUAGUAUUUUAGGAUGAUUUUUAUUUUUUACAUUAUUGUUUAUUGUUACUGAAUUUCCUCAAAAUUCGUGUAAGUUUGUUGAUACUUAAAAAAAUUAUUUAUUUCUGUGUAUGGUUUAUGUUUAUGUAUUGUUUAUAUUAAUUUUAUUAUGUUUAGUUGUUUAUUUAUCUGUAUAUGCUCAUGUUUAUUUCUUAUAUAUUAAUAUUUGCUUUCUAAUUAUUAUUUUUAUUUUCUUAUUUACAUUUAUAUAUAUAAUUAUAUAAAUUAUAUUUUUAUACAGAAUAGUGAAAGAAAAUACAUCAAAUAAAUCAACAAAAUGAAAAAAUUUAUGUAAAUUAAACGACUUCAAAAAAGACGAUAAGAUUGCUUUUGGAGUAGAAGUACCUACCAAAUAAUGAAAUUCGAGUUAUUAGCCUUUUAGAAACACUACAAAAGAUAUUUAUUCAUUACACACUGAUUAUUACAUACGGAUUUAGAUCCGUAUAUAAUUAUGGAUUUAUAUACGGAUAUUACAUACGGAUAAAAAUCAGUCACUAAAUUGUUUAUACAUACUGAUUUUUCUGUAUGUAAAAGUAAAUAAAUUUUAUAAAAUAUAUCCGUAUAAAAAAUAUGUAUGUAACAAAGAACAUCUGUUGCAUACAGAUAUUUUAAAUUUAUUUAUUAAAAAAAUAAGUUUUAGAAGUUUUGUCAUUUUUUCACUAAAACCCCAACGUUUGCCCCCAAAACCCGUGUGCCCUAAUUCUAUCUUCAGAAGUGGAGUGUGUGAAGCUCAAUCUUGAAGCAAAGGUGAAGCUCCGUCCGACCUUCUGAAAAAUACAAAGGUGAGUUUGUUCUUUAUCCUAAUAUCUGUUUGCAUGAUGUAUUUUGUGCCAACGAAUGGUAUGAAAAAGGAAGGCAAUGGUGGACACAUGAAUGACACUGUUUGGAAACCAUGAGUGCUGGCCUCCUUAUCUCUUUCCUUUUCGCAACCUUACUCACUCUCUCAUCCCCUUUUCUAUGUCACUGCCUCUCCUUAUAUUGAUGAAGAGUGAGAAGAAAAAAAAGAGUAGGUGAAGGUAGGUGGUGGGAAGUUGGGAGAGAAAUGAGGGAGUAGUGGAGAUUUUGGAAAGAGUGGGAGCAGGUGUAAGAGAGGCAGCAGGUGCAGAGUAAGUGGCGUGGAGAGUGUGGGUCAAAUGUUAGUAAUAUUUGACUGUCCCCAAACCCACAUUAUGGGAGCUUCAUGUACCAAACCACCCACACUUUGGAACUUUUGCUCCGUAAGACCAUAAAGGACCAUCUAAGUGGAGAAAAACUUGAUCUCCUUUUAGUGGGAUUCUUUACUUACAAUUGAUUAAUUCUACAUUGAACUCAUCAUCAACACUUAGAUUUUUACUUUUUCAAUUACUUGUUCCUAUAAUAUUAUUAAUUCUAAUCUAUGACAUUGCUUUCACAGAAUAGAGUUUCAUCUAAUUUCUUUGAAGGUUGUGUUUGUCCUAUCCCAUGUUUAUGCCUAUAAUAUUGCAUGUAUUGUUACUUACUUUUUACACAUAUAGACUUUGAGGAGCCAUGUUAAAUUUUCCAUUCUGUUAAAAUACCCGUGUUUUUUUGUUGCUCAUUUGCUUUUAUCAAACAAAACCAAUCCUUGGUCAUUCAUUAUAUGGAGGACAUAUAAGUUUUUGUUUUUUGUCUUUGGUCUUGAUAGAUGCUUUGUUUGAUUGUUAAUUUAUGCUAAGGAAAAUGAGAAAACAAUGGACAUUGAAUAGUAAUUGGAGGAGUUGGUGUUAAUGCAUGAUGCAGCUUUUGCAGAGAAUCUAAGGUCCAUCUGUGUGGGUGGAUAAGUGGGAAUUAGCACGCAGAGAACCUAACUAGUGUUCAUGGACAUCACUUUUAAACAAAGCACCCACAUGCCUCUUCUGUGAGACUACCACGUUUCCAUAUUGCAAGUCAUGUCCUUAUUUGGAAAGCUAAUCCAAAUACGUGUAAUCUCCUCGAAUAUGAAAGGGCAUAGACCAUAUUCUCUUUAAGCUAAAUACCUUUUUCCUUCCACAAGGGCCUAGGGCAGUUUCUUUGAAGCACCUUUUAGAGAUAACUCUAUUUAAUAUAUACAACAUCAUUGGUAGAAGAAGUACUUAUAAUUAGUGAAUCUAUAACUGCAAAAAGAUAAUAAUGUGGAUUAAACCCCUUGGAUUACCUAAUCUUGCCACUAUAUGUGGAUGAAGCACUCAUUCACUUUUCUAAGAGUAAAUUUAAUUCAAUGGAAAAUAGAACAAUUAUCACAAAACACAUAUUAUCACAAACACACAUGAAAUUACUUAUUAUCAUUAUACUACAUAAAGUUCAAAAUAACUUCAAUUCUAAACUACUCACCAAGAUUUUUACAAAAACGAAUGUGUUACAAACACAAUACACACUACAAGAAAACAGCCAAAUAGCUUCCAAAUUUCUGUGUGGGCCAUUUUCGGACGCUACUAUCGUCGGCCAAAAUGAGGAGAAACCCACGCAAAAAUGGCAAUGGAUGCAAAACGGACGCACUUAUGGAUUUAAUGUUUUUUUUUAAAACAAUCUAGUUUGCGUCGGCCCAGGCCCACGCAUAUGCGUCAGCAUGCGUCCCACGCAUAUGCGUCGGCCACGGCCCACGCAUAUGCGUCCGUCACAACCCACGCAAAGCCCACGCAUGUUUAUAUUUUAGGAUUUUAAAAUUAUUUAAUGUAUAACAAAUAUUUUAAUAUUUAAUUCUUUAUUUUAUUUAUUUUAAAAUUAUUUCUUUAAUAUUAUAAUAAAUUAUUUAAUUUAUCAAAUUUUAAUAUAAAUUAGUUAAAUUAAAAUUAUUAAAUUAAUUAAGCGUUUGAUUUAAAAUUAAUUUAGUAAAAGAAAAGAUCUAUUUAAAUUAUUUAAAUGUUAUAUAAAAUAUUUUAUUAUUUUAAAAAUUAUUUAUUUUAAACUUAUUUUAUUUAUAUAUUGUCAUAAAUAUAUAUUUUUUAAAUUAUGAUAUAAAUUAGUUAAAUUAAAUUUAUUAAAUUGAGGAAGUGUUUAAUUUUGAAAUUAUUUAAAUGAAGUUAUCUUAAAAAGUUUAUAAAGAUUUGAAAACAUGUAGAAAAAUAAUAAUUAAUUAAAAAAUAGUAAAAGAAAAGUAAAAAAAAAUGCGUAUUUAAAUUUUGUAAAUAUUAUAUAAAAUAUACAUAAAUUUAAGAAUAUAAAUUCAAGAUGAAGUAAUUAAUUAGUGCAAAUGGUAAUGGAUGUAUUUAAAAAUAGAGAAUAAAUUUUAUCUAAAAAUGUUUUAUUUGGUUUAAGAAAAAAAAGUUGGAUAAAACUUUUAAUUAGUAAUAUAACUUAAAUAAAUUUAAAUGUUAUAUGUGUGCAAUGGCUAAAUGAACUAGGAUUUUUUGUUUUGAUAUCCAUUAUAAUUUUAAAGAUGUUAUUUCUCAUAAAUGAAGCAUAAAAUCAUCUUAAAGAAUUAGCGAAAAUGUAUAUGAUACAAACAUAUUAAGACUAAGUGCGUGAGUAAGUAACUUAUUCUUAAUUCUUAAAUUAAUACAAUAUCCAAAGUGUUUCAAAGUUGACUAUAUGCUCUAUAAAUGUCAUUGUUAUAGUUACUAAGUAUGAUCUCUAAAAGAAAUUAAUGUUUUCCAACUGAAGCACAAAAUAAUGUAGUAAGUUGUAAGUAACGAGAUGACACAUAUGCAAUAUUCUUUAUAAGUGUGUUAAUAUAGUUUCCCAAUGUUCGCCUGAUAGCGAGAGUCGAGGGAGAAGCACGAAGACGAGAAGUACCCCAGUCAAGCACCCAACAACCUGCCCGACUGAGGGAAGAAGACGAAAACUUCAAUAGUUCUCUAGGUCCCAUCUCCCCAGCAGAAACAAAUUAAUAACCCUAGUCCAUUGUCAAGGUAAGAGUUAAACUAAGAAGUGCAUUAUAAAGGCUGAAAGAGAGUAUCAUAAGCAAUUUGAGAAAUAUGAGUCAUUUCGUGAUAGUUAUAGAAUUAACUUAGAAUCAUGGAAUAUAGUUGAUUAUUAGAUUUUGGAUUAUAAGUUAGAAAGGAUUAUAAGUUAGAUUUAACCACUAAACCAAGCAAAUUCUUUAGUAUUAUUAUAAUUUUAAUUAUACUUAUUAUUAUUAACAAUAUUAAUAAUAUUAACAAUAUUAUUAAUAUUAACAAUAUUAAUAAUAUUAAUUUUAAUAAUAUGAAUAUUAUUAAUAUUAAUACUAAUAAUAUUAAUAAUAUGUAUAAUAAUAUUAAUAAUAUUUAUAAUUAUAUUAAUAAUAUUUAUAAUUAUAUUAAUAAUAUUUAUAAUUAUAUUAAUAAUAUUUAUAAUUAUAUUAAUAAUAUUUAUAAUUAUAUUAAUAAUAUUUAUAAUUAUAUUAAUAAUAAUAUGACCAAAGAAUUUGUCUGGUCUAGUGGUUAAUGCUUCCCUAGUUACUGGAAGGACUUGAGUUUCGUGGCGUCAGAACCCAGAUUCUGCAUGUUGUGUCCGUUUUUUGCUUCCACGCUAAGUAUAUUUUUUUUUAUCUUUCUUUAGGUUGAUUGACUUGGUUCAUAAGAAUUAACAACAGAUCGAUUCUCAAAAUUGAAGGUGAAUGGAAUUUAAUCUUCAUUUUGGCAUAUUUUUAGUAUUAUAGUAAUUUGUAGCUAACUUGUUCACCCUGUUAUUAACAUGGACACUUCAAAUUUGUCUGUUGCAUUGAUUUAUAAUACUAGAACUUUGCUAGUUUGUAUAAUUGUAAAUGGUAUGAAAAGAAAACAUGAUAGGUACUGAAUCGUGAGACUACAUAAUACUGGUGUGAGACUGUAAAAUACUGUGUAUUUAUACUGUUGUAAUUUUGACUGGUGUAUACUGCUGUGUAUUGAAGUUUCUUGACUCUUUUGAGAAUAUAAAAAAGGCUCUCAAAGUUUAUUGUGGAGUUUUGCAUCUGAUCCAUGAUAACAAUUGCUCCCUCUAUCGAAUCCCUUUAUUUUCAUGAAAAAAAAAAUAAAAUAAAAAAAAUGAAAGUCUGUAAAUUUUGCAUUAGGUUUUCAACCUAUGCUAUAUAUGGACCUCUUUAUUGCAUUAUGGUGUGUGUAUGUUUAACUAAAUAAAAGAAUAAAAUAAAUCUUUACAAGGAACUGCAUAUUAAAUGUUGUUGGCAUGAACUUCUUUAGGUUUUUUGCUUUAAAGAAACUACAAUAAUAAAGCCAAGUAUAAUUUUUUUUAAUCUUCCUAGGUUGAUUGACUUGGUUCAUCAGUUGUUGGAUGAUCAGUUCUUCAUUUUGACAUAUUUUUAGUAUAGUAGUUAAUUUGUUUACCACCCCGGUUGUUAAUAUGGUCACUUUUAAUUUUAUCUGUAAUACAUUAUUUCUUUACUAGUUUGUAUAAUUGUAAAUAGUAUAAUUAAAGUUUUGCAUUAUGGUGUGUAAGGUUAUCUAAAUAAAGGAAUAAAAUAAAUUUAAAAUCUGACCACAGUUACAUACGGAUAUAUCUGUAUGUAAAUCUGAACACAGUUACAUAUAUUUGUAUGUAAAUCUGAACACAGUUACAUACAAAUAUAUCUGUAUGUAAGUCUGAUCACAGUUACAUACGGAUUUAUCCGUAUAUAACAAUUACCUACGAUAAUUUUAUAUACGAAUUUUUGUCCGUAUGUAACUAUGUUUUAUAUACAAAUUUAUUGAGUUACAUACGGAUUUGAGUUGUAUGUAAUACCAACUUUUCUUGUAGUGGAAGAAUCUCUUCUUUUACACAGUUGUUUAUUGUUACUGACUUUCCUUAAAAUUUAAGACAGUUUGUUGAUACUUGAACAAUUUAUUUAUUUACAGGUAUUGUUUAUGUUUAUGCGUUGUUUAUAUUAAUUUUAUUAUGUUUAGUUGUCUAUUUAAUCAAAUAUGCUCAUCUUUAUAUCUUAUAUAUUAAUAUUUGUUUUCUAAUUUUUUUAUUUUCUUAUUUACAUUUACAUUUAUAUAUAUAUAUAUAAUUAUAUAAAUUAUAUUUUUAUACAGAAAAGUGAAAGAAAACAAGCCAAAUAAAUUAACAAAACUUGGAAUGGAAUUGAAGAUUUUUUGUAUGUUAGAUUACUUCAAAGAAGACGAUAUGAUUGUUUUUGAAGCAGAGACUAACAUACCAAAUAAUGAAAUUCGAGUUAUUUUGCUUUAGGAUGAGCCAUUUUUUUACACAAUUGUUUAUUGUUACUUACUUUUCUCAAAAUUUGUGUCAGAUUGUUGAUACUUGAACAAUUUAUUUAUUUAUGUAUAUUAUUUGUGUUUAUGCAUUGUUUAUAUUAACUUUAGUAUGUUUAGUUUUUUUAUUUAUUGGCAUUUGCUGAUGUUUAUUUCUUAUAUAUUAAUAUUUGUUGUAUAAUUUUUUUUUCUCAUUUACAUUUACAUUUAUAUAUAUAAUUAUAUAAAUUGUAUUUUUAUACAAAAUAGUAAAUCAAAACGUGUCAAAUUAAUCAACAAAACAUGAUGCGCGAUGAAAGAAUUUGUGUAGGUUAAAUGAUUUCAAAGAAGACAAUAAGAUUAUUUUUGAAACAAAGGUUAACAUACUUAUAAUGAAAUUCGAGUUAUUCGACUUUUAGGAUGAGUCCUUUUUUACACAUAUGUUUAUUAUUACUUACUUUCCUAAAAAUUUGUGAGUUUGUUGAUACUUGAAGAAGUUAUCUAUUUACCUAUAUUAUUUAUCUUAAUGCAUUGUUUAUAUUAAUUUUAAUAUGUUUAUUUUUAUAUGCUAAUGUUUAUUUCUUAUAUAUUAAUAUUUGAUUUUUAAUUUUUUAUUUAGUUUCUUAUUUACAUUUAAAUUUAUAUAUAUAUAUAUAUAUUUAAUUAUAUAAAUUAUAUUUUUAUUCUAAACAAUGAAGAAAACGCACCAAAAAAAUCAACAAAACUUAGAAUGGGAUGUAAGAAUUUAUGUAUGUUAAAUGACUUUAAAGAAGACAAUAUAAUUAUUUUUUAAGCAAAUGUUAACAUACCAAAUAAUAAAAUUUGAUUUAUUCGUCUUUUAGGAUACAUCAUUUUUUACACAACUCUUUACUAUUACUUACUUUUCUCAAAAUUUGUGUCAGAUUAAUACUUGAAUAAUUUUAGUUACGUGCAUGAUUAUUUUUAAUGUAUUAUUUAUAUUAAUUUUUAUGAUAUUUAGUUUAUUUAUUUAUUAGAAUAUGUUUAUGUUGGUUUCUUAUAUAUUAAUAUUUGGUUUUUAAUUUUUUUAUUUUGCGUCUCUUUAUGUGUUUUAAAUUAUUAAUUAUUGUAAAAUUUAUUUUACUUUAUUUUUUAAUAUAUUGAUCUUAUCUAUUAUUAGUUUAUUAGUUUAUGUAAUUGUUAAUUAAUGUAAUUUUGACUUAUAAAUUAUGAUAGAACUCAUAUUAAGUUUCAGAAUGUCAAAAUUAAUAUUUUACGUUUUAGAAAAUCAAAUUUAAUUUAAUGUAAUAUAUGAAUUAAUUUUUCUAAAUUUAUUUAAUAUUAUAAUAUUAUUAUUUAAAUAUGAAAGUUUAGAAAAAAUAACCGUUUGUUGCACGGUCAAAGUUCUAGUAGAAAUACAAAUAGAGGGGCACGUGACGUCUCCUUUUGAUUACAGCUAAAUCCAGAAAUCUUUGAAGGGUCCCGGAAAAUGAUUCUUUCAUACUUCACCAGAUUCUUAACUGCUUUUCUAACGCACUCCAUAUGCCAUAAAGUGACACAAUAAUGUAAUCACCUUCCUUAUUAUCAUUUCAUUUAAUACAGUUUCUUACGCUGAUACAAGAUGGGGAUAUAGUUAUUACAACUACCAAACAUGAUGGCCCGAUCUAGAAAAUAAAGAUGAUGGGAACAUAAAUAUUUCACGUGGUGCAUAUUUAAUGUGGUUUAUAUUGUACGGAUUUGGAUUACUCUGCAUAAAAAUAUAGCAUUCUUAUUCAUGUGUAUUGAAUUCGAUUACAGUCUCUAAAAUUUUAAAAUCACCGACUCUCAAUUAAAUAACUAAGUUUAUUUUAUCUAUUAUAUUUAAGAUAACAGCUUUGACAUUUUUAAAUCUAAAACAUUUAAUUAACUCAAGAAUAUGUAAAUUUUUAAUUAGUAUAUUUUUUUAUGUAUUUUUUUAUAUAUAUUAAAAUCUAUACUAUAUUACUAGAACUAACUGAAAUGAAAUGGCGAAGAGACUCAACAGUAAAAAAAACUUGAAGAUGGUAAAUUGUUCAACUUAAAGCCAAAUUUUCCGAAAUGGCUGAAAAUAGAGACGAUACCCUUGGUAAUUUUUUACCAUGAUGGAGUUAUUUUUUCUUUUUUUACUAAAAUGGGGUCCGUUUUAAAAAAAUUACAAAUUUAGGCAAGUCGUGCCAAUUUGGUACGACUUCAUAUGCAGAAGUCGUCCCAAUUAGGUACGACUUUUGUCAUGUCAUACUAAAGUCGUGCCACUUGGCACGACUUCUGCCCUGUCAUACUAAAGUUGUGUCAACUUGGUACGACUUCUGCCUUGUCAUACUGAAGUCGUGCCCUAUCACUUCAUUCUCCACACCAUCAAAUUCCUUACACGUAUAACUUUUUACCUUCUCCUUCAGGUACUUUUUCCACUCCACCAAAUAUAUUUGGAACUUUGGCAUUCACCCCUCUUUCUGCAUAUAAUCCAACAUCAUUCAUGCACUAUCGACCCACAAUGCCCUCACCAACAUCUCAUAAUGAAGGCAAUAACAACGAUGAUGAACAUGUCGUUGAUGAUCCUCUUCCACGAAGACCUCGACAACAAAUACGAAGACCACAUUGUGUCACGUCUUCCCAUAAAUAAUUUACUUCUAGUUCAACUUUAUAGUUUUAUUUUAUAUCUUGUAAUGAAUCUUACUAAUUUGUUUAGUUCUAAUUAAUCUCUUCUCAUCAUUACGUGUUCUGUAAAAUCAUUAUUUCUCAAGCUAUUUAUUUUGCAAAUUCACAACAAUAAUUCUCUAUUUAUUUUCCAAAUACAAUAAAUUUUCAUUUAUGUAUUUAUUUCCAAAUUUAAUAACAAUUUUCUUCAUUUUUUAAUUAAUCAAAUAAUCAAGUUAUUGUAUUACAUUACCGUCAAACAUGAUUCAUACACGAUUAUCCCAUUUUUUGUUCCUUAAAACUAACACUCUUAGAAAAUUAUGUAUCAAAUUAAUUUUUAACAUUACAUAACUUACUACCCAAUAUAUAAAUAAUAAAAUUAAAAAAAAUUAUGACGUGGCAGAAGUCGUGCCAAGUUGGCACGACUUCAGUAUAACAUGGUUGAAGUCGUGCCAAGUUGACACGACUUUAGUAUGACAUGGCAGAAGUCGUGCCUAAUUAGGACGACUUCUGCAUAUGAAAUCGUACCGAAUUGACACAAUUUGCCUAAAUUUGUAAUUUUUUUUAAACGGACCCCAUUUUGGUAAAAACAAAAAAAAAAAUAACCCCAUCAUGGUCAAAAAACCUCAAAGGAUAACGUCAAGUUAAAUAUGUAAUAUGUAUGUAUGUCCUAACAUAUCCAACUCUCUUUUUAUUCGACCAUUUUUAUGUUAUGUAAUACAUUUAUUGUAUGUUGUAUCUCACCAAUCCUUCUGAAAAUUCUAUUGUGGUGUAAGAUUCGGUUUUCGUGCCUCUGACAUUGCCAUGCUUACUAAGUUAUCCUUCAUAAUUUGUCACAAUAUUGCUACUUAUCAAAGGAAAAGUUAUUUGAGCAAAAUACUUACUACUACAUGUCCUGUCUUUGAACUACUUUGAAUUUUUCAUAAACAACAACCUAACCAAACACGAUGCUUUAUAUCCUAUGUACUAUUUAUUUUUCUCAUUUUUAAAUAUAUCCCCUCUCUCACAUGCAUGAACUGACAGGUAUGUCAGGUGUAUUUUGAGGAGAACAAUUCAUCAGUAUCUUUGAUUGGAAGUCCGUUUAACAAAUGGGAUGACGCUUCGGAGGAAGAAUCGAAAGCCCAAAUAGAAGAUAGUGUUGGUGAAGGUUUUUCAGACUCCGAUUACUCAGAACAUGGUGGUAGGCAAGAAGAGAGAAGAGGAGAGGAGAUCGUUCAAUUUCCGACGGAAAAGAAGAGUUUCCAAAAGACGACGCAUGUAAUAGUGGGGGAAUUAAUUCUGUUGGGAAGAGCCAAAAUGUCACGUUGGAAAUGAGGAAAGAGAAAAUUUUUGUAUGGAAAACGUGUAAACCUAAUAAUUUUAUUACAAAAUAGAACAUAGAUAAAUAAAAGAGAACAAAAGAUGAACAAAAGAGUAAAAGGAAGGUAAAAAAUAUGAGAAUGAAUAUCUUUCUUUUCUUGUUAUUGAAAUCAAAACAAAUGGUCUGAAUAUAUACAAGUAGUACACUCAUUCUAGGUUUAACUAAAGAUGAAAAGAAUCAAUAAUUAAAUACUAGAAUCAUAACAAACAAAGACAAAAUAAAGGUUAUUCACCUCUAUAAAGAGAAACAACUGAUAAUUAGAAAAGAUACCCAAUUAAUAUUAAGAUUCUUCUAUAACUCUGGUAUCCGUAUCCUUUAAUACCCCGUCACAAGCUGGGGAGCAAAUAUUGAUGAGACCCAGCUUGGAACAAAUAUUCUUAAAAGAUUGAGGACUUAAAGCUUUGGUAUAAAUAUCAGCCAGUUGCUCUGUGGUGGAAAUGAGAAGCAAAUGAAUGAGACCCUUCUUUAAUUUUUCCCGGACCACGUGACAAUCUAUUUCUAUAUGUUUCGUACGCUCGUGAAACACUGGAUUUGCUGCAAUGUAUCUUGCUGAGUCAUUGUCACAGUAUAAAAGAGAUGGUUGCUCAAAAGGAACUUUGAAAUCUUGAAAAAGAUAAGUUAGCCAUUGAAUUUCACAUGUAACAGUGGUCAUUGCCUUGUAUUCAGCUUCACAAGAACUCUUUGAUAUUGUUCCUUGCUUCUUUGAUUUCCAAGAUAUGAGAGAAUUCCCAAGAUACACACUAAAACCAGUCACUGAUUGUCUUGAAUCACUACAGGUGCCCCAAUCACUAUCACAAAAGGCUUUCAGAUGAACAGAGGUAGUGGAAGAGAAAAAUAGACCAAGACUUGGAGCCCUUUGAUAUAUCUGAGAAUUCUAAUCGCUGCAUUAUAGUGAGCAAUUGUAGGCUUAGCAAGAAACUAAAAAGUUGUUGUACAAAAUUUUUUAUGUCAGGUCGGGUAUUAGUGAGAUACAUAAGUUUUCCAAUCAAUCUUCUGUAGGUUUGAAUAUAUGUGAAAGGAACACUUCCAGUAGAAGAGAAUUUCUCAUGAUUAUCAAUAGGAGUGGGUGUAGGUUUGCAGGCUAAAAGACCUGCAUAUGUUAAUAAUUCUAAUGCAUAUUUCCUUUGAUUUACCAUUAUUCCUGUCUUACCUUUUGCUACUUCUAGACCAAGAAAAUAUCUUAAAUUCCCAAGAUCUUUAAUCUUGAAUGUCUGAUUCAUGGCUUGUUUGAUUCGAGCAAUCUCUUCUUUAUCAUUUCCUGUCAAUAUUAUAUCAUCCACAUAUACCAAUAAUGCUGUAAAAGAUCCUUCAGAAUAAUUAAUGAACAAGGAAUGAUCAUUCAUAGAUUGAGUAUAUCCCAUAGAAAGCAAAAAUGAUGACAGUUUGGCAAAACCAUUAUCUACUGACUUGCUUAAGGCCAUGUAAAGCCUUUUUUAGUUUACAAACUUUUCCUGGUGGAAUAAAAGUCAUUCCAAGAGGAGCAACCAUGUAUACAUUUUCUUUUUCAAAUCUCCAUGUAAAAAGACAUUUUUAUGUCUAAUUGUUUCAAUUCCCAAUUAUAAAUAGAAGCUAAAGAAAGAAGCAACCUUAUGGUGGUCAUCUUUGCUACUGGAGAGAAAGUAUCAAGGUAGUCAAUGCCUUCUGUUUGUGUAUAUCCCUUUGCCACUAACCUUGCUUUAUACCUUUCAAUUGUCCCAUCAGCCUUAUAUUUUAUUUUGAAUACUCAUUUGCAACCUAUGGCACCUUUAUUCUUAGGCAGAAGAGCAGUCUCCCAAGUUUGAUUUGACUAUAAAGCAGAUAUCUCACAUUGUAUAACUUUUCUCCAACAUUCAUGUUUCACAGCUUCAUAAUAAGUGUUUGGCUCAACAUGUGAAGAAAGAGACAUAACAAAAGAUUUAUAAGGAGGUGAUAAAUUGCUAUAAGACAAAACAGAAUUAAAAGGAUAUUUAACUCUUGAAGAUGCACUGGAAACAUUAAGAUUACAAUGAUAAUCAAUACUCAGGUGGUCUUUUUAUUCUUGUGCUCAUUCGGAAAGAUGGAUCUGAUUUAGAACUUUGUUCUAUAUCAUGAUUUUCAUUGAGGUUUUGAUCUAUGUGGGAACAAUCUUCUUCUGAAACAUCAAUUUCUGACUCACAAUUAUUAUCACUGCUAUUUUCAACAUUAUCACAAGGUGUAUUAUCACAAGGUGCAAGAAUGGCUUGUGAUGACUGAUAUAAGACAGAUUGAUCUUCAGCAAACAAAAUUUGAUCAUUAAUGUCAGAACUGUUAGUUUCAUUGCUAGUAUCUUGAAUCCUUUGGUAUGGAAAAACAUGUUCAUAAAAGACAACAUCCCUAGACACAAAUUUCUCUUGAUUGAAUAUUCAACAAAAUAUAUCAUUUUGUCCCCCUUUGAAAACCAAUAAAAACACAUUUUGAUGCUCUUGGAUCAAAUUUUCUUCUAUUUGUUGACAAAGUGCUAGCAUAACAUAAAGAACCAAACACCUUUAAUCCAUUAAAAUUUGCAUCAGUUUUGAAAAGCAUUUCAUGAGGAGAAGAAUAGUUUAAAACAGGUGUGGAAAGCAUGUUUAUAAUAUGUGCAACAUGUAUCACAGAAUAUGACCAAUAAAUUUUGGGUAAAUGAGAUUGUAUCAUAAGAGCUCUUGCUACAUCUAAUAAAUGAUCAUGUUUCCUUUCAACUAUACUAUUUUUGUUGUGGAGUAUUGACACAUGAUGUUUGAUGUAUUAUUCCUUUACUGNNNNNNNNNNNNNNNNNNNNNNNNNNNNNNNNNNNNNNNNNNNNNNNNNNNNNNNNNNNNNNNNNNNNNNNNNNNNNNNNNNNNNNNNNNNNNNNNNNNNNNNNNNNNNNNNNNNCAGAUUUUUGUUUCAAAAGAAAAAUCCAUGUGUACCUCGAAUAGUCAUCAACUAUGGUCAAGAAAUAUUUAUGACCAUGAAUUGAUGGUAUUGAGUAUGGUCCCCAAAUAUCUACAUGAAUCAAAUCAAAACAUUUUUUUUUGCGAUUUAGAUGUACUAAUAGGAAAAGAAAGUAUUUUUUGCUUUGCAAAAUGACAAACAUCACAAACAAAAGAUUUGUUAUAUUUAACAUAAGGAAAUUUAUUCUUGAUAACAUUAAUACAUUUAUUUGAAAUAUGACCUAAUCGAAAAUGCCAAAGGGUUUCUAGAUCACUAGCACUAACAUUAACAGUAUUGAUGAUGUGUGUACAUUCAAGGGGUUUAAUUUGAAAUUUCCGGUGAGAUGGGAUCCUGAGUAUAUAAAGUCUAUCUUGCAUCUGAGCAGAACCAAUUAUUUUCAAGGAGUUUUUGUCUUGAAUGUGACAACCAUUAGAAUCAAAGGUAAGAACACAAGAUAGUCUAUCAAUCAGUUUUGUUACUAAAAGAAGAUUAAAAGUGAAGCAAGGAAUAUACAAAACAUUGUUUAUGACAUGAUCUUGAUUGAGAAAAACACUUCCAGAAUAAUUGGCAAUGACUUGGUUUCCAUUUGGUAAUUUGACAUAAAAAGGAUCAAUUUGAUGAUACGAAGUGAAGUAAGUUAAGGAUGAACAAAUGUGAUCAGUAGCACCACUAUCAAUAAUCCAAGAACUAAAAGAAGAAAUAAAGUUAUUACCAGUUUGUGUUGUCAUGAUGGAAGGAAUAACAAAGACUUGACUAGAAACAUUGUCACUGGAUUUGACCUGUUGUAAAAGAGCUAACAAUGUUUGAUACUGCUCAGGAGUAAAACCAAUUUGUUGAGACUCCACUUCUAACUUUGAACCUUCAUGAUUUUGCUCAUUAUUGUUAAAAUUUGUAUUGUGAAAGGCUGCAUGACUCUGAUGAUGGUUUUGAUUUUUAAAUUUGAAAUGAGGUGGAAAACCACGCUUUUUAUAGCAUGUAUCAAUGGUAUGCCCUGUCUUUCCACAAUAAAUGCAAAUUUUGGAAGUAUAUCCUCCUCCAUAGUUUCCUCUUCCAUAUCCACCACCCAUGCCAUAGGUCGUAGCAUUGUUAUUAUAACCUCCUUUGCUACUAGCAAUCAUUGCCUUGGAUUGAUCACCAAAAACUUGCCUCUAUUGUUGUGUAAUGAGAGAGUAAACUCUAUUCAAGGAUGAAUUAUCUUAUGAACUAACAUGGUAAGGUGAACAAAGAUCUUGUGAGGGAUCAACAACUUCACCCAUAGAUAAAUGUAGCAACCAAAGCUCUAAUCAGAGCUCUCUUUUCUUGUUAUUGAAAUCAAAACAAAUGGUUGAAUAUAUACAAGUAGUAUACUCAUUCUAGGUUUAACUAAAGAUGAAAAUAAUCAAUAAUUAAAUACUAGAAUCAGAACACACAAAGACAAAAUAAAGGUUAUUCACCUCUAUAAAGAGAAACAACUGAUAAUUAGAAAAGACAAUUAUUCUCCUCUAUAAAGAGAAACAAUUGAUAAUUAGAAAAGAUACCCAAUUAAUAUUAGGAUCCUUCUAUAACUCUGGUAUCUGUAUCCUUUAAUACAUUUCUUGGCAGAAAUUAAGUGCAAAAAGACUAAUGAUAGAGUAUGAGCAGAUGUCCUAAUUUGUAGUGGGUUGGUUUAGGCCUAACUGAAUGCAUACAGUUGGGUUAGGGAAACCCUAAUUUAUGACACAAUUGCUGACAUGGACUCACAACUAGAAAUUGUUAGACAAGGAGGAGCGACGAACUGGGUGGGAGACGACGCGGUUCCCCCUACGUCGCUGACGGUGGCUUACGACACUGGUUUCGAGGGCCUCGACAUCGACGAAGCCGACGCGGCUUCUCUUGCGCCGCCGGUAGCGGCUAAUGUAAUUGGUAUUGAGGAUCCCAACGCUGGUUAUACCUUGAAGUUGUCGGAGGCAGGCAGUGAGGGGCAACGAUUAUUGAUGGCGGUUGUCGAAGAUGCUAGAACAAUGAAGGAGGCAGGCGAUGGUGCAAUUAGUGACGGCCGUGGCGCGACUGUAGUGGCGAGCAAUGGCGAGAUUGGUGCUAGCAAUGACACGACUUCAGUGGUUGGAGAUGGCGCGACUAUAGUGUUUGGCAAUGGUGUCGGCGCGUCUGUAGGGGCGGAGCAGCGUGCGGCAGCGGCUGACGCUGUUAUGUAUGAUAGUUCCGGCAUGGGGCGCGGCAGUGGAGAGGAGGUGAGCGACGAAUGUGUGGUGGUAGUGGUGGCAAGGGUUACACAUGUUGAGGGAGAAGAAGGUGGGUUUGAUGACGAAAACAAAGGAUCUUUGGGGUGUGAGGCAAUCAGAGAAACAACAAGCGUGAUGGAGAGGAUGGGGUUAGUAUGGAGUAGAGAGGAUGAUGGAGCUGCAAAGACGUCCACUCAUAGGGGCACGAUAAGGGAGACUGAGACUUUUUUUUGCAAGUCACCCAGUGGGGAGGAUGAUGGCUAGUUUUGGCGGAAGGGUGGACGAUUUGCCUAAAUCGAGAGACGAAAGCUCACCGAGGAUUGAAAGGUUAUCUAUGUCAGAUUCACUAAAAUGCUUAAGAUCAGAAAUCAUUAUCUUAGACAAAGAUGCCAGAAAAUACAGUAGAAUGCUUUGGUUAAAAGAUGAGCAGGGCGAAGCUAGGAAGAGAUGGAAAGUUGGUAAGGAGAUGAGUUUCACACUGUUAAGUGAAGAAAAUGUGGUAUUAAAUAGGCUUAGCAGUUUGGAGAAUCGGGAUUGCAGGAAUUUGGAGAUGGAGAUUAAUGUUUUUUAUGAUGAGUCUAAUUAGUUUGAAUAUAAGAGGAGUAAGAGGAAAUAUAAAAAGAACAUACGUAAGAGAAUUAAUUAGAAAAGAGGAGGUUAGAAUGGUUUGUUUACAGGAAACAAAGUCCUUAGUGCUCAGUAAGAACAAUUGCUUUUAUAUGUGAGGUUCAAAUGAAAUUGAUUGGGUGGAGAAUGGUGCAGUAAAUAAUGUUGGUGGAAUCAUUACUAUGUGGAGAAGAAGUAGUUUUAAUAAGACAAGUUUUUUAAAUGGGAAAUGUUACUCUAUCAUCGAAGGAGUUUGGAAAGUAGGAGACGGGAUACACAUUACGAUAGUAAAUGUGUACAGUUCCAGCUCGUUGAAAGAAAGGAAGGAGGUUUGGGAUGAGUUACGAGAAAUCAGGAAGAACCAACAAAACAAGGUAUGGUGUGUUGUCGGGGAUUUUAAUUCAAUCAGAAGAAAAGAUGAGAGAAAAAGCGUAGUCUCAACAUCAGAUUAUAGUAGAGAGAUCAGGGAUUUUAAUGAUUUCAUUGAAAACACGGAGUUAUUGGAUAUUCCAAUGGUCGAAAAAAAGUUUACUUGGUAAAAGCCAAAUGGGACGGUCAAUAGCAGAAUUGACAGAAUUCUUGUCUCACCAGAAAGGUCUUUGAUCAUUGUGCUUUAGUUCUAAAAGUUUUAUCGGUGGAUUGGGGGCCUAAACCUUUCAGGAGUCUGGAUGUGUGGCAAAGGGAUAGUGGGUUCCUGGAUUUUGUUCGCAGUAAAUGGCAGAGCUAUGAGGUGUUUUGUGGAGGGAUGGUUGUUCUAAAAGAAAAAUUGAAAAAUUGAAAGCUAGAUUUGAAGAGGUGGAAUAGGGAGGUUUUCGAGAAUGUCAAUCGGGAAGGGGAAUCUAUACAAAAGAAGAUUCAAGAGUUGGACGCAAGAGACAAUGAAAGUGAGUUAGAUGAGCUGGGGAGGGAGGAGAGGGACUUUUGCUAGUGGAACAAAGUCGAAACCUUUUUACACAAGAAGCGGUCUUGCACCAAAAAGCAAGACUAAAGUGGUUGAAACAAGGCGAUCUAAACACUAAAUUUUUCCACUCCUCAGUGAAGUGGAGGAGAAUGAGAAACGGGAUCAACGGGGUACCUUAUGUGUUCAAUAUACACAAGGGAUUUACCCUACUCUUUCUUUUACUUUAAUAACUUACACAAUAUCCUUUAUUAUAUUACAUAAAUGCUCUGAUUAUAUCACAAAGUACUCCGAUUUAUAUCCAUGAUAUUCAGAUUAUAUGAAAGGAUACUAUGAUAUGUCACAUCAAAACCUGGAGAAACUAGUGUUAGAGAUCCAAGUCCAUGAAGGCUUAUAAAUAGAUGACCACUCAUAGGGAGUAAUCUCAACUCGAAUUUUGGCACUAUACUCACUAUAUAAACAAAAUUUGAUGCUCUUACUGAGUUGAGCGUCAGAGUAUUUUUUGCAGGUGGAGCCCCCCUCAUUCCUUGGAAGUUGAAUCACUAGAGCUUAAAGGGAGACUACCCGAAGCCCACUCAAAUUUAGAUUGACCUCAUCUCGGCGAGAACUGUAAUAGUCUAUCAUUUGAUUGAUAUUGAUGCGGUAUAAAAAUCAUUUAUAUUGAUUCCUCGCAUAUAAAAUUAUUAAGAGAGUCUCUUAAAUAUUGAUUCCUCGCAUAUUUAUAAAAAUUUCUUAUCAUUAUUAUUAGACGUUGAUAGCAAUUAACAUUUCAAAUCUAUUCCAAGUAUUCAAAUACGUUAAGCAUUAUCAUUUGGGUCAGAAACUUAGAAUUACUUUCCAGUCAUAAGAGUUUCAAAGAUGAACUUCAAUCCCAUUUUUCCCAAUUGAAGCAACAAACUCUUUGACUUGUGUUUUUUAAUCAUUGCAAUCAUAACAAACUCCCAACAAACUUUGUUAUUUUGUUUUCUAUUUAAUGAAUAUUUUACUUGAUUAUUCAAGUGUUCCUUGUGAGUUCGAUAUUCGUCCUUAAGGAUAAAUUAUUACUUCUGACAACACGGUGCACUUGUUGUAUCACAUAUUUAUAAAAACUUCUUAUCAUUACGAUUAGACGUUGAUAACAAUUAACAUUUCAAAUCUAUUCCCAACAUUCAAAAUAUGUUAAACAUUAUCAUUUGGGUCAGAAACUCAAGAGUAUUUUCCAGUCAAGAUCAAUCUAGAUCAUAGAAACAAACAUUACAAAUAAAAUGACAAUAACAAUCAUCAAUCAAGAACAAAAUAUUAUAUUUAAAUAUCAACUCAAUACAUAAGAGGAUGAAUUUCAAUCCCAAUUUUCAAAUUGAAGCAACAAAUUCUUGGACUUGUUUUCUAUUUAAUCAUUAUCAUCAUAACAAACUCCCAACAAACUUUGUUAUUUUGUUUUUUAUUUAGUGAAUCUUUUACUUAAUUAUUCAAUUGUUCCUUGUAGUUCUGAAAAUACAAUGCCCUUAUUAAAAUAGUUAUCACAUCUUGUCUCAAUACAUGGGGAUUGGGAGAAGCCAAUAGGAGAUCAUGUUUCCUCUUCAUACACAAAAGCUCCCCAACCACUUAUCACGAAGGAGGAAGUGGCUUUGUACUAAAUCUGCACCAGAUUUCACUCCUCCUCCAGAAGUCGGUCAAGGCCAACCCACUUCUUGUCACUGAACAAAACUCGUAGAUCAAAGAUCAAGAUGCGUUCUGCUUCAAUUCUGAAUUUGCGACACCCUUUGCAAGGAACAUAUCGAGUUAUUAACUUUGAAAGUCAAUAAAAAUAUUAUUUGCAGCAUUUUGAGUUAUUAACUUAUUAAUGACAAUAAAUAUGGAAGUUUUUGUUCAAUAAAAAAUUGAAACGUAAAAAAUGGGAAAAUAUGAUAUAGAAUUGUACCUUAAAUGGCUCUUCCAAUGUUAGACGACUUCUAGGCAAAUUUAAAACAAUGAUGUGCUUUGGAUUAAAUUUUGGUGGGAAAGACUUUGAAGGACACUCUUCCCAGUCAAGAAGUCUUAAAUAAUUUGGUAAAUGUUCAAGUUCAGAUGAAAAUUGUGUGUUUCGAACAAUGAGAAUUCUGAGACAUUCCAUCUUCACCAACUCAGUACCACUCCAUUCUACUUUUUCUCGUUGAGGGGGAUCAAGCAUAAACCCUUGAAUCAUAUCACUUCCCUUUAACACAAGUACAAAGAAGCAACAUCAACUGCCUAUUAUCAGUAAUAUAAAAUACUAUAAUCUAUAAAUAAAAAACAAAAUAGAAUAAAAGAGUAGAGGAUUACGUAAUCUUUUGUUAGUAUUUCAAUAGCAUCUUCAUAAUACCAUAUUCUGCUACGUUUAGCAGGAUUUGGUGAUUCCUGCUUAACAAUCUCUCUACCCAUAUCUUGUAUUAGAUCAUGCAUCUUCAGGCAGCCAUUCUCGACAGUUAUGAGAGAUUUAUUAAGAAGUAAUUUCAUGUUGGUUGUUGGACAAAAUUCUUGAAGUAUCUUUUUCACAUAUUCCAUUCUCUCCCCUUUAAAGAAGCAAGCUAUGUCCAAGAAAAUUUGUUGGGCAUUAUCAUCCAAUCUAUCGUAGCUUAUUUGAAGCACAUCUUGAAUCUUUGUAUUUGGAGUCUUCUCAUAUUCUUUCAUUGCCAUUUCCCAAUCUUCUAAACUUUCAUGAAAAGCAGCUAAAUCAGAGCCUAUGACUUUUAAAGCCAGUGGAAGACCUUUGGCGUAAUCUACAGCACGCACAGACACAUCUUCAAAACCUGUUUUAGGAUAACUUUGUCUGAAGGCAUUCCAACAAAAUAGCUGUAAAGAAUGUUGGUCAUCAAGUUCCUUCAUUUCAUACGUAGGUUUAACUUGGUGAGCAAUUAGCACAUUUUCUUCCCUUGUGGUUAUAAUGAUCCUACUACCUGGACCAAACCAAUUACACUCUCCUGCCAACUUUUCUAACUGGUCUUUAUCACCAACGUCAUCAAGAACCAAAAGAACUUUCUUUUUCUGAAGCUUUUCUUUUAUUUCACCCAUUCCUUUAAUUGUACUUUCCAAUUUAGUUUCCAACUCCUCAAACAUCUUAGAUAAAAGUGUCUUUUGUAGAUCUUCCAUGCCAUUGAUUCUGUUUGAUUUUUCUCUAACAUCGGAAAGAAAACUUGCUGCAUCAAAGUGUUGCACAAUUUUGUCAUACAAAGCUUUGGCAAGUUCCGUUUUUCCAAUUCCACCAAGUCCAUAUAUGCCCAACAUAUUUACAGUUUUAUCAUCAGGCUUCAUGUCUAAAAGUGACAUAACUUCUUCUAUGCAAGCCUCAAGUCCAAUAGGGUUUUGACCACUAUAUAAAGGUUUAGGAAUUAUAUAUUCAUGGACCUUCUCAACAAUUUCUUCAAUACAAUAGCUUUCAUCAUCCCUAUAAGAGUAGAAUGUAUUAAUUAAUUAUUUGUUUGAUAUCAUGAUUUUUUUUAUUGUACUAAGUGGUGAUUAUUGUACUAGAUUUUUUUUUAUCGGCAAUAAAAAAUAAAUAAAAUAAAAAUAGAACCACUUCAGGGGUGGUUUAACCCUUAUACAUAAAAAAGCUAAACCAGCUCCAACUAACGUCUUCCAAAAACCAACCCAACUCUUCUACCCCUUACAAAACCAAGCAAAAAACCUCAAGAAACUAACCUUGUACACUCCAAAGGAGCCAAACACCAGAAUAAGAAAACGAAACUAACCGGGAAUUUGUUGAAACCCAAGACCAAGCCUUUACCUGUGCCAACGCAAAGAGCUCUUUCUCGUCUGCCACUCCUCUAUUAAAAAUUAUACGAUUCCUGUGGCUCCAAAUCUCACUUAUCACCCCAACCCAAAUCGUGUUCCAAGCAACCAGACCCGUCUCCGAAGGUAAGCACAAUCUAAAUUGAUCAAAGUUGCACCUUGGUUCAAUAUGAGUCACAAACUGGAUUCCUAGCCACUUAAAACAUAAACACCAAACUCGCCAAGCAAACGAACAACCAAAGAACAGAUGGCUACUCGACUCCUCCUCCUUCCCGCACAACACGCACCUCAAGCUUUCUAAUCGAACCCCUCUUCUACUAAGAUUGACCCUGGUAGCUAGCUUGUUUUUCAACACCCUCCAAGCCAAAACCAUUGCAGAAGGAAUUGCUUUACUCCUCCACAACUUCCUAAGCUCCUGCGAAGAAACCGCUUCAAAAUCCUUCCUGAUAAGGUUGUAAGCAGAGCUAACGGUGUAAGACUGAACACCCCCACCCUUCCAAAUCCACCUAUCAGUCUCUCCAAGAACAACCUCAACCCCAAGCAGGAGCUGACUUAAUCGAUCCGCCGCCGGUUUCUCCCAUUCGAAAAAAGGCCUUCUCCAAUCAAGUCCCUAGACCCAUCUCCCAUCAGACCAAGACCCAAGAUCCGACAGUUUUGCAUGUUUGUUAGAGCUGAUUGAGAAAAGUCGUGGAAAAACAUUCUUCAACGCCUCACCCAUCAACUAGCUAUCCUUCCAGAAACAAAUGUCCAUCCCAUUCCCAAUCUUCCACUCAAAACUGUCUUCGAAACAUCUCCCCCACCCCUUCGAAUACCAAACUUCCUUCAAAUCCUUCCACCAAAGAGAACAACUCUUACCAUUACUUGCCACCCCCAGAUCUCUCCACCCCCCGUACUUAGAGAAAAUGAUGUCCUUCCAAAGUCCUACCUCAACCGAACCCAACCUCCAAAUCCACUUUCCCAACAAAGCCCCCCAAACUCACGAGGUUUACACACCAGGUUNNNNNNNNNNNNNNNNNNNNNNNNNNNNNNNNNNNNNNNNNNNNNNNNNNNNNNNNNNNNNNNNNNNNNNNNNNNNNNNNNNNNNNNNNNNNNNNNNNNNAGAAAAUCCCUUUGCAACUUGAUCAACUUACUUGCCACCCUAGUAGGCAAUCUGAACAAAGACAUAUAAAAUAACGGAAUAGCAGAAAGCACAAACCUAAUCAGACAAAUCCUCCCAGCCAUCAACAAACUUCUUCCCUUCCACCUGCUUAACCUAGCCUGCACUUUCUCAAUCACCCUGUUCCAAAACGUACCGCACUUGUGACUCCCUCCAACAGGCAGACCCAAGUAAAUGAACGGAGGGGCCAUCGUAUCACACCCAAGAAUCGCUGCAAAUCUCUGAAGUGUGGCCUGGUCCAUCCCCGUCCCUCCAAUCCUACUCUUCGCAAAAUUAACCCUUAACCCAGAAGAUAGCUCGAAACACUACAGGAUCGCCCUGAUAUUAAAGACACUUUUGGUAUUUGCUUCACAGAAGAACAAAGUGGCGUCCGCAUACUGUAACAUAUUUACCUUUACUUUACUCUUCCCAACCUCCAAACUGUCAAUCAACUUCUUUUCCUCUGCUACCCUUGUCACCCCAGCUAAACCCUCCGCCACAAUAAGGAAGAGAAAAGGGGCAAGCGGGUCGCCUUGACGUAGACCCUUUCUAGGAAAGAACUCCCUAGUUGGGCUUCCGUUUACAAGGACCGACACCGAAACUGACUCCAGGCAUCCCUUUAUCCAUCGAAUCCACCGAGCACAGAAACCCAACCUUCUUAACAUAUAAUAUAAAAAUUCCCAUUUCACCGAAUCGUAUGCCUUCUCGUAGUCGACUUUAAAGCAGAUACUUUGUUUUCUCUUUCUCUUGUACUCCUCAAGAANNNNNNNNNNNNNNNNNNNNNNNNNNNNNNNNNNNNNNNNNNNNNNNNNNNNNNNNNNNNNNNNNNNNNNNNNNNNNNNNNNNNNNNNNNNNNNNNNNNNUUCCAAUCACCUUUUUCAGGCGCAAGGAGAGCGCCUUUGAGAUGAUCUUAUACAGGCAACCUACUAAUGAGAUAGGUCUAAACUCCCCCAACUGUUGAGGAUUUUCAACUUUUGGAAUCAAACAAAGAAACGACGCAUUUGAUACUCUUGGCCAACAUCCAAAAUCAGCAAAGUCCUUUACUGCGUUCAUCACAUCCUUCUUCACAAUGUCCCAACAAGAUUUUAAAAAACAAAAGUUAAACCCGUCGGGACCAAGACUUUUUGAACUAUCACACCCCCAGAUCGCAUCUCUUACCUCAUCUUCCGAGAAAACGCUGACUAACAUAGCGUUAUCUGCUUCUGAUAUGGUAUUGAACCUGACAUUAUCCAAAGUGACCUGACAAACAUCGUUCCGGGCAAACCUUUCUUCAAAGUACUUACGAACCUUAUCCUUUACCUCCUCCUUAUCAUCACACCAUUUAUUAUUGUCGAAAAAUCCAUGUAACUGAUUCCUUGCCCUCCUCCACUUAACCGCAGAAUGAAAGAACUUUGUAUUAUGAUCCCCCUGCUUUAUCCAAUUCUGCUUUGCUUUCUAAAAUAAGAUCGCCUCUUGUUUGGAUCUGGACUCAGAUAGUUGAGCAAAUAGGGACUUUCUUUCAUCCUUUUCUGAUUCCAACAACCCGUCUUCGUCGUCACGAGAAUCUAACUCGUCUAACCUUUUCUAGAUUUCCUUACUAGCCUGAUCUCCGAAUACUUCCCUAUUCCACACCUUUAGGUCUGCUUUUAACUUUUUCAGCUUCUCUUUAAACACAAAAAUUCCCCCUCCCGUCACCUUGUAAGCAGACCAGCUCGAACUCACAAACUCCUUGAACCUGUGAUCCUUCAGCCAAACAUUCAAAAACCUAAACGGCUUCGGACCCCAAUCCACUGACACCUCCUUCAGAAUAACAGCACAAUGAUCUGAGAUUGAUCUAUUGAAGACAAAUUGUUGGCUGUUAGGCCACACCUCCAACCACUCCUUGGAGACCAGCACCCUGUCAAUCCUGCUUUUCACCAAACCAUUGGGUUUGAACCAAGUAAACUUCCUGCCCACCAACGGAAUAUCAACCAAUCCGAGCACGACACCAAACUCUUCCUUUCCUCCUGCCUUCUUAUACAAUUAAAGUCUCCAAUGAUGCACCAAGCCUUCGAUAACUGACCUUGUCUGAAACAACUGAUCUCGUUCCACAUCUCCUUCUUCUCUCGAAAAGAUCCUGAACAAUAAAUGUUCACGAUGGUUACUUGGGUUCCAAAACCCCUCUUCCAAACCCCUUCUAACACUGAAAAGUUCCUACCAUUCUUGAAACUGGACAACUGAAAAACCUUAUUGCUCCACAUCGUAAUCACCCUACCUGCUUUAUUAACUGCUUUGUUUUCCACCCAAUCCACUUCGUUAGUUCCCCAAAAAAGACACACCUUUUCCCUACUAAAAUCUGAACACUUUGUCUCUUGUAAACACGCCAUGUUCACCUGCUCCCUACUGAUCAAAUCCCUGACAUAAUUCUUUUUUACCGCCCCGCCUACCCCUCUGAUAUUCAGACUAAGAAUCUUCAUUAACAACCUUGCUCCUCUCUUUCCACAUUCUUCUCGUAGUCACCCCGCCUUGAUUAGAUAACGAAUAAAUACCAUCUAAAACUACCUCUUCUCGAUCGGCGAGCGAAAACCCAGCUUCUUUCCCUACUCCCCAGACACUUGCAGCCAAAUUCUUAUCUGUUUUCACCCAAAAAAUCAUGUUACAAUUCUCAAUUGCGCUAUCAGAAGUGAAAAGUGAAUUCGACGAGCUGCCUGUUUGAUGAACCAAAAACACUUGUUCCACUGAGGACUGUCUUCCUACGACUUCUCCAUCCAAACCCGUCACCCUGCCCUCCGUAUCUCCGUUGUUGCCUCCACCUUCCACUUCAUCUUCCAUACCUGCCCCCAAAUCCUCUAAUAGUCCUCCUGGAGGGAGGGCACACCCACCAUCUCUCGACUUUGACAUCUCUGACCUCCUUGCCCCCUCUGCAUCGACCAACUUUUCAGGAUCUACCAGUUCACUGUCAUUCAAACCUUGGACUACUGGAGACUUUGGGAUGUCCUUUACAGUUGCUACUGAACUCCCGUCGACUCCGUCUCUAAUCACACUGGUCCCAGACUGUUCCAAAUCAUUCAAAGAAGGACAUAUCCCUACCGAAUUAGCGACCCUACUCACUGAACUCGUCUGUCUUGAGACGCUCCCGACUUCUCCUUCUUCUUCUUCGUGACAACCAUCCUGGACACUCAAAUUCUCUUUGCACGGCUUCAUAAAUGCACUUUGGCACUUUAAAUCCCCCACCACUCCUUUCACACUUAGAACUCCAUUUUCCACGCACUUAAUCAUAGGGGGACACACUUUUAAAGAAGCGAGCCCACCAUCAUUAAUUUCCUGCAUUCCUACUUCUUGAAAUGGCUCUUGAGGUGGCGCUUGAAAAGACGCUCCAGCCCUCACAUUCCCUCUCAACAUGCACCUACUUUCACUUACCCCUCCAUUACUCCUUGCCUUAUCAUUCGCUGACUUGGACUCCUUGGAACUAGCCACCUCCACGUAGGAAUCCACUAUCUCUAUCUUUGAACAGCUAAGAGAACCGUGCCCACCCACUAACUCCACUCUCUUUCUCAAAGAAAUACCGUGCACAUUCAUUGGCCCUCUUAAAUUAUCUUGAAACCAUCCUUCACGCCCCUUACCAAGACAAACCGGGUCCACCAUGCCCUGGACCGUCUCUUCCAACUCCAAGCCUCCUUCCCCGACGGCACCCACACCUCCAUCUCCGGCCAACCCAAGCUCCGACCCCACUGAAUCGCACAAGCUUGCACCUACGCUUCCGUCAUCGGAGUUAGCUUCGGUGUCUACCUCUAAAGCUCCGCCAUUCCACUUGCCAAGACUCUGCUCCGGGACGGACAUCUCUUCAACAAAGGCAACCUUACAUGACCUACCAUUGAUGCACAACUCCUUCUCCAUAUUGACUGUUGAUCUUACCGAUGUUUUAACUCUAAACCGAGCAAACUCCACUGUUUCUCUUCUCUCAGUUACUUCGUCGACCUCCAUCACCUCUCCCACCACUACCCCUAUUUUGGAAAAACUAUGUUUGCACCAGAACUGUAGCGGGAUUCCACUGCAUCGUAUCCAUGCAAAACGUUCUUUUAGUUCGAAAGAACCAUCCCAGGGUGUAACCGCCGAGAACGCUUCGUCGAACCAAGACCUGUUGUCUGCAAUGAUCUUCUUCAGACUUCCUCCAUCAUCGCAAGACAGCAGAACGAACCUACCACCAAGAUAUCUUACUUUGACUAGGCUGAAACCUCCCAACACAAAGCUCUCCUUAAUCACUUGCAUGCUUGGAAGCUCUUUCAAACUACCAACGUAGCAUCUACUAACCAAUCGUCUUGUUCUACCUCCACUGUAACCUGAGAAUCAACGUCGCCCCCCAAAGAGCUACCCACAAUCUCGCCUGUUCCAAGCUUUCCUGCCCCCCCCCCCCCCCCGAAACCACUUGAGCGAACGAAACCUGCUCCGUUUGCUUCCCCUUCCCACUCGUUGUGCUCGUCAUUGGGUUCCUCCCUAAUCUGGACCCUUCAUUCCUUUGCUUCCUUGAACCAUCCUUCCUCUUAUAUUUGGGAAGGUUCACCUGCAUCUUCCAAGUGCCAAUCCAGAGUGCACUCAAUUCUCUUUCCAGGGAAAGAACAUCCUUCACACCCUGGAACCUUACAAAACCAAACUUCUUAUUCCUUGCAUUGAGCUUUCUUGAAACAAAGACAUCCAUAACCCUUCCCCACCUUUGGAAAACCUUCCAAAGAUCUCUCUCCAUGAAAUGCUCGGGGAAGUUAGUAAAGAAAAACGAAGUGUCCGCCAUUGUCGAAAGUUAACAAACCGCCUUUACUUACUCCGACCAUCGUGUUUCUCCGGUUACUAUUUUAUUGUACUAGAUAGUAAGCAAUGAUACUAAUAGCAAGUAGCACAAAAGAACAAUGAUUACACAUUAUACAAAAUUUACUGGAGAUGAAAAAGUUAGAGAAAUUUUAUUCUAAACAAAAAAUUCAAUAAUUUAUAAAGAAAAAUACCUAAAUAUAAUAUAAUAUUCAAAUAAAGAAUGAUUUUUUCCACUUUGGAUUUUUAUUAGUUUUUUAUCUUUUAAAUUAUACUUUUUAAUAUCCAGAAUUAUACUUUGUGACUAACAAAAUCAAUUAACACCCUGAAAAAAAUCUAAAGUUUAAGAUGUAGAAUAUUAUAUAUAACAAACUACACAUGAUAAAAACAAUAUUGCAUCCCAUUAUAAUUAAGAUGUAGAAUAUUAUAUAUAACAAACUACACGUGAUAAAAAUAAUAUUGCAUACCAUAAAGUAUAUUACUUGAAAUCAUUUUUGUUUGUGAAAAGUAAAGUCCUACAUAAGAUUAACUUAUUUUUGGUUUUUAACCUUUUAUAAAAGGCUAUAAUUAUUUUUUAACUAAAUUAAUUUAUUUUUGGAUGAGAGAAAAAUUAAGAGAGGAAAAAUAUUUUUUCUUUUAAAUUUUCUUACCAAUUGUAUUUUUUUUAUAAGAGAAGUAAAGUCUUACAUCUUAAUAGAUGAUAUAUGUGGAUGAUAAGUUAGUAAUAGUUUCCAACAAAGUUCGAAUAUGAGAAUUGAAGGGCAUUUGAUAAUAAGAAUUUAAGAUCAACAAUCUAAGAUUUUAGAAAUACUCACCAAUAUAGAAAAGAGAAAUGUUUUACUUCCUUAGAAUAAAAUAUUUCAAUCAACAACAUAAAAAAUUUAUGAUAAGAGGUAAAGCAAUACUCACCUGGGAGCAUGGUGCUUAGAAAAUCUAAGGAGGUGUUGAAGGAACCCAAGAGAACAACAUGGUACUCAUUGAGAAAAUAUUGUUAGAGUUUAUGGUGUUCAAUAAACACAAUUGAUGAUGGAAGUGAGAAACAACGAAAGAAAGACAAUCGAGACUCUCUAUGCUCUGUGUGAAAGAACCCAUUACAACAACGUUCAUUGAGGUAACAACUCAUACCAUUAACAACUUUCCAUUUGACUUUGCUAUUAAUAAUAGCAAUAGACUCUUUUGCUUACGAAAUGGAAGUGCAGAGGAUAUUAGGUUAUGUGAAUUAGGUUAGGAAAUCAGAAUUACAUUUAUAGGGUAGGAUGAAAAUAUCUUAAAGAUGAUUGAGAAAAUGAAGGGAAGAGACUGCGAAAUGAAAAUAUUAAAGGGAGAGAAGAGACAAUCCAAUUGAUGAAGAUAAUAUGUUUAAACAUUGUAGGGGAAUUGAUUAAUAAGGAGGAGGGUGGGGUAGUGUGCUAACAAGAAACCAAAUUGGAAAUAGUCAAUAAAGAAAGAUGCUACAAUAUGGGAAACGAUGACAUAAAAUGGGAACAUUUUGCAGUUGUAAAUGGAGUACAAGGAAUUUUAACUAUGUGGCCUAAGGAUACUUUCAUAUGUGAAACAUUGGUUAGAAACACAAGUUUUGUAAGGGUUAAGGAAAGGUACAAAAAGAAUAAUAUGUCAAUAGUAAUACUAAAUGUGUAGUUCCCUUAGAGAAAUGUUAGAGAAAUGUGACUAAAUUAUGUCUUGAAGCAAAAUGAACUUUUUUAUCUUUAACAAGUUUUACGUCCAAUUAUGAUAGAUAUUGAUUUGCGCUCAAAUUUUUUUUUUAGAUUCGUGGGUAAUUAUUUAUGGACACAAAUAUGUCAGUAAAUGUCUAACAUUAUCUAUUGGUACAAUUCGUCGAUAAUAAAAUAAUAUCGACGAACAUAAAUCUGUCAAUAAAUUUUCAUUAGUAAUUCAAUAAUUUUUUGUAGUAGGUGGUUUUAAGAGAAAAAUUAAAAAGAUUUAAGCAUGACUUAAAAGUUUGGAAUAAAGAGGAAUUUGGUAAUGUAAACCAAAUCAAGCAAACCACUAUAACUCAUAGAGGUGAUUUUGACAAAAUGGAUUACUCAAAUGAUCUAUAUGAGAAAGGAAUGAUGGAAAGGAAGAAACUCUUUAGUGAACUCAAACUCAUAGACUAGCAACAUAAGUCCUUGGAGAAAUAAAUUCAAUGUUAGGCUAAUGAACAUUAUCUUCUAUUUCUCCUAGUGAUAAUAUAGUCCUAACAAGACAAAAUAGAAAUUAAGAAAGCACUAGGCAUGUUGUGUGGAAUAUGUGCAACAAGUAUGUUGGAGUAAGUACUGCUACUCAAAAUCAUGUAAAGUUGAACUUUCAACAAUUCUACUUGUCGAGAAUGAAUGACAAAGGAAAUAGGAUAUGGGGGUGUAUGUGGAUAGAGAUCUUUUUUUUGGAUUAUAUAGAAUCAAAGGAAUAAAAAUAUCUUUAAGAAUGAGACCGUAUAUGAAGAGAUAUUUUUUUUACACAAAUAAAAGUAUAAGCUUGGACAAGGAAUAGAUCUUUAUCAACUUUCACAUAAAACCCCUAUAUAAAUAAUAUGGUAUACUCGCACAAUGGGCAUAUGCAAUUGUUAUCAAUUAUAAGUUUUUUUCAAGUUUGAGUCACUAAGAGUUGAGAUUUAUCGAGUACCAUAGACAUCAACGAUGUAAAACCUUAUGUACGACAUAUGUAAAAAAACUAAACUUUAAAUAAGGAGUGACAACAAUUAGUAUAGGUUUAUGGUAAAUUCUGAUACUGAGAUGUGAAGUGUUAUUAAGAGGAUCCUUAGAUACUUCAGAGGAACCUCAGACAUUGUAUUAUGUUUUGAAAUAUCAGAAUUAGAUAUGAUCUUUAUUAAAUGAAGUCUAUUAGUGACUAUGUGUGUAUACUUAUAGGUGGAGCAAUAUGUUAAUUAUUCAAGUUGGAUGAUUUUAUAAUUUUGUCUAGUACAUAAAUUGAAAACAUAAAAGGCAUCCAAGCAUACAUGAAAGCUAUCUAAAUUCAAAGGUAUACAUGAAAGCUAUCUAAAUUCAAAGGUUAAUUGAUGAACUAAGACAUAAAGCAACAAAAAAAAAAAUAUUCUAAUAGUGAAAAUGCAUUUACACAUAACAAUAAUAGUGAAAAUGUAUUCUAUUCGAUAGAUAAUAUACUAUUUUUUUAUUUUAGAUUUAUAAGGUGGUUAUAUUAUAAUUUUAUUUCUUUAAUUUUAUAAAGUUACUUUAUUAAUUUUAUUUUAGUUGUAAAUAAUUAUCCCAUAAAAUACAUGAUUUUUUCGAAAUAUGGGAUGAAAAAGAAAUAACAUUGAAUGGUUUGUUAUACAUACCCGGUGGUAAUAAUAUGCCUCCCUGGGAAGUCAAAAGCUUGAGACAAGGCUGACCUCCAAGCCUGCAUUUUCUGUGAUUCUUUUCCAAUCUCAUGUUCAUGUGCCUUCAUGUGUUUUCCGAAGCUGUUUCUCUCGUGCCGUAUAUCUGAGGGAUCUACAUGGUAAAACACUGGGUAAACAAGCUGCUUCUUCUCCUUCAUUUUGCUGCGUUCUAUGAUCCUAACAAGUUCAUCCAGACACCGUGUAGAAGAUGCAUAGUUCUCAGAAAACACAACGAUGAAAAUCUUAGAUUCUUCAAUGGCCUUCGACAGAGCAGGUGGAAGACUUUCCCCUAUCCUCAUAUUCCUAUCAUCAUUGAAACUUUUUAUUCCCCUCCUACCCAACUCUCUACGCAGAUGCCCUAUAAAAGUGUACCUUGUAUCUUCCCCUCUAAAACUGAUGAACAAG